UACCUUGCGUUAUAAAAUGAAGAUUAAGGACUUCUUUGUUGGUGGUUUUUCUUUAAGCAAUUGCUGGUAGUUGGUUCCAGACUCCCUUUUUGUUAAGCUGUCACAGAUGUCUUUGCUGUAUGUCUUUGUGCCCUUGUAGUUUUAGUGGGUUGGAUGUAUCGAGUACUUAUUUACCUGAAACAAAAUGCAUCUCCUGUUUCUCUUUCUUCUAAUUUCCUUUCCUGUGACUCGCAGUAUUUCUUUAAUCUCUACCUUUUGAUUUUCAUCAACAAAAUGACGUGAACAAUAGAAAACGUUAAAAAUUCAGACUUGUGCUCGCUAGCUCCUCUAGAGAAGUUCAGAGAUCUUUAAGCAAUUUACUGAAGUUUCAUCCCAGAUUGAUUUAUCAUACUCAUACACUUACUCUCUCACAUAGUAUCAUUUUUUUAUUGUCGAGAAUAUCAUAUGAAAAGUAUUAUAGUACUACAUGCUCUGCUCUAUGAUCCGUGAACUUUUGUACAAGAGAAUGGAAAAGGUGACAACACCAUUCAUGCCUUCACAACAGCAACCACCAAGAAUCUUCUUCUCUUCUCUAACAGUUAUGAUGUAUUUUGUUGUUUUCUUCUAGCUCACCGCAAGAUAUACAAAAACUAAAGAAACCAUGAGUUGCACGUACCUGAUAUCUUGAGAUGAAGAUGACAUUGACGGUCAUCGAUCUCGGCUCAGCUGCUUGCGAUUUCACAGCUAUAUGCUUGAGAUGAAGAUGAAGAUGUUUGGCCAGUUUUGUUUCUUAGCUGUUUGCUUUAUCGUUUCACACCAGAGUUAUUUUUACUUAUCCAACUUUUUUUAUUUGUAUCAAACUGAAAUUAAUACAAACAUAUGUUGUACUACAUCUUAAGCUCUACAUGAUCCAUUGUGCAACUUGAUAACAUAUGACGCAUCCAGCCAUAUUAACUUGUUCAUCAUUCAACUAGAACACAAAACUCAGCCACUCAUGCGUGCAUCACCUAUCCUAUUACUACAUGCCGCCUAAAUUGGGCGAAUCAUCCCCAUGCCACCAUCUUGAACCAGCCAUAGAACCCGGUAGCUCUACUCAAUUUAUUGAGCACCAGGUUCGGAUUGAAUGGGUAGCCAGAAGAAUGGGUAGCAAACAAUUGAGGAAUUUUAUUUGCUAAAAACCAUAUAGUUGUGACAAUGCCUAUAAAACUUUGUGUCAAACAUAUUAUUUAUUUUUUUAUUUAUUGUGAGAAAACUUUCAAUCUAUUCAUCUUUAAUCAUGGCAGUAUGACGAACAUCGGAAAUAGUAAAAAUUACAUCAAUAUCUGUAGACCACCUAGCGACGACUACAAGCACUAAAGCGAGUCGAAGGCGCGCCGCCGUCAUCGCCCCUCCCUCGCCGGAGCCGGUUAAAACUUGUUGUAGUAGACAAUCGGAAAGUCGUCGUGUUAAGACCCUGUAGGACCAGCACACCAGAACAAUAGCCUCCGCCGUUGAAGAGUAGCGUAUAUUAGAAGGAUCAAAUCUGAAGACAGACGAACGUAGACGAACUACGACCAGAUCCGAGCAAAUCCACUAAGGACGGAUCCGUUAGAGACACACCUCCACACGCCCACCGGCGAUGCUAUAUAUCAUCGGGACGGGGCCUAGGUUGGGAGAACAUUAUUCCAUCUUCAGAAAGCCGCAGUCUUCUCGUCUUCCUGAGCAGGAUACAAAUCCUAACAAAACUCGAAAGAACAUCUAAAGCGGAGCCCUCCCACCGGCAAAACAUAUUAUAAAUACUAAAAGUGGUGGAAGGUCAAAAGUCGCUAAAAUAACUCGCCACGGUAGUCGAGCAAAGUGGCAAGGAAAGAAUAGAUGUUGAAUAGAUUCAUCCUCGCAAUUUGUUUCCUUUUCGAUUUUUGACAAGUUUUUUGAACCCUGAACCGUAGAACAAUUGUUCUAGCACCUGGGCCAAUUGAUGAGGUAGUUGCUCAUUUAUCCACUGACAAGGCACCUGGGCCAGAUGGAUUUAAUGGAAACUGUUGGAAUAUUAUUUCUAAGGACUUUUAUGAGCUUAUUCAAGGCUUUCACCAAGGAAAAAUCAAGCUUCAAAGCAUCAACAACUCCUACAUCACACUCAUCCCAAAGAAAGAUAAUCCUGUGACAUCAAAUGAUUUUAGGCCAAUAUCUCUGCUUAACUGCACUGUCAAAAUCAUGACCAAGCUUCUUGCCAAUAGACUCCAAAAGAUCAUUCUCAAGUUGGUGCAUAUUAACCAAUAUGGUUUCUUGAAGGAAAAUUCUAUUCAGGACUGAGCAUGGGCAUUUGAAUAUUUGCACCAAUGCCAACAAUCAAGACAAGAGAUUAUCAUCCUGGAAUUGGAUUUACCGAAAAAGGGUUACCCCCGCUUUGUAUUCCAAAACAACCAACACCGAUACAUAGAUCGCUGGGGCGAGCAGCACAACAAGCCCAAAAGAAAAAAGAAGAAGAAACAAAUGCCAACAAUGGCAGCUCAACAAAGCGUGGAUGACUCGCCACCGCUGAGCCCACCGGAAACAAACCAUCAUAACCUGAGGCUUCGAUCCGCCGCGUGCCAAGCAGCACCCCCAAGAAGGAAUGCGACGCCGACGACGCUGCUGCUCGGACGGGUCCUAGGGUUUCCCCCGGCACGCAGAGGGAGUUGGGGGUGGAUAACAAUGACACCCUCCAGGAAGGAAUGGUGGCACCCGCAGGCGUCACCGCAUCGAAGCCUAAGACCGGCAAGGAUUUCUCCCACACUCCAAACCCCGCCGCCCGACCGAACCGGAGCCGACCAGCCAAACCUCCGCCCACCACCUUGCGCCAUCUCGGCUGCGCCACCACCCAUGCCGCCUCACUGCGAACACCACCACGAGGCCAAGAGACCCGAAGAGAAACGCCAAACGAUGGAAGCAGCGGCACUGUUACCGAGCAGGAGGGACCCACCUCCCCCGCCAACGUGCGGGAGGCCCGAGCCCCCGGCUCUGUCGCGGUCGCCAUCCGGACGCGGCAGCAGGGCACACCAGGCCACCCCUGGCCUGGCUGGGCCCAAACAAGCCCGCAAAGCCCCGCCGGCCACGUUGCAGCAAUUCGGUAUCCACGUCGCCGGCCCGCAGCCGCUCGCUGCCACACCCCAGCCUCCUGGAGGUCGCACCGUAGGCUCACCCCGCCGCCGGCCCGCCCAGGCCCAGAUGGGCCCCGAAGGGCCCAGAUCUGGGCCGAGCGGGCGCCGCGAGGACGCGCCGCCGCGCUACCCCACCGCCAACGGUGACGCCGCCAUCCAGCCAUCCGCCCGCGUAGCGCCAGGACCCCCCCGCCACGCCGGACCGCCGCCGCCUAGGGACACUGCCCCAGCCCGCUCCGUCCCGCGCCAGAGGAAGCCGAGAGGGGAAAAGCGAGGGGGCCACCGCCGCCAGCGUCGCCCGGGCCAGGCCCUGCGGAGGGGAGGGAAUGAGGAGGGAGGGGCGCUGGAGAAGAAGACCGGGGCACGGCGGGUCGCCCGCGGGGGCGACGCGGUCGCGAGAGCCCGAGGGGGUUUCUAGCUCUGAAAUUGGAUUUUGAAAAAGCCUUUGAAUUAAUUGAUCAUGAGUUUUUUUGAACAUCAUGAGAGCUAGAGGUUUUGGUUAGAAGUGGAUUAGUUGGAUCCAAAACAUCUUUGACUCAGGUACUUCUGUUGUUCUCCUAAAUGGAAUCCUAGGGAAAAUUAUACACUACAAAAGAGGGGUCAGACAAGGAGAUUCUCUAUCUCCGUUAUUAUUUGUCGUUGUUGUUGACCUCCUACGAUCAAUUGCCAAUGAAGCCAUGAGAAAUAACAUUAUCUCUGCCCCUUUGCAUAUCAACUCAUGCCCAGAUUUUCCUGUAAUACAAUAUGCGAAUGGCACUAUGGCCCUGUUUGUUUGGGCUUUUGCUUCUGCUUUUGCAACUUUUCCACUUUGGUCAAAAAGCCAUAAAAGCUCCUAAAUAGGUGCUUUUAGAGCUUUUAUGGCUUUUGGAGCUGAAUAUUGUUAUAUUGAUUCAUCAAAAGCCAAAAAAACUCCAAAAGCACCUAUUUAGGAGCUUUUAUGGCUUUUUGGACAAAGUGGUGCUAGCUGAUAUAACCAAAGUAUGUCAAGUCAGAAACCUGCCGCUACACUUUGCUGCUCGAACAAGCCUUAAGGUGAACUAUAACAAAUCUAUGAUCAUUCCAAUCAAUGUGGGUACUGAUAAGCUUGAACUCAUUAAAGAUACUCUGGGAUGCCAGUUGGGUUAUUUCCCCUUCACCUAUCUUGAACUGCCCCUCGGUACCUAUAAAUUGAAGAUUGAGGAUUUUACUACAAUGAUGCAAAGAAUUGAAAGAAUAAUUUUUGGAUGCUCAACACUAGUCUGAUGGCAGAUUGCGAUUAAUUAAAUCAGUUUAUACAUCUCUUCCAACAUACUUAAUGUGUUGCUUAGCAUUGCCAAUGGGAGUGGUAGAACAAAUCAAUAAGUAUCUUAGACGUUGUUUAUGGAGAAAAUUUGGUACUGCUGAAACAUGAACUGCAAUGAUUUCCCGGGAUUUUGUCUGCAAACCAAAAACUCAUGGAGGACUAGUUGUUUUGGAUUUGGUCAGUCAGAAUAAAAGCACUUUUGCUGAAAAAUCUUGACAAAUUCUUCAACAAAGAUAAUCUGCCUUGGGCAAAUAUGAUUUGGGAAACAUAUUAUGCAGAAUCACUAUGACGCCCCCGAUUCAAUCGUACGCUAAUCAUACACGCAAAUGUGUACGAUCAAGAUCAGGGACUCACGGGAAGGUAUCACAACACAACUCUAGACACGAAUUAAAAUAAUACAAGCUUUAUAUUACAAGCCAGGGGCCUCGAGGGCUCGAAUACAUAAGCUCGAAAACACAAGAGUCAGCGGAAGCAACAAUAUCUGAGUACAGACAUAAGUUAGACAAGUUUGCCUUAAGAAGGCUGGCACAAAAGCAAUAUCGAUCGAAAAGGCAAGGCCUCCUGCCUGGGAGCCUCCUAACUACUCCUGGUCGUCGCGGUCUUCAUGAGGUAGUAGGCACCCUCGUGGUAGUAGUAGUAGUAGUCGUCGUCGAAGGUGACGUCUGGCUCCUGGACUCCACCAUCUGGUUGCAACAACCAGAAAGAAGAAAGAAGGGGGAAAAGGGGUAGCAAAGCAACCGUGAGUACUCAUCCAAAUUACUCGCAAGCAAGGAUCUACACUACAUAUGCAACAUUAUCAAAGAAAGGUUGUAUAUGUGGACUGGGCUGCAGAAAUGCUAGAAUAGAGAGAAGGCCUAGUCCUACUGAAGACUAGCAUCUUCUGGAAACCACCAUCCCGUAGCAACAGGAGGGAGUAGAGUAGCAUAAAGUAAAGUAGUAGUAGUGUUAUCAACCUCGGCCAGAGAUCCUUUCUCGACUCCCUACGAGAAAGAAAUCCCAGAGCCCUACUAUCCAUUUGUCAUCACAAUUCAAUUCUCGUCACCAUCCAAUUCUCAUCACAAGUAUCCAGUUCUAGUUGUAUCGAUCGGGAUACAACUCCGAGCGUCCGUUACCGUAGGACAGGCUAUCGAUAGAUGUUUUCUUCCCUGUAGGGGUGCACCAACUUACCUACCACGCUCGAUUAACUCCGGCCGGACACACUUUCCUGGGUCAUGCCCGGCCUCGGCCAAACAAUACGCCGCAACCCGACCUAGGCUUAAUAGAGAGGUCAGCACACCGGGUUAAACCUAUGCCCCCAGGGGUCAUGGGCCAUCUCCCCGGGAACUCCUGCAUGUUGCGUGGGCGGCCGGUGAGCAGACCUAGCUACCUCCUUAAAAAAGGUAGGAGCUUACCAGUCCAACCCGGCGCGCGCCGCUCAGUCGCUGACAUCUAAUAAGCUUCGGCUGAUGCAUACGACGCAGAACGCCCAUACUAUGCCCACGUGAUGGUUAGUGCUAUCAGGCCAGAGGCCCCUUGGAUCAAAUAUCCAAAUCGUAGUGGAUUAGGAACGUGCGGUAAUAAGCAGAGACUCACGAAAGAUGUGACCCCGUUGCCCCAUCUCGAGGACUUGCGGCAAGGGCUAAGAAUGCCCGGCCACGCCUCGUAUUCGACUCUCGGGUACCCUCCAGGUCAACCCGUCUCCACAUCACUCGCAAUUAUGCUUGCGCGGGUAGCCCUCAGGGUCGACCCGUCUUUAGUAACAUGGUUCAGUGUAAAGUCAUAGUGAUCAUAGUAACUUUGUGUCUAAACAUCAAGGGGAAAACCCGAGGAAUCACCCGGUGAAUUCCACUCGAUGUAAUCAUCAAGGUGAACAUUAGAGGAAUCACCCCCGAGGUUCACACUUGAGGGGUUGCACGACAGAGUCGUAACGGAAGUGGUUAAGGCGGAAUCACCCUCGAUGACCACGACCGAAUAGCUACACUACAGGGUUAAUAUCAGAAGUGCUGUAGAGGUCUCAUCCUCGACACUCGAUAGUAACCCAGUAGUGUCGAGCAACUAAGGGGAAGUGAUGUGCGGUGCCGGGGCCUGGUCUUCGACCCCGUUGAUCGGGUCUUCGAUGAUGAAGCAGGGGCAACAAGGACACGGUGGGGGUCACUGAUGGAUCACUAACCAACUUAUACUAAGCAGUUUAGGAUAAGCAUGUAAGGUACAACAGCAGAUACAAAAGCAGGCUAUGCAUCAGAAUAGGAGAAAACAAUUACAGUAGCAAAAUCUAAUGCAAGCAUGAGAUAAAGGAAAAGGGCGAUAUCGGGAUGAUCAAAGGGGGGGCUUGCCUGGUUUCUAUGGCAAGGAGGGGUCGUCGUCGACGUAGUCGAUCACAGGGGCAGCAUCGGUCUCAGGGUCUACCAGAGAGAAGAGGGGGAAGAAAUCGUAAAUAUAAAGCAAACAUAGCAUAACAGGACAACAAGCAGAGUUAGACGUGUUCUAACAUGGUGCUACACGAUAACGGCGAGGGGGGGAAGUCAACCGGGAAUGUUUUCCCGGUUCCGGACCUGUGUCAGACAGACGACCGGAGGGGGAAAGUUCCAUGUUCAGCAUGCUAGGGGCAUGUGACAGAUGAACUGACCGCGUAUUUGGAUUCGUUGGAUUUUUCUGAGCAACUUUCAUGUAGAAAACAUUUUCAUCUGAGUUACGGUUUAUUUUCUAUGAAUUAUCAAAUAUUAAACCAUUUUUUGAAUUUAUUUAUAUUAAAAAAAUAUGACAUAAGCAUGAUGUGUUGAUGAUGUCAGCAGUCAACUGGUUAGUUGACCAGGUCAAACCUGACCUGUUGGUCUAGGGGGACCCACAUGUCAGCGACUGCGGCACUAACAGUUGAUUAAAUUGACUAACAAAAGUAAUUAGGGGUGUGGGCCACACUAGUUAGUGACUGAUUAGUGAUUAAAACUAAUUAAUAGAUUAAUUAAUAUUUUAUUUAUUUACAAAACCUGUUAAUUAGUGCGGGGCCCACAUGUCAGUGGGCAGAGUGCCCAGUCAGCAGUUGACCCAGUCAACUGGGUCAACUAGGAUCCACGGGGCCCAGCGGCAGUGUCACAGCGGGCCCACUUGCCAGGUCACGUCGGCGACGACAUGAGACUCGACGCCGUCGACCAAAACUACGGCGGCGCGGCCUCGGAUGUGGCCGGAAAAAUGUGCUUCGGCCACAAGCGGAGACCAAACCGCGUCAAACCGUCAUGGUCUCGCGGCCAGGGAGGCUCUACGCCGACGACGGCGAGCACAUCGGUGGCGGAGCUCGCGGGUGCGCUACGGGGAGGCUGCUGCGGUGCGAAUUUGCGUGCGCGUUCGGGCUCAUUCAAACGCGGGAACAUCACCGCGUCGUUCUAACCCAACGGCGCUGGCUAUGGUGGUCGGAAGCGACGGUAGCGACGAGUUCGGGCGGCGGACAGGAAAAAAAGCGGCUGCGAGCUAGCUACGGUGAUGCACAAGGCACAAGGAGAGGAAAGGAGGGAGGGAGGAGCUCACCGAGUGGCUCACGGUGGCCUGUGGUCAGUUUAGUAGCAGCAGAGCUCUACGCAGACGGGGGCGCAUCGGUGGUCGACGGGGAGGCGACCUCGAAGCCGAAGAUGCGGGGCCUCUCCGGCUCCUGCUGUUGGGCGAUAGGACGAGGCCAAGGCCCGUGCAGCUACUGAACGCCCUGUCGUAGCCCAGGGUGGCGCCGGAGCGCGCGGACAACGGCAGGCGGCAUCAGGAGGGGCUUCGAUGAGGCGGGGGAUCUGAGGAGGGAAGGCCGAGAGGGAGAGGGAGGGGGACGGAGAGGCGGGAGUGGCGGUAGGUGAGGGGGAGGACUUGAGGCGUCCGGGGGCGUGGAGGCCUUAUCCUCUCGCGGGGGUCGUCAUCGGNNNNNNNNNNNNNNNNNNNNNNNNNNNNNNNNNNNNNNNNNNNNNNNNNNNNNNNNNNNNNNNNNNNNNNNNNNNNNNNNNNNNNNNNNNNNNNNNNNNNNNNNNNNNNNNNNNNNNNNNNNNNNNNNNNNNNNNNNNNNNNNNNNNNNNNNNNNNNNNNNNNNNNNNNNNNNNNNNNNNNNNNNNNNNNNNNNNNNNNNNNNNNNNNNNNNNNNNNNNNNNNNNNNNNNNNNNNNNNNNNNNNNNNNNNNNNNNNNNNNNNNNNNNNNNNNNNNNNNNNNNNNNNNNNNNNNNNNNNNNNNNNNNNNNNNNNNNNNNNNNNNNNNNNNNNNNNNNNNNNNNNNNNNNNNNNNNNNNNNNNNNNNNNNNNNNNNNGCUGGGCCUGGCCGGCUGGGCCUGUCUCUGUGGCCUUAGGCCCAGGGGCAAGGGGGGUCCCUUUUCCUUCUUCUUCUUUUUUGCAUUUCUAUUUCUUUUCUCUUUUUACAGAAUGCUUUGCAAAUUUUUGGAGCUGCCAAAAGGAUUCUAUAAAAUGUGGGACUUGGCCACAUAAUUACAAUGCAAUGUUUGACACAGCCACAAAAAGUUUGGAAGAAAUUUGAAUUAGAUGGAAUUUGCAAAAAGAUGGAAAAGCAAUUAAUUUGCUGAGUGGCACUGUUUUAAUUUGCUAUAGUCCAUCUUAGCUUGGAGGUGAUGUUGUUUUCCUUAACAGUCAUUUGUUAUGGAAUAUUUACUAAAUGAUGGACUAUUUUGCAACAACUUUUGUGCAACUUCAAAAAUCACUUGCAAAUUGAAUUUGAUUCCAAAGUGGAAUUUCAAAUGAGAUUUGAAUCAAAGGUGAUUAAGCACUGUUUGGAAAAAUGAUUAGCUUAAUCACAGUGGGUUACUGUAGCAUGACACUGGGGGUGUUACAAAUCUCCUCCACUACAAGAAAUCUCGUCCCGAGAUUUAAGAGGUGGAGUAAGGGGUAAGACUCGGAAAGGAAGGAGCUCAACACAAGAUAGGUAUGUGGGGAUUAUGUGAGUGAACGUGGCAUAGAGGCAUCUCUCGAGUUAAAAUUCAAGAAAGUCAUCGAGAGCAAGGUGAGGUGCAAUAAGAAGCUUCAACUUGGUAGAGAAUCGUUUGUUGCCUGAAACAAGGGGGGUGAAAGGGGUUUAGAGCAAUGGUAAUAAGUAUCGUGUCUGAUACCAGAAUAGAUCGCCUCUGAGAAGGUCGGGAUUUUUCAUAUGAAGCCAAGUGUGAGAAAUAACCUUAGAAACAAGCGUGUACAGGAGAGCCAGGUUUCGAUCUUGUGGAACUGUGUGUUAUGGGCCCACCAUAUGGUUUAAAAGUAGAAAGAGCGGUGACAUGUUACACGGUUAUGAUAGCAAGCUUUGUCGGAGGAUAGUCUGUCAGUUAUGUUGGCAACCACGUUGAUACCAAGGGCGAGGGACGAAGAGAACCAUAUUCCUGCUCGUUGAACGAGGCGGACCAAUCGGCAAGGUUCACGUCCAUCGGUGGUUACCGAAUGUCAUCAACAAUAGUAACAGGGUCUCACUGACAAGGUUGUACAUCGGGGCGUUUUAUAAGCAGGGAAUUAUUUCUGCUUAUAUCAUAUAGAUCACAAGAAGGUUAAACAAGCCAAUGGAAAGGAAAAUGUGGUUAUUAGAUUAAUCAGAACAUUGGAAAGGAAAUGUGUUUACACACAAGAAUUGAGAGUAUAUCCUUCCCAAGGGGAAGCGGAGCAGGAUAUACAUGAUAUGACAGCAAGUUCAAAAGCACUUAGAUAAAGAGGGCGAGGGGAUAAUCAUGAUAUUACCCAUACAACGGUUUUUGGAUUAAUAGAUCAAGAACAGUUAGCAUUGUGCUCCCAAUGUUCUUAUUGAUGAUCAGAGUAUCACACACAUGCUUCGGGAUAGUGUUGGCAUGGUCAUCAGGGAAAGGUCAGACUUCGGAUACACAAAGAAUCCAUCGGAACAACUUAUAAAAUAAGUCAUACAAUUCCCGCAAGAAAAAGAUGAUUUUGUGACCGGCGGGCUCAGGAACAAUUCAUCGAGGGGGCAAGGAUGGUAUUUCUCAUCAUGAAUUAGAUUGAUAUCCUAGAACAGCUCGGAAUGUUGGUGAUGAUCACGACACAUUUGUCGAGAGAUUUCAUGAAGAUGCAAUCGAUCGGCGGUGACAUCAAGUCAAAGGAAUGAUGACGCGAAAGGUUAUUGAAACCAUGAGUACGACACAAAGUCGAAAUCAAACUUUCUGUUCAAGGUGAAAUGAUAUGACGUGAAAGAUCGAUGUAAGCUUAUCUUAACAUCAAAAAUUAUGCUCCGGGAAGAAGGACCAGGUAGCAUAGUUAAAAUUUAGCACAAUAAUGACAUAGUCGGCCAGGCUAGGAAUGACUAGAAGGAUUAUUAAACUCGUAAGCAAUGAAAAUUACUUAGAGUUAUAGAAUCGGAGUGCGGAAUCGAUUCAACUGAUUCACUUAUCGGUGUCCUCGAGUGAUUAAUAACUCAGGUCCCGGGGGAAAUCUGAAAUCGGUGAGAAGCAAUACUAGAUGAAGACUCAUAGGAAGCAACACAGUUCUUUGAUAUUCUCGAGAUACCGGAGGGUAAUACUUGAAGGAAGAUCAAAAUAGAGGUUGUGGAUUCGCAUUGAUCUGCAGAAGACAAGUGCGUGAACUUGUCCAAGAAAUGGAAUCGAAGGGGAACAAUCAUGGUCAGAACCACGGUUGCAAAGGACCAAUCCUAGAUACCAGAUGAACUUAUAACAAGGGGAUUAUUAUUAUCACAAGAAGCUUCCAUGAUAAGUGCCACAUCGGGUCCAUGGGCAUGAACACAAAGUUCAAGGUCGACUCCCACUUCUUCAAUGCAUAACCUUUCAUUCACUCCUCAUUUUUCGAAGAAAUUGUAGUGCAGAGGAUUUAUCUGCCGAAGUACCAGAAGAGUAAGACUCGGGAGAACUCUCGGGUUCACACGGAUUAUGGAAGCAUAAGUUCAACCCAUCGGGGCAUUUUUACGAAUCUAUACAACCAUCAACCAAGCAAAAGAUACGAGUUCAAAAGUAAGUAUCGGAGUCAAAGCAGAUGAUACAAUUUACCGAAGGUAUUAUGUAUCAGGGAAAAACUCACAAGACUUUGGAUGUGAAGGACAUUGUCGGAUAACAACCCAGCAAUGGAUCUAGCGAUUCACGACAGAGUUGAUGUGAGUAUCGAUAAUCAAUCAGAUGAAGAAGGGGAUGUAAAUGCAUCAGCUUAUAGAAACAUCUGAAUGAUUCAAUGCUUGGGUACAAAGGAAUUAUGAUUUCAAGACAAAGGAUCAGAAGCAGAGGCUCUGAUCAAAAGAUGAGUAAGUUGAAUAGACUUAGAGGUGUACCCGAUCAAAUCUGGAUUGGGCAAGAACCAGCUCAUAUCUCGAAGGAUGUCUGAGCCGGAAAGAAAAUUUCCAAGGAUUGAUUGAUGAUUGCGAGUAUUAGCACACAAGCUGAAUCCAUAGGCACAUAAUGACAAUCACAAAGAAUUUUAAAGAAUAUUGCUAGACAUAUGGAAUUAAUCCUAAUGCAAGCCGGCAAGGAGAAUCAAGAGCAAUAGGUUGCAAAGGAUUUUGAAAGAUCAGAUAGCCUUUUCAGGUAUUAGGAAAGCAAAUGAACAACUGGGGAUGAACGAACCCCGAUUAAGCAAAUUAUCCGCAGUUCGAAAAGAAGCUGCAAAGAACAAGGCCACAAAGGAUUCUCGGAACAACGGAGAGUACUAGUGGUAUCUCGUAAUAACAGGAGCAACUAGGGAUGAAGGUACAAGCGACAAGGAUGUUAUUCAGGGGGGUUAUCAGUGGUCAAGAACUACAAGGCAGUUGGCACAGGGUCUCGAGAAACAUCGAGGAGUAUCCGCAGAAUCUUCUGGCGAAGCAAGCAAUCAUCGAUAAUGUUGGGGCUCUCCGGGAGGAAGUGGGUACGAGAACCUAAUGUCAGAGUUAGUAAAAUGUUUAACCCGAAUAGACGAGAGAUCAGAGUCCCAGAGUAUAGACGAGGAAUAAAAGAUCCUAAUACCACCCAAUGGCAACGUGGGCCCGUAAGCCACACAGCCAUGUUAGUAAAAGUUUUUGUAGUGACUAGACUCGACUUUGGCCAAGGAGUUGGAAAGGGAGCUACCUAUAGGCAGUCGGCUCUGAUACCAACUUGUGACGCCCCCGAUUCAAUCGUACACUAAUCAUACACGCAAAUGUGUAUGAUCAAGAUCAGGGACUCACGGUAAGGUAUCACAACACAACUCUAGACACAAAUUAAAUAAUACAAGCUUUAUAUUACAAGCCAGGGGCCUCGAGGCUCGAAUACAUAAGGUCGAAAACACAAGAGUCAGCGGAAGCAACAAUAUCUGAGUACAGACAUAAGUUAGACAAGUUUGCCUUAAGAAGGCUAGCGCAAAAGCAACAUCGAUCGAAAAGGCAAGGCCUCCUACCUGGGAGCCUCCUAACUACUCCUGGUCGUCGCGGUCUUCAUGAGGUAGUAGGCACCCUCGUGGUAGUAGUAGUUGUCGUCGAAGGUGACGUCUGGCUCCUGGACUCCACCAUCUGGUUGCAACAACCAGAAAGAAGAAAGAAGGGGGAAAAGGGGUAGCAAAGCAACCGUGAGUACUCAUCCAAAUUACUUGCAAGCAAGGAUCUACACUACAUAUGCAACAUUAUCAAAGAAAGGUUGUAUAUGUGGACUGGGCUGCAGAAAUGCCAGAAUAGAGAGAAGGCCUAGUCCUAUCGAAGACUAAUAUCUUCUGGAAACCACCAUCUUGCAGCAACAGGAGGGAGUAGAGUAGGAUAAAGUAAAGUAGUACUAGUGUUAUCAACCUCGGCCAGAGAUCCUUUCUCGACUCCCUACGAGAAAGAAAUCCCAGAUCCCUACUAUCCAUUUGUCAUCACAAUUCAAUUCUCAUCACCAUCCAAUUCUCAUCACAAGUAUCCAGUUCUAGUUGUAUCGAUCGGGAUACAACUCCGAGCAUCUGUUACCGUAGGACAGGCUAUCGAUAGAUGUUUUCUUCCCUGCAGGGGUACACCAACUUACCCACCACGCUCGAUUAACUCCGGCCGGACACACUUUCCUGGGUCAUGCCCGGCCUCGGCGAAACAAUACGCCGCAACCCGACCUAGGCUUAAUAAAGAGGUCAGCACACCGGACUAAACCUAUGCCCCCAGGGGUCAUGGGUCAUCUCCCCGGGAACUCCUGCACAUUGCGUGGGCGGCCGGUGAGCAGACCUAGCUACCUCCUUAAAAAAGGUAGGAGCUUACCAGUCCAACCCGGCGCGCGCCGCUCAGUCGCUGACGUCUAAUAAGCUUCAGCUGAUGCAUACGACGCAGAACGCCCAUACUAUGCCCACAUGAUGGUUAGUGCUAUCAGGCCAGAGGCCCCUCGGAUCAAAUAUCCAAAUCAUAGUGGAUUAGGAACGCGCGGUAACAAGCAGAGACUCACGAAAGAUGUGAUCCCCGUUGCCCCGUCUCAAGGACUUGUGGCAAGGGCUAAGAAUGCUCGGCCACGCCUCGUAUUCGACUCUCGGGUACCCUCCAGGUCAACCCGUCUCCACAUCACUCGCAAUUAUGCUCGCGCGGGUACCCCUCAGGGUCGACCCAUCUUUAGUAACAUGGUUCAGUGUAAAGUCAUAGUAAUCAUAAUAACUGUGUGUCUAAACAUCAAGGGGAAAACCCGAGGAAUCACCCCCGAUGAAUUCCACUCGAUGUAAUCAUCAAGGUGAACGUAAGAGGAAUCACCCCCGAGGUUCACACUUGAGGGGUUGCACGACAGAGUCGUAACGGAAGUGGUUAAGGCGGAAUCACCCUGAUGACCACGACCAAAUAGCUACACUAUAGGGUUAACAUCAGAAGUGCUGUAGAGGUCUCACCCUCGGCACUCGAUAGUAAUCCAGUAGUGUUGAGAAACUAAGAGGAAGUGAUGUGCGGUGCCGGGGCCUGGUCUUCGAUCCCGUUGAUCGGGUCUUCGAUGAUGAAGUAGGGGCAACAAGGACAAGGUGGGGGUCACUGAUGGAUCACUAACCAACCUAUACUAAGCAGUUUAGGAUAAGCAUGUAAGGUACAACAGCAGAUACAAAAGCAGGCUAUGCAUCAGAAUAGGAGCAAACAAUUACAGUAGCAAAAUCUAAUGCAAGCAUGAGAGAAAGGAAAAGGACGAUAUCGGGAUGAUCAAAGGGGGGCUUGCCUGGUUUCUAUGGCAAGGAGGGGUCGUCGUUGACGUAGUCGAUCACAGGGACAACAUCGGUCUCAGGGUCUACCGGAGAGAAGAGGGGGAAGAAAAAGUAAAUAUAAAGCAAACAUAGCAUAACAGGACAACAAGCAGAGCUAGACGUGUUCUAACGUGGUGCUACACGAUAACGGCGAGGGGGGAAGUCAACCGGGAAUGUUUUCCCGGUUCCGGACGUGUGUCAGACAAACGACCGGAGGGGGAAAGUUCCAUGUUCAGCAUGCUAGGGGCAUGUGACAGAUGAACGGACCGCGUAUUCGGAUUCGUUGGAUUUUUCUGAGCAACUUUCAUGUAGAAUACAUUUUCAUCUGAGUUACGGUUUAUUUUUUGUGAAUUUUCAAAGAUUAAACCAUUUUUUGAAUUUAUUUAUAUUAACAGAAAAUAAUAUGACGUCAGCAUGAUGUGUUGAUGACGUCAGCAGUCAACUGGUCAGUUGACCAGGUCAAACAUGACCUGUGGGUCCAGGGGGACCCACACGUCAGCGACUGCGGCACUAACAGUUGAUUAAAUUGACUAACAAAACUAAUUAGGGGUGUGGGCCGCACUAGUCAAUGACUGAUUAGUGAUUAAAACUAAUUAAUAGAUUAAUUAACAUUUUAUUUAUUUAUAAAACCUGUUAAUUAGCGCGGGGCCCACAUGUCAGUGGGCAGAGUGCCCAGUCAGCAGUUGACCCAGUCAACUGGGUCAACUAGGAUCGGCGGGGCCCAGCGGCAGUGUCACAGGGGGCCCACUUUCCAGGUCACGUCGGCGACGACAGGAGACUCGACGCCGUCGACCAAAACUGCGGCGGCGCGUUCUAAAGCGGAGACCAAACCACGUCAAACCGUCAUGGUCUCGCGACCAGGGAGGCUCUACGCCGACGACGAGCACGUCGGCGGCGGAGCUCGCAGGUGCGCUACGGGGAGGCGGCUGCGGUACGAAUUUGCGCGCGCGUUCGGGCUCAUUCAAACGCGGGAACAUCACCGCGUCGUUCUAACCCAACGGCGCCGGCAAUGGUGGUCGGAAGCGACGGUAGCGACGAGUUCGGGCGGCGGACAGAAAAAAAAGCGGCGGCGAGCUAGCUACGGUGAUGCACAAGGCGCGAGGAGAGGAAAGGAGGGAGGGAGGAGCUCACCGAGUGGCUCACGGUGGUUUGUGGUCAGUUUAGUAGCAGCAGAGCUAGACGCAGACGGGGGCGCGUCGGUGGUCGACAGGGAGGCGACCUCGAAGCCGAAGACGCGGGGCCUCUCCGGCUCCUACUGUUGGGCGAUGGGACGAGGCCAAGGCCCGUGCAGCUACUGAAUGCCCUAGCGCAGCCCAGGGUGGCGCUGGAGCGCGCGGACAACGGCGGGCGGCGUCAGGAGGGGGUUCGGUGAGGCGGGGGAUCUGAGGAGGGAAGGACGAGAGGGAGAGGGAGGUGGACGGAGAGGCGGGAGUGGCAGUUGGUGAGGGGGAGGACUCGAGGCGUCCGGGGGCGUGGAGGCCUUAUCCUCUCGUGGGGGUCGUCGCCGGCGAGGUAGUUCGGCGGCGACCAGCCUCCUGUAGCGACGCGCACCGGGGGAACAGUGGGGGAGACGACCGGGGCGGGGAGCUGGCCCUAGCCGACUGGGCCUGUCUCUGUGGCCUUAGGCCCAGGGGCAAGGGGGGUCCCUUUUCCUUCUUCUUCUUUUUUGCAUUUCUAUUUCUUUUCUCUUUUUACAGAAUGCUUUGCAAAUUUUUGGAGCUGCCAAAAGGAUUCUGUAAAAUGUGGGACUUGGCCACAUAAUUACAAUGCAAUGUCUGACACAACCACAAAAAGUUUGGAAGAAAUUUGAAUUAGAUGGAAUUUGCAAAAAGAUGGAAAAGCAAUAAAUUUGCUGAGUGGCACUGUUUUAAUUUGCUAUAGUCCAUCUUAGCUUGGAGGUGAUGUUGUUUUUCUUAACAAUCAUUUGUUAUGGAAUAUUUACUAAAUGAUGGACUAUUUUGCAACAACUUUUGUGCAACUUCAAAAAUCACUUGCAAAUUGAAUUUGAUUCCAAAGUGGAAUUUCAAAUGAGAUUUGAAUCAAAGGUGAUUAAGCACUGUUUGGAAAAAUGAUUAGCUUAAUCACAGUGGGUUACUGUAGCAUGACACUGGGGGUGUUACAAUCACGACCUACUGGCAAACUAGAAGGAUCUUUCUGGUGAAAAUCUCUCUUAAAGCUAAUACCUCUAUACAAGGAAACUGUCAUCUCCACUGUGAAAUCUAGAAAAAAAAAUUAUUCUAGGAUGACAGAUCGAAAGGAUAGACAUUGGCAAUUCAAUAUCCUGAGCUUCACUCUUUUGCUAUCCAUACUAGAAAAAUUGUGGCACAUGUGCUGAAUGGGCAAGAUUUUGCUGAAAAUAUUCAUAGGCCUGUCUCAACUCAAACCCAUGACCAACUCAUCAAUGUCAAUCAAGCAAUAGAUCAAAUUUCCCUAGAUGAAGGAAAUGACUGUUGGCAUUAUUACUGGAUAGGAAAUAACUAUUCUUCCAGGCAAAUGUAUAAGUACAUCAUGGGCACCUCUGAUUCCCACUGUAUCUUUAAAUGGCUCUGGAAAAGUGCAAAUAGAGUCAGACACAAAAUCUUCUUUUGAUUGGCUCUUUAUGAUAGAGUGAGUACAAGGGGUCUUCUGGAAAGAAAAUCUUUCCACAUCCUCUCCUUCAAUUGUGCCCUAUGAAUGAAAACUGUGAGGAAAAUAUUUUGGGAUAAUUGAUUUUAUGCCCCUAGUUGGGUCACACUCGGCAGUUUUACCCCUAGUUUCCGAAAACACCCGUUCCUGUCCAAACCAUUUUGCUCAUCUUAUGCUUUUGCCCUUCCGUCUGAAUUCCGCCCAGUCAAAGGCGUUUGACCGUUAGAGAGACAGUUUUGUGGACCAUUUUGCCCCUCCUUACAACUUCGGUUUAAAUUCAAAGAAAAAACAUUGUGACGCUUACAUGUGGGAUCAAACUAAAUAAAAAAACAAAUAGGAAAAACAUUAUCUCUCCCCCUAAGCAACCUCACUUUCCCAUCCUGGCGCCGCCGCCCUGGCCACACACCACCCGCACCACCGGUGUUGCAUGCCCUACCUCCGGUGCCCCCACAACCACCUCCUUCUCCCAUCCUAGGCGCGGCCCCGCUCAGCUAACCGCCGUGCUGGCGGACCUCGAGGCCACGGUGGUCGUUCGCGAUGCAUGUGGCAGAGGCGGCGCACAUGCUGAGGAUGAAACUGAGAAGUACUAACUACACAAAACUUGACAUCACUAUCAUUGCCACCACCAUAAAAGACAUGCCGAGGCGUUGAAAGACAAACCACUAGAGUGCGAUGCCAUCUCCAAUGUUGAAAUGGUCCACCAAGAACAUAUAUAACCAGAACUAAAAUGAAAUAAACUACACUCUAGACAUAGGUUAGGAUUCGUGGUCCCGUGUGUCAGAUGGUCGCCAGAGACGAGGGCGUGGAAAACAGAGGAAGGAGUGGGUCUCUCAUUCCAUUUUUUAAUUCUCGUCAUCUUCCUUGAUCACACAGUGAUGAAGUACUAGUAGUUUGGCAACUUGUCUUGCAAAGAUUUGUCCCACCAUUUUGCGUUAGUACAUUCUAGGUUCUCACUUGUUGGAUCGGGCAGCUCGUGGGGCUGUUCGAAACCUUCGAGGUUAGCCAUCUUAUGUAGGUUUGCUAUUCUAUAGUCUUUUCACCUGACGCCAAGGACUUUGAUGUAACUUUAUGUUUUAUAAUAGUUUUUGUUGUUUCUUCUUUACUCGAUCUGAUGUACCUUGUCUAGUUUAUAAAUAUAGCCGGAUCAUUUACUAAAAUAGUAAAAAAAGUGACCCAAUGACAAGAUGCUUGGCAACGUUAUUGCCAAAAAAAAAAAACCUCCCGCUGGCUUCUACAAUUCUACUUAACUGAAGAGUUGGGAGCCCUAUAUGACGCAAGGUGAAUCCUAGUUGACGCCCACAGGUAUCAACUAGUUGAGGGACGACCGCAGAUGAGCGAGCGGGCAGACCAAAUUCUAUGUUUUCCAUUCACGCAUGUGCUAUGUUCCUAUUAUGUUUUUUCACGUUUGUUCCCAUUAUGCUUCUUGCUUUGCUUUUUUUCGCUUUUAUGUUUUGGUUUUUCUUUUUUGGUUUUUUCUUUAUAUUUCCUUUUUUACUUUCUGUUCUUCUGGGUUGAUUCUUUCCUGGUAUUUUUUCCUUUUUCUUGAACUCUUCCUUCUUUUUAGUUUCUAUAACUACAAACAUUUUUUUCAAUAUACUAUGAAUAUUUUUGUAAUAUACAUUGAACAUUUUUCUAUAUAUAUUAAACUUUUUAUUAAUAUAUGUUGAACUAUUUUAACAUUCGGCGAACAUUUUUUUAUACAAAUUGAACUUUUUGUAAUGUAUGGUGAACUAAUUUUGAAUAUAUGCUGGACAUUUUCUUAAUAGACAUGAAACUUUUUCAAAACACACACCCAAUAUUUUUCAUAGACAAAAGAAGAUAUGAAGGGAAAAACAUCUAACAGCAAGUUUUUCUAAAAAAAAACACUCAGUUGAGCUCAUCAUAUUGGACGGCAAUGGCGGAGCUUCCCUAGGGCCAAAGGGGGUGAUUGCCCCCUACUCUAGAAAAUCCAUUACGUGUAUACCCUUAAUGUUGGGCUUAAAAUAUCAAAUAUUAGUGAAAAUUCGAGCAUUUGCAUUCUUUGCCCCCUCAAUGCUGCUUAGCCCCUUCAACAACCUUUGUCAAGCUCCGCCACUAUUUGACAAACACAGUUCGUUUACUUUCAAGCACGCGAACGGGCAUCAACCAGGAGGCCAAUAGAAGAGAAAAGGAGAGUUCCCAGGAUUCGAACCUGGGUAUCCUCAAUGGUGUGUAGCGAAGCAAGUUAGUGGGUAAGCGCUUCGUUCAGAUUGAUUACCAGGGCGCAGACUGCUAAUAGAGAAAAGAGUCGAUUUUUCAUUUGUUUUCUUUUCGGGUUUUUUCUUUUGUUUUUCAUCGAUUAUUCUUUGUUUAUUUCUCUAUUUCUACUGUUUUUUUCUUUUCUUCUCCAGUUCUAGUGCUUUAUUAUGUUUUCUUUUCCUUUUGUUUCUUUCCUUUUUCCCUCUCUAUUUUUUCAUUCUUUUUGCAUUGGUUUUUUCAAUUUUACUUUUCAUUUUAUUUUUAUAUGGAUAUAUUAUUUCUUUUUCGAUUUCUUUUGGUUUAAUUUGUUUAUUUUAGUUUUCAUUCUACACUUUUUUGUACAUAUCACAACAUUUUUUUAAUACACAUUUAUCAUUUUUCUAAUACAAAUUUUACAUACUCAACAUUUUUCCUAUCCACAUUUUAAACAUUUUUCAAAUAGAAGAUUAACAUUUUUUUUAAUAAAUGGCUAACAUGUUUCCUGUACAUGCUUUAAACUUUUUCAAAUGCUUGAUUGACAUUUUUCAAAUACAUGGUCAACAUUUUUAUAUUUACAUUUAAUAUUUUUCACAUCCUUGAUUAACAUUUCUUAAAUUCAAUAUUAACAUUUUUAACACAUGUUCAACAUUUUUCUAAACACAUUUAACAUUUUUCAAAUGAUUGAUUACCAUUUUUCAAAUACUUGUUCAUCACUUUUUGAAAUGCUUGCUAAGCAUUUUUAUAUACAUCACAUGAUAAAAAAUUUCCCUAUACACAUUUAACAUUUUUAUAAUGCUUGUUGAACAUUUUGUUUUUUCAAAUGCUUGAUUAACAUUUUCAUAUACAUGAUCAACUUUGUUUCAUCAUUUCUUUAAUACAUGGUCAACACUUUUUCUUCGCAUAUCUAUCAUUUUCAAACACUUGUUCAACAUAUUUUCAAAUGCUUGAUUAACUUUUUUAAAAUAUAUGGCCAAUUUUUUCCUACACAUUUUAUUUUUUUCAUACAUUUUUCAUAUAUGUGAUAAAUAUUUUCUCUACACACUUUUAACAUUUUUGAAAUGUUUGUUAAUAUUUUUAAAAUGUUUAUUGGAGUGAUUUUGUAAUAUAUUUAUUUUGAGUAUUUGAAAGUAUCAAUAAAAUAAAAGAAGAAAGCAAAAAAGAAAAUGUAAAAAAAACAGAAAACAAGGCUGUUGUUUUCCGUGCACCUGGGCCGGCCCAACUCACGGCACCCCAUCAGGGAGGGUUCACUGAGAGCAACUAAUUAAAGAGCGCUCCUUCGGGAGCCUCGCAACGACCAACGCCACUUGGCGUGCUCCCAGCCGCUCGCCACAUGUCGUGCUCUGGACGCUCCCUCCAGAUUUUAUUUUCUUAUUUUUCCGCAUGCGUUUUCGGCCUUUUAAACGGGUUUUCGGGAUUUUUUUCGACGUUUCUGUUUUCCACCAUUCUUCCUGAACUUUUGGACCAUUUUUUUUGGCAAAAAAACGCGUUUUUCCCUUUCGCGAGAGUCACGCUUUUGCUUCCGCGAGAGGCAUGCCUUUUGCUUCGCGAGAGUCAUGGCCGUGCCUCUGGGAAACGGAAAAACACGUGUUUUCUUUUUUUGUCCUUUCGUGAAAGGCAUGGUUUUGCUUCUGAAAGAGGCACGGUUGUGCUUUCGCGGGAGUCAUGGCCAUGCCUCUCGGAAACGAAAAAAAUGCGUUUUUUAUUUUUUCCUUCUGCGAGAGGCACGAUUUUGCUUCCGCGAGAGUCACGGUUGUGCUUUCAUGAGAGGCACACCUCUCGGAAACGAAAAAAACGCGUUUCCCGAUUCUGUUUUCUUUUACCAGAGGCACGGUUUUGCUUCCGCGAAAGGCAUGGUUAUGCUUCCGUGAGAGGCACGGGCGUGCCUCCUCGGAAACGAAAAAAACACGUUCUCUUUUUUUUUCCUUCCACAAGAGGCACAGGUUUGCUUCCACGAGAGGCACGGCCGUGCCUCUUUCGGAAAGGGAAAAAACCCGUGCUCCCGGUUCAGUUUUUUCGUCUGAUUUUUUUCGUGAAAAAAUGGUUCAUCAAAAUCUAUCAACAUGGGAUCUAGUUUUUAAGAUCUCGAUGCGAGGAAUUCAACGAUGAAAAUGGUUCUAGAUUUGGACGCAUGGUUAAAGAGAUAAAACGUUUUGAAUAAAUGAAUCUACAAAAUAAAGGGAAAAUUACCCGGUUGCGACAAGUGGCGCACAUGCAAGACACCACUUGUCGCAACCUGGAAAAAUGAGAGUGAUCUUUGCAACGAAUACUUCUUAACUAGUGAUUUCGGGGUUCACUCUGUCUCGCUGUAUGCAAGACAUAUGGGUGCCCAUGACGCAAUGCGUUAUAUUGGUUGACGCAUAGGAGUGUGUCCUCGUGGGCUGUUCCACUUCGGUGAUUCUGCGAUCAGCCCUUUACUGUGCAGUUUUCAACUUUUGUUUCAUGCUCAGGUUAGUUUUAUUUAUUAUCACAUAAAAUAUGAAAGAUGAUUCAUUUUAAAAUUAAAUAGGCGAAUUUAGUUUAAAAUCAAGAACAUUUCCUAAAUCCAUGAACAUUUACUAAAUUCAUGAUUUAUUUUCAUAUUCAUAAUGUUUUUAAGUUCAUGAAUUUUUCUUAAAAUUAUAAAUAUCUUUUGAUUUCGUGAAUAUUUUUUAUAAAAUCGGUGUUAUCGAUAUUACUGUAUAUUUUAUUUUUUGGAUAUCUUUUGUACAUUUAUAAAAUCCGUGAACCUUUUUAAAAAAUGUGUGAAUAUUCACAAAUUCAUGAAACAACUUUAUAGUUUGAAAAAAAAGACAAAAUAGAAGUAAACACCGGGUGAAAAACCAUAGAAACAAAAAUUAAAAAAUAAAACAAACAAAACUAGCUUGAAAUCGUAAAAUAUCAAAAUGAACAAAAUCAAAAGGAAAAGGAAAAGAAUGAAAGAAAAUGAAAUAAAUAAAAUGCAAAAGCAAAGAAACCAGAUUAAUGAAAUGGGAAAACCGAAAGUACCGGAAAAUGAAGCGACCGGAUGAAGCGAGCAACGAACGAAUGGGAAUAAAGAUCGGCUCAAACUGAUCGAUAGAUUGGCCGAGGCCGGGCCAUGGGAACGAAGUAUGUGCGGUAUCCGGACAAUUUGGUGCAAUGACUGUCAAAUAUGGAUUCACGAGGGACUUGGCUGAAUUUACCUCGAAGUGUUUUAACAUUUAUUUACCAUUUUAAGCCUCUUGCUUAUUAAUUACCUAAAAGAAAGACCUUACCGAGUUACCGUAAGCAUCUUAGAUAUUAGCACCUUUAGCGCAGUUGGACUAGAGGUUUGGAUGACAAUUAACUACAAUACCUGAACAAUGUUUUCUCACAUGUACUGUUAUAGAAAUUACAGACCUUUUCUUGAAAAGAAGUAGAUGUAUACAUGAUGAAUCAUGUACCGGCUGCAGCUCAUAACUGCUACUAGUCUAUCUAGAUACCGGAACCGGAGUACAUAGUAUACUCGCUCUACACAGAAGAGCACAGUAUUUUUCGAACAUAGUACUAGCACUAGUUGAGCUCAUUCUUCUUCUAUGGAGCCUGUCCAGUCCACAUAUAAUUGACAACGUUCCUGUUGUUGUGCUCAUAUACUGUGGACGUGUGAUUGGUUCUUUGGCCUCACUAGUCAUCGUGUCGUUGUCAUCACAGGUCAGGCAGAGGCACAGCCACGGCCAUGUCCAUUGCCCUGCAUGCAGAAAGAAGCCAUCAUGAUAGAGUAUGAGAUGCUCUCUACUAGGUAGACCUAUGUUUUCUGUAGUGGGCUAGCUAGCUAGCUAGGCCUGCAGAUUCAAUGCAGUUAGUUUGUAGGCCUGCAGUGUAUAACUAUGCAGUUUCAAGCAGCAGCAGCUGAGGCUAAGAAAAGCUGAGCCAUUUCAUGGUUAACCACUUGAGUUUGAUCAGAUGGCCUCAGGGUCACUGUGCGUGCGUGCGUGCGUUUUGACCUUGAGAAGCUAAAUGCUCGGCCCCCUAUUGCCACCUUUGGUUUCCUGCAUGUUCUUGCUAGUGGUAGCAUUUCGGUCAUUUCACUGUAUCAUCUGGCAAUUGUCCACUGCACGAUGAUGAUGCCUAUUGACAUCAGACGUGUCAUGUGAUCCAUCAGUCACCUAGCCGUGUGCGCUGAAGUAGAUGCAAGACCAUGCGUGUUCGGCCUUUGAUCGUCAGUUUGAUCGACUGAAAGAAUUCAUGUCAUGUGGUUGGGGAAUUCUGUCGUGGUCAUUGAACGCUGCUUCUGGUACCACUCGUACCGGCUCCCCGUGGUGCACCCUUCGAAUCGAAAGGCCAUGCAUGCAUAUGCACCAGAGGCAAAGAAAGUGGAUCGAUGCAGUACGUCGCAGGCUUUCUUCUUUCCCUUUGCUAGCUUUUGGUUGCUUUGGCGCACUCUGAUGCAGAUGCAGCAGCAGCAGGAGCAGCAGAAUUGAAGAGUGCAUGCAUUCGAUUCAGUGCCCGGCCGGCCCCCUCCAUCAGAAUCAGAUCAUGGUAUGCAAUCCUGCGUGCGUCGUAGAUCAUCAGAUCCCCAUACAUCGCCAUCACAAACCCAGAAGGACACAGCCUUUUCCUCCCAUCCUUCUCUAACUGCAAUGGAAUGCUUACUUAUUACUGCCAUCUUUAAUCUAGUACCGGCCGGCCAGUAUCUCUUUCUCUCUCUACACGUCUUUGCAUUGCACCCGCCGGCCGGCUCUCUUUCUCUCUGCCAUGAUUAAUUCUGUCUUUCUCACUCAUAGUACUGCAUGCAUGCUGCUGCAGGAUGAAGCGGAGGAGAAGGCUAUGGCUAGCUGCCUUGGGACUAGCAACCGGAAGCAGCAGAGUACCCUUUGCUGAACGAGGAAACACUCCUUCUGAAAGUACACUGCAUGCUGCUGCUCGAUCGGCAGGCCACGCUCGGGAGCAUAUAUGUUCUCUUCACCUAAUGACCGCAGCAAGAAUUAACCUUUACUUUGUCACCUGUUGGAUGUUCCAAACGGAAUGUAGUAUAUUUGCACCAAGCAGGCAAUCCCCAUGACUAGUUACGUCAUUUACUUGCUUAACUAAGUUUUUUUUCUUUCAAAAAGAAGGAUAAACCCCUGGGCUCUGCAUGAAGCGAUGCUUGGCCUAUAUGUCUCUGUUGACUGGGAUUUUAACCAAGUCUCACAGGAAUAGUAUAUAAGAAGAAGAAUAAGAAAUUAUUAUUUUUCUUGCAUUGAUCUCCACGCAAGAUCGAACGGAUAUAGCAUCGACUGAGACAUAAUCAAGUCUCAGUCGACUGAGACUUAGCAAAACUGUUAUUAUAUUAUUCAACAGAGCUUGACAAAAUAAAUAAAAGGAUCAACCCAAAGGCACCUUCUUGGUGAUCUAUGUUGCUACACCUACAAGCUUUAUGAUGCGCCAUCACCGCACCAACACACAAUAUCUAAUUCGGUCCUCACGAAGCCGCCCGAGGCAUGCUGAGAGCACCAACCGGUCUAGCAAACCCGCAGCACGCACCAACAAAAAAUCAUCAACUUGCUUAACUAUUACUACGACUGAAGAAUACAUACUUGUACUGCUAGCUAGCUAUGUGAAAGUAUAAAAGCUUCAAAAAUACAACCUCGACUUGUGUACAACUUUGUACUCCCGCGCUCAUGUAUAGUACGUGGCUUGCUAUGCAAUUUCACACCUCUUUUCUCUCUUUGCCUUUUUUGGGUAGCUAGCUAACUAGCUAGGAGGCCGGCUAAGUUCAAAAAAAAAAAAAAAGCUAGGAGGCCGGCUACCUAGGUAUGGUAUGGACGGUGGAUAUAUGUAUGUGUGUAGAAAGAGAACAUGCUAAAUCCCUGUCAAGUCUCCGUCUCUCUCUCCCUCCAUGAUGUCCCUUAUCUCCUCACCUCUUUUUAUUUAUUCGUAUCAUAUCAUGCAUGCACAUCAGUUCAUUCAUCGCUGCCGCGUGACUUGGGUUAAUUGUCCACAUAAAUUGACCAUCUUGCAGGUUUUGCCCUACGAUAAAUAUGCAUGUAUAUAGAUCUUUCUGAAUUGCUCUCUGGAAUUACUGCAUGCAUGCAUGCGUGAUAUGCGCGUGGAGUGGAGAAGAGGCCAGACACAAAGACAGGUUCCAUGUGUCCGAUGCAUGCAUGUGAUUUUUUAAUUAUCUCUGUGGUUGUUUCUGAUGAUGCAUGCAGUGUGUCCUAAUUGCAAGCUACUGUCAUGCAGGGCGCGCAUGCAUGCAACGCAUAUGCUUUGUGAUGACAAACUUUGGAGGUUUCCUUUGUGGGCGCAGCUUUUAGUAACAUUCCUCUUCUCUUCUCACUCAUCACACAUCAGUAGUAACUUCUACUCCUUGGCUCUAUGCAAGACAUUGAUCGUGGGAAGAAAAAUACACCGCAUGCCAACAUAUAUUUUGUAGUUAACGUAGUACAAGAAAAAUACUUGGGCCAGAAUUGAUUAUUUGCUGCCCAGAAAUACUCAUACAUACACUUCAGCGUAUACUUCUAAUGCAUAAGCUAAUUAACGAUCAGGAGAUCAGUCCGGCUCUUCUGUGUUGAUGGCAGAAAUGUGAUACACCCAUGUCAGGAUAAAUAAUUGAGGGUUCCAGCCCAUCUGGUGUAAUUAAAUAAGUUAGCUUGCAAAGCAGCAUGUUGACCUAUUUUUUUUUUCGAAAAGGGGGGCUUCCCCGGCCUCUGCAUCAGCAUGAUGCAUACGGCCAUCUUAUUAAGCAUAAAAUAGUCCACAAAGUCUCCAAGUCUCAAGGUUGUCAACAAGAAAAGUAAGAAAAGGCUCACACAGAGCCCGAAGGCUAGAUACACAAGCUAGCCAAAGCACUUAUACAUCACAGCCGUUUGGCUCCAAAAUAGACAGGUAAACUAAUUGUCUAUCCUGUUACACGACCGCCAUCCAAACCGGCUGAAUAUAUCCCGAGCUACCAUCUCCCAUCGGAUAGCAGCAGUAACCAAAAGCUCCCUGGCCUCCGUCGGAGUGAGUAGCGACCAGGAACGGAUAAGAGCCGUUGCUCGAAAGAUAACCUGCAAAACAUGGAUAUUUGUUGAUCUGUUAAAGACGAAGUCAUUUCUGCAAUUCCAAAGCGCCCACAAAAAAGCGCAAACCCCCAAGCGAAUAUGUUUUGCUAACCCGGGCUCUACCCUAGUUAGCCAUGUCCCAAACAACAUGUUAACCGACCUUGGUGGGGUAAUAUUGAAAGCGACUUGAAUAGUCGUCCAAAGAAUUCUAGCUAGUGGGCAGUCAAAGAAAAGAUGUUUAAUGGUUUCACCCUGAUCACAGAAACUACACCUAGUAGGUCCUGUCCAAUUACGCUUAAUAAGAUUAUCCUUUGUUAAGAUCACCUGUUUAUGUAGAAACCACAUAAACACCUUGAUCUUUAAAGGAACUCUGACGUCCCACACAUGCUUUGAAGUAGGAAUCGAGCUGGAAUUAAUAACAUCAACAUACAUUGAUUUAACCGUGAAUCCCCCCGACCUAGUGAGAUUCCAGCGUAAUUUAUCAGGUUGUUGAGAUAGUUGUACCUGCAUCAGUCUCCUAACUAGAUGCAGCCACUCUUCCCAACGAUUGCCCACUAACGAUCUUCUAAACUGGAUAUCCAGGGGUAUCGAGGCGAAGACCGAUGCAACCAAAGCAUCGCGCCUUCGAACUAUACGAUACAGAGACGGAUACUGGAUUGCUAGGGGAGCCUCUCCAAGCCAAGUAUCCUCCCAGAAUCUCGUGCUUGCACCAUUACCAACUAAAUGCUUUGACCUCUGAAAAAAUGAAAGCUUCACUUUCAUAAGCCCUUUCCAAAAGGGUGAAUCAGUUGGUCUAACCGACACCUGAGCCAAAGUUUUGGUUUGGAGAUACUUGUUACGCAGGAUUUGAGCCCACAUGGCGUCAGUUCCUGAGGAUAACUUCCACAACCACUUACUAAGAAGGCACCGGUUCUUGACUUCGAGAUUCUCAAUCCCCAUACCCCCUUGGUCUUUCGGUCUACAAAUGAUAUCCCACUUCGCUAACCGAUAUUUUCUCUUAGGCUCAUCCCCCUGCCAAAAGAACCUCGAUCGAUAGAAGUCCAGUCGUUUCCUAACUCCAACUGGGACUUCAAAGAAGGACAAAAGGAACAUGGGCAUGCUCGUGAGCACCGAAUUAAUAAGAAUUAAACGGCCUCCAUACGACAUGAGCUUGCCCUUCCAACAACUUAGCUUCUUCUCGAAACGAUCCUCAAUACACUUCCAUUCAUUAUUCGUGAGCUUGCGGUGAUGAAUAGGAAUUCCUAAGUAGGUAAAAGGCAGCUCACCCAAACCACAUCCGAACAACUGCUUGUAAUCCUCUUGUUCCUCUUUGGCUCUCCCAAAGCAGAACAACUCACUUUUGUGAAAGUUAAUUUUGAGCCCACUUAGCUGCUCAAACAAACAAAGCAGCAGCUUCAGAUUUCUAGCUUUUACCAAGUCAUGCUCCAUGAAGAUGAUAGUGUCAUCAGCGUAUUGCAGGAUGGAUAUACCCCCAUCCACUAAGUGUGGCACCAAGCCCCCUAUUUGGCCAACUUCCUUGGCUCUCCCUAACAACACCGCCAACAUAUCGGCUACUAUGUUGAACAGAAUAGGGGACAUCGGAUCUCCCUGCCACAGGCCCUUAUGUGUCUGGAAGUAAUGACCGACAUCGUCAUUCACUUUUAUGCCAACACUACCCUUUUGCGUAAAAGUUUCAAUCUGGCUCCUCCAGCCCUCGUGGAAACCUUUCAUACGCAAAGCUUGUUGCAGAAAAGGCCAUUUAACUUUGUCAUACGCUUUCUCAAAAUCUACUUUAAAGAUGACUCCAUCAAGUUUCUUAGAGUGAAUUUCCUGGAGCGUUUCAUGCAACACCACCACCCCUUCAAGGAUGUUUCUGUCUGGCAUGAAAGCUGUUUGGGAUUGCUGCACCACAGAAUGCGCAAUCUGUGUGAGCCUAUUAGUCCCAACCUUGGUAAAAAUUUUGAAACUGACAUUCAAGAGGCAGAUAGGACGGAACUGCUCAAUCCUGAGAGCGUCGGUCUUCUUUGGAAGCAACGUUAUCGUUCCAAAGUUCAAAUGAAAAAGUUGAAGCCGUCCAGCAAAAAGGUCGUGGAACAUGGGUAGCAGAUCCCCUUUGAUGAUAUGCCAACAUCUUUUGUAAAACUCCGCCGAGAACCCAUCCGGCCCGGGAGCCUUAUUGUUCUCCAUCUGAGAGAUGGCAUCGAAAACCUCCUUUUCCGUAAACGGCGCAACUAGCAUGUCAUUAUCAGCAUCAGUUAAUUGAGGCACAUCCUCAGUCCUGGACUCAUCGAGGGACACAGCGCUAUCCUCCGGCGGUCCAAAUAACUGCUUGUAGUAUUCGGUGAUGUAUAGCUUAAGAUUAUCGUGACCAACAAUUGUGCCUUCAUCUUGCUCGAGCUGAAAUAUUUUUUUCUUUCUGUGUUUGCCAUUCGCAAUCAGAUGAAAGAAUUGAGUGUUCGCAUCCCCUUGGAUUACUUUGCGAACCUUUGCUCUGAGCGCCCACUUCAGCUCUUCUUCGCGGAGAAGUUCCUUCAACCUCUUUUCAGCAUCAAUCUUACAGCACAUAUCCGCAGAUUGAAGAACCGCUGAUUCAGCUUUAACAUCUAGGUAUUGAAUAAUCUCCAGGAGUCUGUCUUUCUCAACCUUAUAAACUCCACUUAGAUGUUUAGCCCAACCUCGAAGAAAGCACCUCAAAUGCCUAAUCUUAUUCUGCCAUCUCUCGACAGGCGAUCUACCCCUAGACUCUCUAGCCCACUCUCUGGCAACAAUAUCCAAGAAACCUUCUCUUUCAAACCAUGUCGUUUCAAAGGAGAAAGUAUUCUUGUUUCCCACAUGCCUUGGCUCCCCUGAGUCAACAAAUAGCGGUGUGUGGUCCGAAAUUCCUCGCGUUAGAGCCUGCACCGUGACCAGAGGGAACUUCUGCUCCCAUUCGGCACUUGCAAGAACCCGAUCCAACUUCUCAUAUGUCGGGUUUGGUAAAGAGUUAGCCCAGGUAAAUUGUCUACCAGAGAGUUCGAUUUCUCUCAAAUCCAAACUCUCAAUGAUGGUAUUAAACAUAAAGGACCAUCGCCCAUCAAAAUUAUCGUUAUUCUUUUCAUCCCGCCUCCUAAUAAUGUUGAAGUCCCCCCCAACCAGGAUAGGGAGUUGUUCGGACCCACAAAUUCUAACCAGGUCAGCCAAAAAUUCAGGUUUAAGCUCAGGUUGUGCAGCCCCGUAGACCGCCACCAACACCCAGUUAAACCCAUCUAUUUUGGACCUGACUCUGAAUUUCACUGCAAAGUCACCCAUAACAACACUCCGGACUUCAAGGGAAUCACAUCUCACACCCAGCAAGAUGCCCCCAGACCUCCCUCUUGGAGGAAGACAAUGCCAAUCGAAUUCCACCCCUCCCGACAACGUGUUAAGAAACUGAGGUGCAAAAUUAUCCCUACCAGUUUCAGAGAGAGCAAUGAAAUCUAAACGGUGCUCUAAAGAUGCCUCCGCUAGAAACCUACGUUUAGCCAAGUCCUUAAGACCUCUGCUAUUCCAGAAUAUUCCUUUCAUAGGUCAUCAUGGAAUUUUUUGGCCUUACGAAUUCUAGCACUCCUGCGUACCGCGGAUGCAGGGUACACCUUCCGCUUCCACUUACAUUUAGGAAUGUUAUCACCUGUAGCCCGGUCCUCAUAACCGUGCUCUGGUUGAACAUGAGCUGCAUCAUCUACCUGGAGUUCAUCCUCAUCAGGCUCCGCAGACGGAGGAACAAGAUCCGCGCAGAAUUUAUCAAGCACCCUAACACCCAAGGCCUCAAUCUCCGCAUCAUUCAAAGGUUUUACAGCCGCUAGGUUUCUAAUAGACUCCAAGGCCCGUUCCGCUUCCAAAUCUAAAAGAUCAUUAACCGAGUUUUCAAUUUCCAAAUUAUUAUUCCCAAGAGACACCCCCACUUGGUUUGCAUUAUUAAUAAUCUCAUCCUUAGAGAAAUGCAGAAUAGAAUUUGAAACAUUAACUGACAUACCUGUUGUGCUCUCCACAUCACGCAGCUUGGCCGCCCGCAUAGCGCACCUCUGCUGCAAAUCAUCAACCUCCGGAAGGUCCUGGAGACGAGAGCUCGUCCGCCUCCCCUCGGAAGCAGGGUCUCGGAUCCCUCCGAACGCGAUCACCUCCUCCCGAGUAGCGGCUCCCGGAGUAGGUCUGGGAGAGGGGGACCGCGUAGGAGAUGUGGAGAUGCCUGACGGAGUUAGCACCAGGGCCUCCUGCCCUAGUCCGACCCCCCCAGCCGACGCCGUGGCAGCCGUGCGCUCCACCUGCAGGACCGCCGUCGGUACUAGAGGGUCAGGGGCCACCUGCCCCUGACGCCUGCCUAGCACCUCCGGCGACCCCACCACCAACGAGGCUCCCGCGAGACGGACCUCCAGGGCCUCCUGCCCCAAAGAUAUGUCGCCCCGGCUGGACACAGGUACCUGCGCCGCCUGCUGUGAAACAGAAGAAUGAGAGGGAGUCGUGGCCACCUGCCCAGACGCCCCUCCCCUCCGCGAGGAAACCGAAGACCUAGAUCGCCAUGGCGACUCCUGAGGCUCCACCUCUUGAACAACACGGGCACUGAAGCUGGCCGACUGCCGGGGUGACCGCCCAAAGUCCAAGACCGGUAGCGAAUGCUCGAACGUAUCGUCAGAGUCAACCCGAUCACUCCACAGACGAGGAGGCGCCGACGACGGCAGAAAAGAUCCAAACCGCAGUGAGUUAUGAGGCAAAGACGAAGCCGGGGACUGCUCCAUCCCGGCUCCGUUCUCCGGCUCCUGAGCAGCAGGCCCCGAUCCAUUGGGCUCCUGUGCUGCCUCAUCUGCCUGCUCUCUGGGAGCACCUGUAUCAUCACCCCCAUCGUGCAUAUCCACGUCAGUGCCAGCAGCAACCUCAGCAAACAACUCUGCAUCCUCAAACUCAAUAUCAAGUGGAAACACCUCGCCUCUAUAGGUCCAGUUGAUGACGUCCGGGACAUACUCAAUAUCCAGAAUGCUAACUCGCAGUCGAGCCACCCCCUGAGCUCUAGUGAACGCCAUAUCCACUUUCUCCGUCUUACCAACCAUAAUCCCCAAACUAGCCACCACACGCACAUCAGAAAGAGCCUCAGACGGUGCCCCCGAGAAACGCAGCCACACCUGAGUAAGAGGCUUCCCCUUAGGCUCAACUUUCUUCCACUCGUGGAACUCCAAAAUACCUUUGGUGCCUGGCACCUUACACAUCCCAAAGCUCAACAAACGCUGCAAGUCCUCAAUCGAAGGAAACUCCACUCUGAAUACUCUAUCCUCAACGGGUACGAGGUCCCACUGAAAAUCACCCGGAGCCAACUCCUGAAGUCUCUGCACAAUCUGAGCCUGGGAGACAUCUCCCUGUGUCACCUUGACCAAACCAGAAGUAAGGCUCUGUGUAUCAGCUGGGAUCUCCCUCGCAGCCGCUGACUCGAAGAACAUCAGCUCCGCACAGUACACACCAUAUACAGUAAGAGCUGGAAUAUGGUCCCUCCGCAAAGGACAAACCCCUGAAGCAUGCGCAGGCUUACCACAGGAUUCGCACAGCUGGGCCACACACUCCGUGAUGAAGUGCCCCUUCUCUCCGCACCGGUAACAAAGCAUUCUCUCUUUCUUCCGAGCGUACUUGGAUGCCCUCUCAGAAUCAGCCACUUGAACCACCUCAGCCUCCUUCGCAAUCCCAGGAACCUCAGCAACCGCAAGUGCAUUCACCACCUCCAUCGCCUGGGGAGGUAGCUCCUGUGGUGUCUGAUCAGUCUCCAUCGCCGCCCCGUCAGAGUCAACAUGUCUAGGGGGAGGCGGCCGGCGGAACCUUCCGCGGCCUCCACCACGACCACGGUAUCCGCGAUAACCUCCUCUGUGCCUGUUAUCAGGUCCUGAGGCCCCCUCAACGAAGCCUCCAGCCGGCCCCAGGAACGGUCUCUCUGCAGACCCGUCACUCUGCCAAGCAUAACCCCGACCUCCUCCCGCUGAAGAUGAGCCCCGAUGCUGGCCUACUCCAUACGCAUCAAACCCGUCAUCACCCCACUUGCCUCGAGGUGCAUCAGUCGGUCUCCCACUGGUAUUACUCUGAUUACUCUGAACCUGAUUCUGCCCUGAACGAUUCUGCGCCUGACGAACCGCAAGGUGUGGCGGGGGUGCACGCUGACCCCCGGUAGUUGCCGCCACCGGAUCAGCAGCGACACCGGCAGCCACCGUGGCCCCCGGCGUCUCGGCCCUCAGAGCAGCCAUCCCCGCCGCCGACGCGUUACGAGCCGGCACCACCGGCGGUGCAGGGCGAGGAGCUCCACGGCCAGUAUUAACCAUACCAGUCGUCAUCGACCCAGGAGCCGGCGCCGCCGGCGGCGGAGGGCGAGGGCCUCCCCGGCCGACCCCAGCAGCAUGAGAUGGCACCGGGGGUCUAUGCGCUGCCCGGCCAGCCGUCGUUGGCUGCGCCUCAGGAGCCCGAACUCCCGGAGCGCCCAGCUGCUGCCGCGGCUGGAGAGCGCCUCCACGACCUGCAGCAUCCGGCGCAAGUGCCGGCGGCUGCUGUCCGGCCGGCGGUGCGCCCCGUCCCGACGCAUGGGGCGGCGGCGGUCGAGCCCUUCCAGCCCCCCCCCCCCGCGGUACUCGCAGCAGGAGGGGGUCCCGCUCCACGUCCAGCCAUUAGCAGCGGCGGGAUCCUCCUCGCCCUGCUCGAUCCACACUGCGGGAAACCACGACUCCCCUGGCGAUGAACCCUAGCGGCACGUACCGACUGUGCUGGGACGAUCGAAGGAUCGGACGUGCAUGGCAGAAAACACUCAACGGACCGGCCUUGAUAGACAUAAUGGGCCUCAUACCCAUUAUUGUCCGGCCCAUUGGCAACGAGGCCCGAAGGCUCCCGAUCCAGCCCGGCCGCACCAAGCAGCUGAGCGAGCGCGGUCGCCCUCGUCGAUCGAAUCUCGGUCGCCGUGGCCUCCAUGGCCGGCGCCGGCGGACGCACAUUCCGGGACAACAACCUCCGUCCUUUCUUCCUCUUAACCGUAACCCACGCAUCCGGUCGGAUCAGAUCAAACACAGUGAGCUUCGGCAAACAUACCUUGGGUAAAGGUCCCUUCCAUGGACGAAGCGCCGACGGCGCCGUCUUUCUAUGCACGAUCCGGCGAACAAUCUCGAUCUUCUCUCCAUCGUGCAGCCCCUCACGAGCCAGAUCGUCUCUGGGAACCACCUUGUCCACCGUGGUCGCUACUUCCUCUUCCGAGUAACCUGAAUGAAAGAAUUCACAGAUUAGGUCCGACGGCGUAGGAGACGGCGGUGACUCCCCCGGCGGCUCCGCUCCAUCCUCGUCCGCAUCAUCAUCGUCAGAUCCGGCGAGGGCCCAGAAGCGACCGCCCACCCGGCGGCGAUCGCCGGCAUCGGGCGGUGGCUCUGCCGUCGGGCGCGGAGAUCGCCCCGGAUCGCCUCCCUGUCGCCUAACGGUCAUGCCGUUGAACGAGCAUGUUGACCUAUGGAAAGUUGAUGUGCAUACAUAUGCAUCAUCUAGUUCUGCUUUUACCUUGUGUUUGGGCCAAACAAGCAGAGGGCAGCAAGUGGCAUGUGUAGGGUGAGUUGGUUGGCAAGGAUACAUCCAUGUCAGGAGCUAGGGGGAGAAGACAAACUUAAUUGGGAUAGCGGCAACCAACUUGAUGAUAUCUUCUCAAAGCUUUGCCCUCCCCCCAGAGAAACACAUAUGAUAUAUUAUCCUCGGUCCUAGUAGUAAACUGUCUUGCUAGCUGCUUCCCAUCUAUUCCCUUCGUUCUUAAAUACUUCCUCUGUUUCAAAUAAGUGUCUCAACUUUAUACUAAUUCUAGUAUAAUUUAUACUAAGCUCAAGACAUAUAUUUUGAGACGGAUGGAGUAUAAGUCUUUCUAGAGAUUCUAAUGUGGAUUACAUACGGAGCAAAAUGAGUGCAUCUACACUCUAAACUAUGUCUAUAUACAUCUGUAUAUAGUUCAUAUUGAAAUCUCUAGAAAGACUUAUAUUUAGGAACGGAGGGAUAUAUAUGUACGUUGUUUAUGUAGGCAUGUGCAGAGAUAUCCACCAAAUCUGGGGCAGCAGCCCAUGUAUAUAUAUGUAUAGGCAUACACAUACACAAUCUAGCGAUCGAGACAUAUAAUACUACAUGCUGGGUGCCAUGUGAUGCCUCAACUUGGUAAUGUUUCCUAGAUUCCAACUUGCAAUGAAAUGCAGGCAGUAGUACACUGAUUGUUAUGUAUAAUAUAUACCGACAAAAAGAAAAAUAGAUCCAAUUUUUUGUGUCCAAUAUAUAUGGAUCCUGUUUCUUUUCGAGCAUACCUCUCUGUAUGCAUGUGUCUCUAGCUAGGUAUGGACAUGUAGCAACAUUGUCGCCAUUUAUACCAGUGAUCCAAAAUUGAAGGAACCAAUUAAUUUGCUGGCCAUAAAUAUACAUAGUCAUUCAGAUCUAGCUUUCUAUCAAGAUGAAACUGAGAAAGUACACACAAAAAGGGGGGAAAGGAGGAACUAGCUAUAGGGUUCCACCGAGCUGCUUUUCUUCCAAAAGAACUAUUCCUUAAAAGAGGCAUAUGCUUGAGAACAUUAAAAGAGGCAAAAACACUAUCUUCUUUUAGUGAUAUUAACCCCCUUUUUUUUGGAGAAACUGGCGACAGCAUUACUCUUUUAAUGAAGAACAAUCUAGAGCAUAAUUUACAAAAAACAACGUAAUAGAUUGACUGUAACCUAAUGUAGGUUUUUAGAGAGUAACCUUCAACACCAAGGAAACCCGUUGAAAAUUUGGCAGUUUUCUUCCUCUCCAAACAUUCCACACAAUAGGGGAGGUGGCCAUUGUGCCCAUCUAUACUGUCAACAUCCACACAUCCCACUUCAUCAACCCACUACUUUUAUUCUUCUAAGCAUGCAUGAGAAAUAGUAAUUAUAUUCUAUAAAUAUUUUACGGCUAUAUAGCAUGAAAUACAAUAAAUUCUAAGUAUUUUUAGUCUUCAUUUUCAUAUUCAAAUUCCACUCAAUCAAAUAUCUAUCAAAAUAAUACACGGCAACCAAUUCUCACAACAAUGCGCUGGGUAUCAUCAAUUUAAGUUACAUUACCGAAGACACUAAGGCCCAGGACGUUUGGGUUCUUGUCCACCGUUUGCCACACAUCGCUUCACCUAAGUUAAGCAAGUUGACCAAGUUAGGUGAGUGCUUGUCACACCUUAGGCAAGAUUAUCUUUGUGACAAACAAAUCCAAUAUGCCAUACAGAACGAAAAGUACGGCGAGAUUCUCCUAGACAGGCCAAAAUGUUGCUAAGAUUUUAUGUACCUUAUAUAGUUUAAGCAAGUUUGGUUAAAAUCAUGUGGCAAACUAUGGCAAAGUUAGCUUCCAACCAAAGGCCAGAAAUAUGUAUGAAAAAUGAAAUGCUAGCUGAUGGAGCUAGUUAAGAGCUCGCCAUGGCCAUAGCUAGCUGUGAAUCCAAUGACAUGCAUGAUGUGGUGGUGUACGCGUCAGUUUAGUUCAAGUGCAAGGUACUGUCCUGUUGACUUGACUACACCUUCGUACAGAUCACUGCACGCAGCUAGAUAGGGAUUAAACUAAUGCAGCAGCCGAGGUAAUAUAAUCAAUUUGUUUGAUUUGUGCUUGUAUGGCUAUUUUUUGUCUUGAUUCCAGAUUGUUCCACAGCACUUUGAGAUUAGUAGUUUGUAAGUACUGCCUGCAUCUCUGCAUGCAGGACAGCAUUCUUAACUAGUUGUACUAGUUAAUACCUUGGCCCAAAUUCCAAGUAAAUCAAAUAAUAUAAAAUGCCUUCUAUAGUGUGCAAACAUAGAGGAGAUGAUCUUGAUCACCAACUAAUGAUUCGAUCGAAAAGCUCAUCUUUUUUUGCUUCACCUUCAUUAACAAAGCUUAUCUGGCGUGUUUGUGUACUAGUCUGGAACCUUGAUUUUCUGCAUAAUUUUCUACGCCCUGUUUCAGUUGGGGAAACAGCACAGUAUAUUAAUCAAUCGGUCUUUGUAUUCGGAGACAAUAAAGAGCCCCAUAAGCUAGUUGGUUGGUAAUUCAAAGACAACUUUAGGUAUCACUCGAAGAAAAGACAGCUUCAGAUGGAGAGGACGCAAGCUACAGGGAUUGGGGAGGAAUCUACUCACUAACAGUGUCCUUGAGAUAGAACCUAUACACCAUAAACUAACUGCUGGUACAAGAACUACAUUGUAUAAUAAGAUGAGGGCUGCAGGCAUGGCACUUCUUAUGUAUAGCCAACGACUACUUGUCUACUCAGAGGGCGUCUAUACAUUGGCUGCUCGAAUUCAAUGCUUGCAUUUGUCACACAACAAUCAUGUUCAUGGGUGUGGGUGGGUGUGGGGGAGAGAUCACAUCAUCUUGUCCACAAGAAACAUGGAGCUCAACCUCACAUGUAAUCCUCACGGGUGAGUAUUGCUAGUAAAACACUUUUUGGAGGUAAAAAGGGGCCAUAGGCCACCCUGACAUUACAAUGACCAGAACACUUGCUACAUUUAAUUGAUGAGGAAAGUAUGUUUCGGUCUCUCAACUUGUAUAUGAGUUUAUUUUUGGACCCUCAGCCAAAAAACGACACACUUUAAUCGCUCAUCUUCGAGAACCUAGGCAUAUUUAGUUCAAAAUCCGUUUGAAGUUGUAUCAUGCCUGACGUGUACCUGGUUUUUUUCAUCUUACAUAGUCACAUGCAGCAAGGAUCAAGUGGCACAUCUUGGUAGCCAGAGGAAAAGAAAGCAAAAUCGAUUCAUCUACAGAAAUUCAUUUACAGGGCUAUACUAUGAAAAAACUACUAAAACACUUUCUUUCACACAUUAGUCAUAAAUUGCUUCUCGCCAUUAUGUUUACAUUGACAUAUUUUAUCGAACAAAAUGAUAUUGUGAAGUUAUUUAAUUAUUAUUGCACAUUUUAAUUAUCAUUCCACAUUUAUGAGGAGAUGUUGAAUCACAUCGAGCUCACAUGUGUGUUCAGUAGGACGGUGUGGAGGACGAUAUGCAUGGUAAUCGGCAAGCCGCAGUGGACACCACAAGUGAAUGACUCUCUGAACAGUUGGUGCGAGACAAAACCGAGGAGCAUAGGGGCCAUGAUGAUCCUGGUGCUUUGGGAACUGUGGAAACAUAGAAAUGCUAUUGUUUUUGAUGGAGGCUCACCCACGUUAGACGAAGUAAUAUAGAGAAUCGUGGCAGAGGGGAAUGCUUGGCAUCAAGCCGGAUUAUUAAAAGGAGAUUGGAGCGGCAUUGCUGUGGAGCUUCAAAGGUGGGCGAGGCAUGAGUAGUCUGUACUAGGAGCGUGUGGGUGGGAAUUGGAGCUAAGAGCAUCUCCAGCCGUUGCGCCUCCCAGGAGGCAUUUUUCAGCCUCAUGGGGAGGUGCCACGAACAUAUUUGCGUGGGGGUGGAAUUUCUUCCAGCCGUGCCCCCACCCAACAACAGCUGGGAGGAGCUCCUACGGCGGCCACCCCGUCCAGAGCUCACGCCUCGCCGCCCCGUCCAUGAUCACGCCUAGAGCGACCAGCAAACAGCAGCGGCAGCAGCAGCAAGAAGUAGCAGUAACAAGAAGGCAACAGCAGCAGAGCUUCAGCGGCAAAGCAGCAGGCAGCGGCCACGAGCAAUACUAGUUGCCCCCGCGCACGGGCAAGGGCAGCUGCGGGCGUAACGCACGACGACGGGAGCAGCGGGGUGCGGCCAGGGGACGACCGCCUCGCGGCCGGACGCGGCCGGGGGGCACGUACGGGGCGCCCUGGCGUGAGGCGCGGGCGCGCAUCGCGGCCAACGGCCGGAGCUUGGGCCGCGGCAAAAGCAGGGGCGCAGCCGACGAGUGGAUCCGGGACACGAGCAAGGAUGGGCGUCGCGCGGGCACAGGCAGGAGAGCCCAGGGGGCGGGCUGAGCGCGGUGACAACAGGCAGGGCGUGCGGGAUCGGAGCACCGUCUAUGGCGGCCUCGUCGGGUGCGUGCGACUACGACGAUGGGUCAAGGUUGAAGAAGGGGUCAAGGCGAGGAGGAGCGCCCGUUUCCGUGCCUGGCCGGCUCCGAUGCCGCCUCCCGCCGCGGCCCGGCGCUGUUCCAGCGCGACCGCUCGUCGUCCAUGUCCGACGCCAUGGACGAGCUCCCCGCCUCCCUUCUCUGGCGCCCUCCCCGCGAGCUCCAGCGCCCGCCCGCCGUGACGCCCCCCGUGCCCCAGCUCCGGCGCCCCGCUCGCCGCGCCUGUCCCGUCCCGUGCGCGCCUGCUUCGGUGGGUGGGGGAUGGGGGAGUGUGAGCACGUGGGUGGGCCUGCAGAAAAGAGAGGGAAAGAGAGAGGAGAGAGGCAGUUGAGACACUGAAACUGGGCCAUUUGCAUGCAAAAUAAGAGUGCUGGCGUCCCCAGCUGCCUCCCGGGGGGCUGGGUUUCGCCCGCACGUGCCGGCCGUAUUUGUCGUCUAAUCCGGUGAAAAGCGAGGUCCUGUCCCGAGUGGGACGUUUUUUGCUCGCCGACGCUGAAAAAGUGGCCUGGGAAGGCAUCUUGGGGACGCUAGUGGAGAUGCUCUAAGGCUUUUGGGUUCUUUUAACACCACCCCCCUAUAAAAUAUGAUAUGCACACUUGUGCAUAUUCGAGAACAAAAUUGUUUUUUAUUUAAACUGCAUGGCUUCUUUUUAAUAAAAUUUGUCCUAAAAAUAGCUAUUUAAAAACUUAUACAACUUAGCGGGUAAUUUCAGUUUUGUUUUUUUAUUUUUGUUUACUAAUGAUGUACAUCACAUUUAUUACAUCUUAGCGGCUAAUUUCCUUUUUGUUAUUUAGUUUUUAUAUUUAUCCCUAAAAAAUAUUUUUAUAUUUUUUUAAAGAAGUGCUAAUUUUAUUGAUAGAUAAAUAAAUAUUUUUUAGUAUGUGAAUUUUUGUAAAACUACAUGAACAAUUUUUAAAAUAUGUAAAGUUUUGUUAGAAGUACAAAACAUCUUUUAAAAAAACAGGAACUCUUUUAAUUACAUGAAUAUAUAUGAAAAGGACUGGGAAUUUUCACAAUACAUGAUCAUUUUUAGAAUUGCAUGGUUGUCUUUCUAAAUUACAUUAACACUUUCUAAAUUGCAUAACUUUUCUCUUAAAAUUAUGUGAGUAAUUUGUUAAAUUACAUGAAUAUUUUUUGUAAUCCAUGAACAUAUUUCAAAAAGUUAAAAAUUAAUACAGAUUUUUGGUAUGUGCAAAUAUUUCUUAUAACACAGGCUUUUUUAAAAUAAAUAAAUUAUUAGUGAUUAACAAAAUUCUAAAAUAACUCAAUUUCUUAAUGGGUGCAUUGGUGGGCCCAUUUAUGUUUCAGGAGGAGUGAACUAAAAGCCCCGCAUAGAGAUUGGCGUGCGUGUACCAUGUUGGUGGUUUGUAUUCUUCUCUCGUUAGAAUUCGGACCAGAAACUGAUUCCGAGUCCCCUAAGACCCAGUUCUUUUGGCCGAUUUUCUCAGAAUCUUGAGAAUUGAAUCUCCACUAGCUUCUUCCAAAAUCUUGAACCUAUAUUUUUUUAACAUUCCUAGUUGGGUUUGUCAAAAAGAUAUGGAUUAAAGAUUUUAGGAGAAGCUGGGGUGAGGCCCGAUUCUCAAGAUUUCAAGAGUAUCGGCCAAAAGAACUGGGCCUAAGUACAACACUUAAGGACAUUCCCUGAGAAAAGGACCCAGAUAGGUGGGGAACGUCAGCCAAGGGGUGGUCCUGGUGUACCGAGUUGUUCCCUAGGGAAGGGUUGAUCGAGCGAACAUAAUCGUUCACUGGGCAAAACCAAGAGCAACUAGUUAACGAUUACCUGGGGUGGGUUGAGUGGCGCGCACUCAGUCCCCGCCACAUGUCGUGCUCUGGGUGUUAAUUUUUUUAUUUUAUUUUUUCCACACGCCUUUUCGGCUUUUAGAUGGUUCUUUCCUAGUUUUUACGCCUUUUUGGUUUUUCAUCGGUCUUUCUUAACUUUUGGAUGAAAAUAUAAUUUUCAAAAAAAAAAAAAUUGCGAGAAAAAACUGUUGGAGUAUGCCCUAGAGGCAAUCAUGUAUGAUGAUAUUUCCUACGUGUUUAUGAAUAAAGAUAGUCCUUGGAUAUAAUCAAUGAUACUUGUUGGCAAGUACGUGACUUGUCUGUGAGAUCUUGUGUUGUAUGAUACAUCCUAAAGUGUCCCUAGUCGCAAGUGACGUGUGGGCACACGUCGGACUACACUAACAUAUGACACGGUGGAUGGCUCGGUCUCACUAGCCAUGCAUCAUUGGAUGCUAACCGGAUAAUAUGGACUCGAAAGGAUCUGGUUGGAUUCGACAUAGUCGAAUCCGAGUCGAGAUAAGGUUCGAGCCGGACAAACCCAACUAUGAGACACAGCGAUAUGUUAUCUGUGAGUCUCUCGUACAACAUACGUUCUAUGUCCUAAGACCCGAGCUGACGCAUGUACUCGGGAUGGUGACAGACUUGCUUUGGGCCGACCAAACGCUACUCCGUGACUGGGUAGUUACAAAGGUAGGUUUUGGGUUUGUCCAGUCCCAUGCUGCGAGACAUGGUCGAGCAAGAUGGGAUUUUCCCAUCCGAUCAGGAGAGAUAUACUCUGGGCCCCUCGUGUGAUCCGACCAGGAUAAGCAUGGCCAUGCGACAAGGAUUAGGAGAUAAUCCAGUUUGUGGUCGGUAUCAUUGGAAUGAGAAAGAGGUUGGGCUAGCACAAGGAUGACAUACUCGCCUUGAGCCCGACAACAUAUAUCGUGAGGCAAAGAGAACAUAAGUGUGACAUGUUGUACAAGUUCGUCUAACCAGCUUCAUAGUCUCCUUGGUGGUCGGCACUCCUUGCUAGAGGCCGCUACCAACCGUGCAGGUCGGAGGUGACCCGAACUGUGACCAAGCCAACUUGAACCUAAGGGGCCACGCGCUUAAGGAAAGGAACCUACGAGGUCGGUUCGAAGGACACUGGUCGGAUGUGAUCCGAGCUGGACUUGGAACACGACCGAGUAGACUUUGGGCUUUAGGAUCCGUGCAAGGCCCAAGUGUUGAGCCCGCGACGGAUUCCUAUAAAUAGUGGAGGUGCGACACACUUAUUCGGUUGAUCGCUUCAGUGCCAUUGUUAGGGCUUUGCAUGUGUUGCAACUAGGCACCUCCACUCGCCGCCGGUUGUGUGAUCGGACCUAGCAGUCCGCCGCACGACGUUCCUCCUGCACGCGCGGAUACCGUUAGAGGCGGUGCACUUGCACCGCUCCAGCGAACCUGUUCGCGGGAUCCGAUCGGCUAUGUGGGAGACCAGCAAGGAGGAGACGACUCCGGGAACGCGAGGUGACUCCGGGAACGUGCUGCCUCAACUCUACUUCCGCUGCACGACACUGCAUGUCUAGUGGUAACGAUCUGUGAUCCAUCUCCCGUAGCUGUUCCUGGAUGUUCUGCGCGGAGGAAAAUUUUACAUUUGCAGUCGACGCACCCUACCGUAGAACCAAACAAAGACGCGUUUUUUUGCUUUCGCGAGAGACACGGUUUGCUUACGUAAGAGGCACAACCAUGCCUCUCAGAAAACGAAAAAAACAUGUUUUUUUUCGUGCCUCUCAGAAAAAAAGUGCUUUCUCCAUUUCUUUUCCUUCCCUGACAGGCACGGUUUUGCUUCUGCGAGAGGUACAGUUUUGCUCCCGCGAGAUGAAUGGCCGUGCCUCUCGAAAAUGUAAAAAAUGUGUUUUUUUCCUUCUAUAAGAGGCACGGUUUUGCUUUCGCCAGAGGCACAGCCAUGCCUCUCGGAAACAUUUUUUUUAUUUUUUUCCUUCUGUGAGAGGCACGGUUUUGCCUCUUGGAAACGAAAAAAAAGUGUUUUCUAUUUUUGUCCUUCUGCGAGGGGCAUGGUUUUUUCGUCCAUUUUUUUCAUGAAAAAAAUUCGUCAAAACCAAUCAACAUGGGAUCUAGUUUCAAAGAUCUCGACGUGAGGAAUCAAAUGGUGAAACAGUUUGAGAUUUGGACGUAUGGUUUAAGAGAUAAAUGUUUUGAAUAAACGGAUCUAUGAAAAAAGGAUGCACAGUUGAAGAGAUAAACGUUUUGAAUAAACAGAUCUAUGAAAAAAGGGAAAACUAAUAGGUUCCGACAAGUGGCACACAUGUAGCGCACCACUUCUCGCAACCCAAGGAGGAGGGAGUGAUUUUUGGAAGGAGUACUCCUCAAUUAGUGAUAUCGGGCAAAACCGUCCCAACGUACCUCUCCCCCUCCAGAAAAGUUGGCUAAGACGUUCAGUUGGGCCACAAAAAAGGCCCGUUAUCCUGACACAUUACAAAACUUAAAAACUGAUACUUGGGACUCAUUUCAAAAUACCUAGAAAAACAAACAAAAAUAUGCAUAGCAGCAUACUAUUUUGAUAGAAAAACGCCAUGAAAAGUCAUAAAAAAGCGGAGAACAAAUAAAAUUACAACAUGCCAAGCCCUAGAUGGUAAAAAUUGACAUGCAUACUUAUUUAUGAAGUAUAAAAUGCCAUGGCUGUGAAAAAGACUUGCCAUAGGAAGACAUAUAGGAAAAACCAAUUUCUUCAAAUUGACAUGCUUCAAAAAAUUACUAACUCUUAAAUUAAUCUAAGUGAAGCAUGAGAGUAUUUCUUCAAAAAAAUUGAAAGCCCACCGUACUCAAAAAAAUAUAAGUGAAGCACUAGAGCAAUUCCAUAGCUCAAAAAAUUUAAAGUGAAGCACAUAAAGAAAUUCUAACAAAUCAUAACACAAUUAUGGCUCUCUCAAAUAGGUGUGUCCAGCAAAGAUGAUUGCGACAAACUAAAAAGCAAAACAAGCAAAGACUCAUAUGAUACAAGAUGCUCCAAGCAAAACUCAUGAUAUGUGACGAAUAAAAAUAUAGCUCGAAGUAAAAUUAUCGAUGGUUGUUCGAAGAAAGAGGGGAUGCCUUAUGGGGUAUCCCCAAGCUUAGUUGCUUGGUUCUCCUUGAAUAUUAGCUUGGCAUGCCAUGGGCAUCCCCAAGCUUAGGCUCUUUUCACCCAAAACUUGAAAACUUCAAUCGCACAAAACUUAACAAAACCUUCAUGAGAUCCGUCAGUAUAAUAAAGCAAAAUCACCACUUUAAGUGUUGUUGCAAACCCAUUCAUAUUUUAUUAUGGCAUUAUACCUACUGCAUUCUAACUUUACUAUGGCUUAUAUCCCCCGAUACAAUCAAUAGAUUCAGCAAAAUAAGCACACAAUGCAACGAAAAUAGAAUCUGUCAAAAACAGAACAGUUUGUAGUAAUCUGGACUUUGACCAUACUUCUGUAACUCCAAAAAUUCUGAAAAAUUCGUAAAAUGUAGGAAAUUUGUAUGUCAGUCUUUUGUAAAAACUUCAGAAUUUUAUCAAGCUUAUGUGAUUUUAACAAUUCUGCUACUGGGCGCAAAAGUUUCUGUUUUUCAACAAGAUCGAAUCAACUAUCACCCAAUAUGAUCCCAAAGGCUUUACUUGGCAUAAACACUAACUAAAACACAAAUCACAAUCAUAAUGGUAGCAUAAUUUUGCAAACACACAAAACCAGAAAGAAAAAGAGAAAGAAAUUAUUUUAUUCAUCGGGUUGCCUCCCAACAAGCGCUAUCAUUUUAUGCCCCUAGCUAGGCAUUGAUAAUUUUAAUGAUGCUCACAUGAAAGACAAGAAUCGAAGGACAAAGAGAGCAUCAUAUAGCAUGUGAAAAUCACAUUUAAGUCUAACAUACUUCCUAUGCAUAGGCAUUUUAUAAUAAAACAAAUUAUCAAAACUAGCAAAAACUAGCAUAUGCAAGGAAGAAGAAUUAAACAUCGACAAUCUCAACAUGAAGAGAGAUAAUUUAGCAACAUGAAAAUUUCCACAACCACAUCUCCCUCUCUCAUAAUAAUUACAUGUGGGAUCAUGAUCAAAUUCAACAAUAUAGCUAUCACAUAACAUAUUCUCAACAUGAUCCACAUGCAUGCAAAGUUGACACUUAUCCAAAAUAGUGGGAUUAUCAUCAAAUAAAGUCAUGACCUCUCCAAGCCCACUUUAAUAAAAAAAACCAUAAGAUUGAACACUCUCCAAAUAUGUGGGAUUAUUAUUACCUAAAGUUGACGCUCUUCCAAACCCACUUUCAAUAUUAUUAUUGCAAAAUUAAUUAUCAUAUCAUAUUCAUCAUGAGGCUUAAAUAAAUUUUCAAGAUCAUAAGAAACAUUAUCACCCCAAUCAUGAUCAUUGCAAUAAGUAGUAGACAUAGCAAAAUUAGCAUCCCCAAGCUUGGGGUUUUGCAUAUUAUUAGCACAACUAACAUUAAUAGAAUUUAUAAUAACAUCAUUGCAAUCAUUCUUUUCAUUCAAGGAGCUAUCGUGACUCACUUUAUAAAUUUCUUCGUUUAACACUUCAUCACAAUUUUCAGAUUCAUGAACUCAAGCAAAACUUCAUAAAGAAUAUCUAGUGAACUCAAUUCAUUAUCAAUUGGUUCAUCAUAAUUGGAUCUUUUGAAAAGAUUAGCAAGUGGAUGAGGAUCCAUAUCAAUAGAUUUUUAGCAAGCAAAGAUGCAAGAAAAUAGAAAACACAUGGCAACAUAAGCAAAGAUAACAAACAAGAAAACAUGCACACAGAAGAUCGAACGAGAAAAAGGCAAACGAAAAAGAAGGCAAAUAAGAAAGCAAAUAUUUGUGUGCUUUUCGCAGAAACAUUUUAGAAGUGGGGGAGAUGAAAACGAGAGGAAAAUGAGAAAUAUGUAAAUUGCAAGGAGAUGAGAUUUGUGAUUAGGAACAUGGUAGAUGUUGAUGAUGUCUCCCCGGUAAUGGCGCCAGAAAUCCUUUUGACGUGGCUUAGCACUACGUCGGUUUUCUCCAAAGAGGAAGGGAUGAUGCAGCACAACUAUAGUAAGUAUUUCCCUCAGUUAUGAAACCAAGGUUAUCAAUCCAGUAGGAGAACCAAGCAACACUAUGUAAACGGUACCUCCACACAAAGAACAAAUACUUGCAACCCGAUGCGUAAGAGGGGUUGUCAAUCCCUCUACGGUAAAAAGAUAGAUAAUAUUUUAUAAGAUUGGGUAAAAGAUGUAGCAAGAAUAGAAAAUAAAAUAAGUAAAGAAAAAGUACAGAAAGGUAUUUUUUGGAAUAAUAGAUCUGAAAACAAUAUGAUAAAAGAUAGACCCGGGGGCUGUAGAUUUCACUAGUGUCUUCUCUCGAGAAAAUAGCAUACGAUGGGUAAACAAAUUGCUAUUGGGCAAUUGAUAGAAGAACAAAUAAUUAUGACGACAUCUAAGGUAAUGAUCAUGUAUAUAGGCAUCACUUCCAAGUUUAUUAGACCAAAACGAUUCUGCAUCUACUACUAUUAGUCCACACAUCGAUCGCUAUCCAGCAUGCAUCUAGUGUAUUAAGUUCAUGGAGAAACGGAGUAAUGCAAUAGGAACGAUGACAUGGUGUAGAUAAGAUCUAUUCAUGUAGGAAUAGACCCCAUCUUUUUAUCCUUAAUAGCAACGGUACAUGCGUGCGUCGUGCGUCGCUACCCCUUCUGUCACUGGGUCAGGACACCGCAAGAUCGAACACAUACCAAAGCACCUCUUCCCGUUGCAAGAAAAAUCAAUCUAGUUGGCCAAACCAAACCAAAGUUUCGAAGAAGAAAUACGAGGCUAUAACAAUCAUGCAUAUAAGAGAUUGAAGAGAACUCAAAUAAUAUUCAUGGAUAGAUCUGAUCAUAAACUCGAACUUCAUCGAAUCCCAACAAAGACACCACAAAAAGUCAUUACAUCAAAUAGAUCUCCAAGAACAUCGAGGAGAACAUUGUAUUGAGAAUCAAAAAGAGAGAAGAAGCCAUCUAGCUACUGCCUCUGGACCCAUAUGUCUAUGGUGAACUACUCACACACCAUCGGAGAAGCACCAAUGAGGAUGAUGAACCCAUCCGUGAUCGUUUUCCCCUUCAGUAGAGUGCCGGAAUAGGGCUCUAGAUUGGAUCUCGUGGUUCUAGAACUUGCGGCGGCUGGAGUUGUGUUUCGACCGCUCCCUAGGGUUUUUGGAAUAUCUGAGUAUUUAUAGAGAUGAGAGGUGGUAGAGGAUACCUCCAUGGGCUCCACCACCCAUCAGGGCGUGCCAGGGGCCUCUGGCGUGCCCUGGUGGGGGUGGGUGAUACAUCUCCAACGUAUCUAUAAAUUUUGAUUGUUCCAUGUUGUUAUAUUAUCAUUCUUGGAUGUUUUACAAUCAUUUUGUAGCAAACUUAUAUUAUUUUUUGGGACCAAGNNNNNNNNNNNNNNNNNNNNNNNNNNNNNNNNNNNNNNNNNNNNNNNNNNNNNNNNNNNNNNNNNNNNNNNNNNNNNNNNNNNNNNNNNNNNNNNNNNNNNNNNNNNNNNNNNNNNNNNNNNNNNNNNNNNNNNNNNNNNNNNNNNNNNNNNNNNNNNNNNNNNNNNNNNNNNNNNNNNNNNNNNNNNNNNNNNNNNNNNNNNNNNNNNNNNNNNNNNUAGACACUAAGUACCAAAAGUUGCAGUUUUUAACUUCUUUAAGUUGGAGUGGAGUUUAGGCACAAGUUUAACGCUCACAAUACAUAUCAAGCAAGCAUGCAAAGAGUAUAUGAGCAGCGGAAAAUAAAGCAUGCAACUUGCAAGAAUGUAAAGGGAAGGGUUUGGAGAUUUCAAACGCAAUUUGGAGACACGGUGAUUUUUGAGCCGUGGUUCCGAUAGGUGGUGCUAUCGUACAUCCACGUUGAUGGAGACUUCAACCCACGAUGGGUAACGGUUGCGCGAGUCCACGGAGGGCUCCACCCACGAAGGGUCCACGAAGAAGCAACCUUGUCUAUCCCACCAUGGCCGUCGUCCGUGAAGGACUUGCCUCACUAGCAUAGAUCUUCACGAAGUAGGUAAUCUCCUUGCCCUUACAAACUCCUUGGUUCAACUCCACAAUCUUGUCGGAGGCUCCCAAGUGACACCUAGCCAAUCUAGGAGACACCACUCUCAAAGAAGUAACAAAUGGUGUGUUGAUGAUGAACUCCUUGCUCUUGUGCUUCAAAUGAUAGUCUCCCCAACACUCAACUCUCUCUCACAGGAUUUGGAUUUCGUGUAAAGAAGAUUUGAGUGGAAAGCAAGUUGGGGAAGGCUAGAUAUCAAGAUUCAUAUGGUAGGAAUGGAAUAUCUUGGCCUCAACACAUGAGUAGGUAGUUCUCUCUCAGAAAAUGGAUGCUGGAAGUGUAGGUUCGUUCUGAUGGCUCUCUCCAUGAAUGAAGAGUGGGUGGAGGGGUAUAUAUAGCCUCCACACAAAAGCUAACCGUUACACACAACUUGCCAAACUCGGUGGGACCGAAUUGAGAAACUCGGUCAGACCGAUUUAGCAAAUCUAGUGACAGUUAGGAUUUUCAGUGGGACCGACAUGCAACUCGGUAGGACCGAUAUGGUUAGGGUUAGGGCAUAACGUAAUCUCGGUGAGACCGAUUACACAAACUCGGUGGGACCGAUUUUGGUAAUAAGCUAACCACAGAGUUGGUCAGGCAAACUCGGUUUGACCGAUUACACAAACUCGGUAGGACCGAUUUUGGUAAUAAGUUAACCACAGAGUUUGCAUUGUAAUCUCGGUAGUACCGAUUACCCAAACUCGGUGAGACCGAUUUUGGUAAUGGACAUACACAGAGAGAUUACAAUCCAAUCUCGGUGAGACCGAGAUCCCUAUCGGUGAGACCGAUUUGCCUAGGGUUUGUGGUAGUGGCUAAGACAUUUGAACUCGGUGGCCCCGGUAGGAAAGAAUCCGUAGGGCCGAGUUAGACUUUUGGUUUAGGACAUAUGUGGAUGUGAGAAAGUAGUUGAGGUCUUUGGAGCAUAUCACUAAGCACUUUGAGCAAGCAAGCCAUUAAGCAACACCUCAUCCCCUCUUGAUAGUAUUGGCUUUUCCUAUAGACUCAAUGUGAUCUUGGAUCACUAAAAUAUAAAAUGCAGAGUCUUGAGCUUGGAGCUUGAGCCAAUCCUUUGUCCUUAGCAUCUUGAAAGGGUUGCACAUCCUUUAGUCCAUGCCACUCCAUUGUUGAACUUGUCUGAAACAUACUAGGUAAAAGUGUUAGUCCAACAAGAGAUAUGUUGACAUUAAUUAACAAAACCACCCAGGGAGCACUUGUGCUUUCAAUCUCCCCCUUUUUGGUAAUUGAUGGCAACAUACAUCAAAGCUUUAGAUAAAGAUAUAGAGAAUAGCAAGUAAAGCUUUGGAAGGACAUGUAACAAGCAUAGGCUCCCCCUACAUGUAUGCAAUCAUGUGAAUAUGGAAUAUAGAAGCAUGUGAAUGCAUAAACAUGACAGAGUAAGCAAUGUGUUACAUAUAUCUUGCCUAUAUGCAACAGAGCAAAUGAUGUGAAUAUGGGAAAUGUACCUUCAUGCUCAUGAGUCCUUAUUGCAAACAAUAUGUACAACAACAAGAAUUCCUCAUACACAUGAUUGUGAUGCAUAUACUUACCUUGUGGUCUUGAUUUGGCUUAGGAUGGAAUGAAUCUGUGAAAAUAAGGUUAGAUAACACAGAUACACAUACUAGCCAAGGCAAACAAAAGAAACCACAAGAGUACCAAGACGGAGAUAACAUGUAGAGAGUGAGUACUAAGUACCACAUUGAAUAUAGACAUGUCCCCAAAGGUAAAGAUGUGCAAUGAAUUUAAAGAGUUUCUUUCCCUUAGAUGUCUUGCUCCCCCUGAAUCUAGCAUGGGAUACUGGGAGAAGAUAGGGAACAGAAAAUCAGAGCAGAAUGCAAAAUUAGAGCUCAAGGGAACAAAUGAACAGAGCUAAUGCAGACAAGCACAUAUGAACAUGUCUUUCCCCUCAAGAAGACAUGUGGCAUCUCUCCUCUUGAACACCAAGCAUCUGGGAUCCUUGAAGAUUACUUUCUUCUUGAGUAUUCUCUCCCCGUGGAGAUAUCUCUCUCCCCCUGUUGAAGUGAUAAGCUUUGAUGUGAUCUCUCUCUUCCCCUUUGACAUCAAUUUCCAAGAAGGGCCUUCUGGAAUUUGUCAUGAAUGGCUUUGGUCCUUGAGUCACAGCACAAAGCAAUGAUAAAAAUGUGAUGCUUGUAGAGGACAAGAUUCAUUGAGUGGAGCUGGAUCAAAAGUAAUACAGGAAUAAAUGGCAAAAUGUUUUUCCUGUUGUGAAAUCAGUGGCACCGAGUUGGAUGUUUUGGUUGCACCGAAUGAUUUCGGUUGGACCGAAAACAAGAAACCGGUGUGACCGAGUUCAUCACAGAGAAAACACUUGUCACCUCAGCUCACUAGACAAGUAAAAUCUCACAAGGAUUUGCAAGGAAUUAACUGAAAGAUUUGCAAUGAAUUGGAUGCAGGGAAUGCAGAACAGAAUAGAAAGAAAAGAAAUCUAGAUGAAGUUUUUUUGGAAAUAAAUAUGCAUGAGACAAAUGCAAGAGCACAGAAAAGAACACAAGAGAACUUCAUCUAGAGAUGGUCGGCGACAAAGUCACCUAUGUUAGAGUAUAUUGACUUAGGAGUCAAGUGAGAUCACUUGAUCAUAGGUCAUACUCAUUGUUUAAGCUUAAAAUGGGGUUACCAUUUUUCGUUUAAGUAUCUUGAUGUAUUCACAUCUUGUCGAGUUGCUUUGGCUCAUGACUUGGAGUAAAGCUUCUCUAAGAUGGAAUAACAUACCUUGGAUGAUGGUGUUGAUCGUGAUCAUGUAGUUGAACUUGUGUGGGUUGCUCAAGGUUGAUGUAGCUCAUCAAGAAUUGGGAGCACCACUUGGAAUUUGAGUUCAUCUAUCUACACGGGUUAGUUCUUGCAAGGAAGAGCACUUGUGUAUCCAAAAUGACAAUAAUGAAACUCAACAUAGAAUUUGUCAAAGGAUAUGUUUGAAUGGUUCCGUGCUUCCUUGUCGUCAACCACCAUUGUGUAGAGACUUGGUGAUGUAGAGAUUGCUCAAGAUGUGAGUGAGUUGCAAUCUCAUAGAUUUAGAUUCAUCCAAGUACCUACAUGGGUUAGAUAACAUGCAAGGUGCAAGUAUAUCCAAGAUAUAAGAUUAUCAUCAUAAGAGAAAUAUCAAGGAUUAGUCAUAAGCUCAUGUCUUGCAUGUAUCCAAUGGAGUUCCUACUCCAAGUUUGAAGCAUCAUUGAUGUUCAAUUCUCCUCUUAACCUGCAAAACACUCUCUCAUCAAGUGGUUUAGUGAAUAUAUUCACUAAUUGCUUUUCUGUGCGAACAUGCUUAAGAUUAAUGUCACCCUUAGCAACAUGAUCUUGAAUGAAAUGAUGACGAACUUCAAUAUGUUUAGUUUGAGAGUGUUGCACGGGAUUAUGAGCAAUCUUGAUAGCACUCUCAUUGUCACAAAGUAAUGGAACAUGUUUCACAUAUAUCCCAUAAUCUUUAAGAGUUUGGGUCAUCCAAAGUAAUUGAGCACAACAUGAACCAGCGGCAAUGUAUUCCGCUUCGGUGGUGGACAAGGAUACCGAGUUUUGUUUCUUGGAAGACCAAGACACAAGAGAUCUACCAAGAAAUUAACAAGUACCCAAAGUAGACUUUCUAUCAACCUUGUCACCGGCAUAGUCCGAGUCGGAGUAGCCAACAAGAUCAAAAGAGGCCCUCUUAGGAUACCAAAUGCCAAAAUUUGGUGUAUGGAUUAAGUAUCUCACUAUCCUUUUCACAGCCUUAAGAUGACAUUCUUUAGGAGCAACUUGAUAUCGUGCACACAUGCACACACUUAGCAUGAUAUCGGGACGUGAAGCACAUAUAUAUAACAAUGAACCAAUCAUAGAGCGAUAAACCUUUUGAUCGACCGGUUCACCAUCUUUGGUCAAAUCAAGAUGUCCACUAGUAGGCAUGGGUAUGGUCAUACCUUUGCAUUCUUGCAUAUUGAACUUCUUGAAUAAGUCCUUGGUGUACUUCGUUUGAGAGAAAAAGGUACCUUUCUUAGUUUGCUUGAUUUGCAAACCAAGAAAGAAUUUGAGUUCACUCAUCAUAGACAUCUCAAACUUCUCCGACAUUAGCUUUCCAAACUUUUCACUAAAAUGAGGGUUAGUAGAACCAAAUAUAAUAUCAUCAACACAGAUUUUGCACACAAAUAGUUCUCCAUUAACCCUUUUAGUAAAAAGAGUAGAAUCUAUUUUUCCAAUUUCAAAGCCUUUUUCAAUAAGGAACUUGGUCAAGCAUUUAUACCACGCUCUAGGGGCUUGUUUAAGACCAUAAAGAGCUUUGUGUAGUUUGUAAACAUGAUCAGGUUUCUUAGGAUUAUGUGACGCCCCCGAUUCAAUCAUACACUAAUCAUGCACGCAAAUGUGUACGAUCAAGAUCAGGGACUCACGGGAAGAUAUCACAACACAACUCUAAAACAUAAAUAAGUCAUACAAGCAUCAUAAUACAAGCCAGGGGCCUCGAGGGCUCGAAUACAAGUGCUCGAUCAUAGACGAGUUAGCGGAAGCAACAAUAUCUGAGUACAGACAUAAGUUAAACAAGUUGCCUUAAGAAGGCUAGCACAAACUGGGAUACAGAUCGAAACAGGCGUAGGCCUCCUGCCUGGGAUCCUCCUAAACUACUCCUGGUCGUCGUUAGCGGGCAGCACGUAGUAGUAGGCACCUCCGGUGUAGUAGGGGUCAUCGUCGACGGUGGCGUCUGGCUCCUAGACUCCAGCAUCUGGUUGCGACAACCAGAAAGAAAGGAAAGGGGAAAAGGGGGGAAGAAAGCAACCGUGAGUACUUCAUCCAAAGUACUCGCAAGCAAGGAACUACACUACAUAUGCAUGGGUAUAUGUGUAAGGAGGCCAUAUCAGUGGACUGAACUGCAGAAUGCCAGAAUAAGAGGGGGAUAACUAAUCCUGUCGAAGACUACGCUGCUGGCAGCCUCCGUCUUGCAGCAUGUAGAAGAGAGUAGAUUGAAGUCCUCCAAGUAGCAUCUCCAAAUAGCAUCUCAUAGCAUAAUCCUACCCGGCGAUCCUCUCCUCGUCGCCCUGCGGAAAAGCGAUCACCGGGUUGUCUGUGGAACUUGGAAGGGUGUGUUUUAUUAAGUAUCCGGUUCUAGUUGUCAUAAGGUCAAGGUACAACUCCAAGUCGUCCUGUUACCGAAGAUCACGGCUAUUCGAAUAGAUUAACUUCCCUGCAGGGGUGCACCACAUAGCCCAACACGCUCGAUCCCAUUUGGCCGGACACACUUUCCUGGGUCAUGCCCGGCCGCGGAAGAUCAACACGUCGCAGCCCCACCUAGGCAAAACAGAGAGGUCAGCACGCCGGUCUAAACCUAAGCGCACAGGGGUCUGGGCCCAUCGCCCAUAGCACACCUGCACGUUGCGAGGGCGGUCGAAAGCAGACCUAGCCUAGAGGCGUUCCAGUCCAAUUCGGCGCGCGCCGCUCCGUCGCUGACGUCUGAAGAGCUUCGGCUGAUACCACGACGCCGGGAUACCCAUAACUACUCCCACGUAGAUGGUUAGUGCGUAUAGGCUCGUAGCCAACUCAGAUCAAAUACCAAGAUCUCGUUAAGCGUGUUAAGUAUCCGCGAACGCCGACCAGGGCCAGGCCCACCUGUCUCCUAGGUGGUCUCAACCUGCCCUGCCGCUCCGCCACAAAGUAACAGUCGGGGGCCGUCGGGAACCCAGGCCCAUCUCUACCGGGAUGGAGCCACCUGCCCCUUCAGCCCCCUCGUCAGAAUCACUUGCGGGUACUCAAUGAGCUGACCCGACUUUAGUCACCAUCUGUAUAGUAUGUAUGUAUGUAUAGUAUAUACCCGUGAUCACCUCCCAAGUGAUCACAGACCGAUAGUAUAGCAAGGUAGACUGACAAGAAUGUAGGGCCAAUGAUGAUAAACUAGCAUCCUAUACUAAGCAUUUAGGAUUGCAGGUAAGGUAUCAACAGAUGUAGCGACAAUGUCAGGCUAUGCAUCAGAAUAGGAUUAACGAAAGCAGUAACAUGCUACACUACUCUAAUGCAAGCAGUAUAGAGGAGAAUAGGCGAUAUCUGGUGAUCAAGGGGGGGGGGCUUGCCUGGUUGCUCAGACAAGGAGGGGUCGUCGGUGACGUAGUCGUACUCGGUGGCAUCAGCGUCGGUCUCGUAGUCUAUCGAAGAGAAGAGGGGGAAGAAAUAAUGAAUACAGAGCAAACAAAGCAUCACAAAAUAUAACAAGGCAAUACGCGGUGUUCGGUGUGCCCUAACGCGGUAGUAGGUGAUACCGGUGAAGGGGGGAAAACAUCCGGGAAAGUAUUCCCGGUGUUUCGUGUUUUCGGGCAGAGGAGCCGGAGGGGAAAAGUUGCGGGUUCGAUAGGUUAGAGGGGUUUGGCGGACGAACGGACCGCGUAUCCGGAUUCGUCUCGUCGUUCUGAGCAACUUUCAUGUUGAAAAUAUUUUAAUCCGAGUUACGGAUUAAAAGAUAUGAUUUUCUAAAGAUUUUAUUAAUUUCUGGAAUUUAAUUAAUUAUUUAAUCCAACAUUAUCCAGAAUAGUAAAUGAUGACGUCAGCAUGACAUCAGAGUGAUGUCAGCAGUCAACGUUGACCAUUGACCUGGUCAACCUGACGUGUGGGUCCCUUUGUCAUUGACUAAGAUUAACUAAAACAGAUUAAUUAGUUUAAUUAGUGAUUAGGUUAAUCUAAUCAGGAUUAAUUAACUUAAUUAAUUACUUAAUUAAUUAAUUAAUAUUUUAAUUAUCUUAGUUAUUAUUUAUUUAUUUAUUUAAUAUAUUCUUUUUUUUAUUUUAUUUUUUAUUAUUUUUUUAUUCCUUUUCUUUUUUUUUUAAACCAUUCUGGGGCGGGGCCCCCUAGUCAGUGGCCCGGGGGGGCCUAUCGGUUCGGGUGUGCGUGCGUUCGGGUUCGGGCGCAACGGGUGUGCCCCGUUUGGGUGCACGCCCAGGGUGCAGGCGGACCCGGGAGGGCACCGGAACGGCGGAGGUCGGUGGCCACGGCAUGGCCAUGGCCGGAGCCAGGCGAGGCCGCGGUGGUGCGCGGGCGGCCGCCGGAGGCCGUGCGGGUGGCAGCCGGAGGCGGUGCUCGGCUGUGGCCCAGCGGGAGCUGCGGCAGUGGCCGCGAGGGGGCUCGGCCGGAGUAGUAGGGGAAGGCGGGUGGCGACCGGAGGUAGCACAGAGGAGCGAGGCCAGCCUGGCGACGGGGCGCUGCAGCCCGACUGGUCCCCUGGCGCCGGCUGGGGUGAAGGAGGGCGUCGGCCAGGGCGGAGGAGGGCGAGUGCGGCCUGGAACGCAAGCUCCGGCACGCGGGCGCAGUGAUGCGUGCACGGGCGUGGACGGGACAUGGUCGUGGUGAGCGCGGGGGCGAGGGAGAGGGAGGAGGCCGGGGGCCUCACCACGAUUCGUAGGGAUCCGGGCAGCGGGGCUCGGGGAGGAGGUCGGGGACGUCGCGAUGGAGGGGAAGCAGGCUGGCGGGGAGGCGCUCUCGGCGGCGACGGGCGGCGGUGUCGAGGCCGCGGGCGUCGGGUGGCGGCGACUUGGGGCGGCGGUGUCCAGGCGGCGGGGCGCGGCUCGAUCCGGCGGCUUCAGGGUCGGUAANNNNNNNNNNNNNNNNNNNNNNNNNNNNNNNNNNNNNNNNNNNNNNNNNNNNNNNNNNNNNNNNNNNNNNNNNNNNNNNNNNNNNNNNNNNNNNNNNNNNNNNNNNNNNNNNNNNNNNNNNNNNNNNNNNNNNNNNNNNNNNNNNNNNNNNNNNNNNNNNNNNNNNNNNNNNNNNNNNNNNNNNNNNNNNNNNNNNNNNNNNNNNNNNNNNNNNNNNNNNNNNNNNNNNNNNNNNNNNNNNNNNNNNNNNNNNNNNNNNNNNNNNNNNNNNNNNNNNNNNNNNNNNNNNNNNNNNNNNNNNNNNNNNNNNNNNNNNNNNNNNNNNNNNNNNNNNNNNNNNNNNNNNNNNNNNNNNNNNNNNNNNNNNNNNNNNNNNNNNNNNNNNNNNNNNNNNNNNNNNNNNNNNNNNNNNNNNNNNNNNNNNNNNNNNNNNNNNNNNNNNNNNNNNNNNNNNNNNNNNNNNNNNNNNNNNNNNNNNNNNNNNNNNNNNNNNNNNNNNNNNNNNNNNNNNNNNNNNNNNNNNNNNNNNNNNNNNNNNNNNNNNNNNNNNNNNNNNNNNNNNNNNNNNNNNNNNNNNNNNNNNNNNNNNNNNNNNNNNNNNNNNNNNNNNNNNNNNNNNNNNNNNNNNNNNNNNNNNNNNNNNNNNNNNNNNNNNNNNNNNNNNNNNNNNNNNNNNNNNNNNNNNNNNNNNNNNNNNNNNNNNNNNNNNNNNNNNNNNNNNNNNNNNNNNNNNNNNNNNNNNNNNNNNNNNNNNNNNNNNNNNNNNNNNNNNNNNNNNNNNNNNNNNNNNNNNNNNNNNNNNNNNNNNNNNNNNNNNNNNNNNNNNNNNNNNNNNNNNNNNNNNNNNNNNNNNNNNNNNNNNNNNNNNNNNNNNNNNNNNNNGGGGGGAGGCCUUUUCUGUUUUUAUUUCUUUUGUUCUAUUUUUGUUUAUUAUCCUUUUUCUGUUUUCUGUUUUAUUUUAGUUCCUCUUUUAUUUUAGUUUUAUAGACUAUAAAAGUAGUCCCUAAUUUAGUGUUAGUAAUUAGCUACUGCCACAUAAGUUUGGGCAACAAAAUAAAAUAGCUUAAUAUUUUAUUUAUCGUAAAAGGCAUUCAACAAAUUGUUUUUGCUACUGUUUAAAACAUCUUAGAGUAUUUUACACUUUUAUAAAAGUGUGGUUUCUCCACCAUACUUACUUAUGCAUUAUUUGGCUCACUCCGAACAUUUUAGUUUUAAUAUUUGAAAACUUUUAUUGUUUACUUGGUUUUAAAUUUGAAUUUCGAACUAGGUUCCGAACUAUCGAGAGUUUAUUACAGUAACCGUGGUGACGUGGCAUCAUUAGCGGGGAAUCACUGUAGCUUAAUUAUCCGGGCGUCACAAUUCUCCUCCACUACAAGAAAUCUCGUCCCGAGAUUUAAGAGGGGGACUAAGGGGGAAAGGUCUGGUUACGAAAUGCUAACGAAUCUUCUCAGUCUUGGUUGCUCUUCUUGAAGAGGUCGAUCCAUUAGAUUGACGUCUUCAUUUCUCUACUUCAGGUCAUCAUGGUGAUGUCGUCCUUUUCUCGGGAACUCCAACGUACUUGCGAAUAGGUAAGGGGCAGCUCGGCUACGACAGAAUGUUUAUGAGGGAAACAAUCUGGGGUUAACCCAUGAAUGAGCGUAAGAUUAUCUCUCGAGCUGAACAUAUCGAAUACAUCAAGAGUAAGGUACGAAGGUACAAUAAGAGGUUCCAAGUGGAUAGAUAGUUGCUCGAAGUCUGAACCAGAGUGAGAAAGGGGUUCAGAGCAACGAGAGUAAGUAUAGCGUCUGAUACCAGAAUAGAGCAUUAGGAAGGUGACCCGUGAAUUACAUACGAAGUCAAGUGUGGGGAAUAACUUUGGAAACCGGGGGUGUACAGGAGAGUCAGGUUUUGAUCCUGUGGAACUGUGGGUUAUGGGCCCACCAUGUGGGUUAAAAGUUGGAAGGGUGGAGACAUCUUGCGUGAUCAUGCAAGCAAGGCAAGUCAGAGGCUAGCAUGUCGAUUAUGUCGGCAACAAUGACGGUACCAAGGGCGAGGGACGAAGAGAACCAUUUUCCUGCUCGUUGAAACGAGGCGGACCAAUAGGCAAGGUUCCCGUCCAUCGGUGGUUACCGGAAUGUCAUCAACAAUAGUAACAAGGUCUUGCUGACCGAGCUGUACAUCGAGGGGUUUGCACAAGUAGUGGAUUAUUACUGCUUAUAUCAUAUAGAUCAUAGAAAAGGUUUAAACAAACCAAUGGAAGGAAAAUAUGAUCAUCAGAUUAAACAGAUCAAUGGAAAGGAAAAUAUGUUUAAACACAUAUUUCGAGGGUAUAUCCUUCCCAAGGAUAAGCAGAGCAAGAUAUCCAUGACAGGAUAUAAAGUAGAAAACCAUUUAGGUAAGGGGGGAGGAAUCUCAUGAUAUUACCCAUACAACGGUGUUAGGAUAAAUGAUAAAUAAAAUUUAGCAUCGUGCUUCAAAUGUUCCUGUUACAAAUCGGAGUACCAUUGGCAUGCUUCGAGAUAGCAUUGACAUGGUCUUCAGGUGAAGAUCAGACUUUGGAAACACGAAGGAUCCAUCAGGAAUAACUUGUAGAAUAAGUCUUACAAUUUCCUCAUGGAUGANNNNNNNNNNNNNNNNNNNNNNNNNNNNNNNNNNNNNNNNNNNNNNNNNNNNNNNNNNNNNNNNNNNNNNNNNNNNNNNNNNNNNNNNNNNNNNNNNNNNNNNNNNNNNNNNNNNNNNNNNNNNNNNNNNNNNNNNNNNNNNNNNNNNNNNNNNNNNNNNNNNNNNNNNNNNNNNNNNNNNNNNNNNNNNNNNNNNNNNNNNNNNNNNNNNNNNNNNNNNNNNNNNNNNNNNNNNNNNNNNNNNNNNNNNNNNNNNNNNNNNNNNNNNACAUCAUGUUACUGGGUCAUCAAAGGAUCAAUAUCAUAACUCUUGGAAAGUUGUCCUAACCAUCAUAUCUGACGGAGAUUCAGGUAUGAUUGGUGUCAGGAUACCUCAGGCUCAGGAUGCCUGAGAAGAAAGGUGCAACACCAAUUGACGGGAUGACACUGAAAGAUUCUUGGGAAAUGAACUAUGAAGUGACUUCCGUUAACAAGAGUUCAUCAUUAACCCAAGGAGAGGACAAGGAGGUGUCUGGUGAACUCAACGGCAAUUCACCGAGAUUCCCAAAAGAUGGAUUUCCACCAUUAAGUGAACAAGGAGAUAACAUUUGUCAAAUCAAAUGAUAUAGGGAAGUAUGCUCGAGGAAAACAUACACAAUUAAACAUUGGUUGAAAGGUGCGCCCGAAAUAUGGGUUGGGUUGCACGACCAAUGUCAGAAUGGUGAUUCAAUUAGCGAAGGACUUAGAAUGAACUAUCACCCAUUCACUUCAAAGCAAUAGGGUUGCUAGAAGGAAAGAACCCAAACAACACCGUUCACUUGUUGGAAUUAACACGGGGACCAAGAAAGAAUGGUGAUGGUGAGAAGUAUUUCUAUGUCAAAAAUUCUCAAGAGGUGGAACAAAUCUCAGAACAUUCUUGACAUAAAGGAUGGUACUACUCCAAGGUAAAGAAGAACAAUUGCUGGAUAGCAAGGAACUCAAGGUAUAAUACCAAACAUGAACAAGCUUGUGUUGGUGGGAGGGCAAUAAAGUGGUCGACGAUAAUACAAUUUAUCGAGGGCAAGGAUGGUAUUUCUCAUCAUUAAUUCACUUGAUAUCCUGGAAGAGCAUCAGAAUGUAGAUGGUGAUCAUGACACAUUUGUCGAGAGAUUCCACGAAGAUGUAAUCGAUCCGCGAUCACAUCAAGUCAAAAGAAUGAUGAAGCAAGAGGUUAUUGGAACCAUAGGUACACGACACAAACCUGAAAUCAAGAUUAUUGUUCAAGGCAAACUGAUAUGACGAGGAAGAUCGACGUAAGCUUAGCUCAUUGUCAAAAGUUGUGCUCCGGGAUUAAGGACCAGGUAGCACAGUUAAAAUUUAGCAUGGUAAUGAUAUAACCGAUCAGGCUAGGAAUGACAUGAUCGGGUACAAACUCGUAAGUAAAGAAUAUUAGUAAGAGUUGUUGAACCGUAAUGCGGACUUGGUUCAGUUAUCGGUGUAUUUGAGUGUUUAAUAACUCAGAGCCCAUGAAAAAUUGUAAUCAGUGAGUAUGUAGUACUUGAUGAAGAACUCAUCGGAAGUUAUGCAGUACCAUGAUAAUCUCGAGAUACCAGGGGGGUAAUACUCAACACAAGAUCAAAGUAAAGGUUGGACUGGUGUAUUGAUCCAUAGAAGACAAUUGUUUAAACUUGUCCGAGAAAUGGAAUCAAAGAAGAACAAUCAUGGUCGGAACCACGGUUGCAAGGGAUCAAUUCACAGAUACCAUAUGUUAGCUAUCAAGGAAAUAGUUAUUAUUACAAGAAGCUUCCAUGAUAGGAUAUACAUCGCGUCCAUGGGCAUGAACACAAAGUUCAAGGUCGACUCCCACUUCCUCAAUGCAUAAUCUUCCAUUCACCUCUCGUAUUUAGAAGAUGACAUUAGUUGUUGAAAGUUUUACCUGGUGCAAUACCAGAUAAGUAUGACUCGUGAAAACUUUCGGGUUCACACAGUUUAGAGAAGGCAUAUGUUCAACCCAUAGGGGCUUCUUAGAAACAUAUACCACAAGUUUCCAGAGUAAAUAACACAAGCCCGAAAGCAGAGCAUGGUUGGCCAAGCAGAGGAUACAACUUAACAAGGGCAUCAUGUAUAAGGGGAAGAACUCACAAAGUGUUCAAAUGUGAAGGACACUGUCGGAUAACAAUCCAACAAAGGACUUGAUAGUCCACAAAGGAUCUGAUAUGAGUAUCGGUACUCAACCAGAAGAGGAAGGAAUGCAAAUGCAACAGGUUAUGGAAUCAUCUAAAUAAUUCAAAGCUUAAAUAAAAAGGAAUUAUGAUUUCCACAACAAAGGAUCAGAAGCAGACGUUCUGAUCAAGGAUGGAUCAAUUGAAUAUACCAGAGGCACAAUCGAUGACAGAUAGUUUGGUCGAGAACCAGCUCAUGUUUGAAAGACAUCUGAGCUGGAGAGAUAAUUUAAAAGGAUCAACUGAUGAUUACUUGCAUUCGCCACAUAUUGAGUCAACAGACUCAAAAUGAUAAUGACAAGGAAUGUCAUUAAGAUUUCUAUUCUUAUGGGAUUAAUCAUAAUGAAAGCAAACAAGAAAUUCCAGAGCAAUAGGUUGCUGAGGAUUUUUGGAAUAUCAGGUGGUAUUUCGAAGACUUUUGUGUAACACAUAAACAACUAGGGGAUGAGCGGAUAUUCUAUAAAUGCGAGAAUUAACCGUAGGGGUAUUCAAGUGACAAGAACAGCAAGGCAGUAAGCUCGAGGGUUUAUCGAAACCACGACGAGUUUUUUAGGGUAUCGAAACCAUGACCAACUGGGGAUGAUAUAAGAAUAACAACUGUAAGUAGCUACCCAUAAGGGUUGACGGUGGAAGGGGAAUUGCAAACGCGAUGAACACAAGUUCUCGGCCUAACAACGGAAAGUAUCUUCAGGGUCUUCACGUGGAGCAGACGAUCAUCAGUAAUAAGGGGCUCUCCGGGUGAAAGUAUUUUCGAGAACCUAAAGUUAGUUUUUAGUAAAAAUCGUUUAACCCGAAUAGAAGAGGGUUCAGAAUCCCAGAGUAAAGGUCAAGGAAUAAAAGAUCCUAAUACCUCACGAUGGCGACGUGGGCCCAUGGGCCACACAGCCAUGUUAGUAAAAGUUUUUCAACGACUAGACUCGACUUCGGCCAAGGAGUUGGAAAGGGGGAUUCCUACAGGCAGUCGGCUCUAAUACCAACUUGUGACGCCCCCGAUUCAAUCGUACACUAAUCAUGCACGCAAAUGUGUACGAUCAAGAUCAGGGACUCACGGGAAGAUAUCACAACACAACUCUAAAACAUAAAUAAGUCAUACAAGCAUCAUAAUACAAGCCAGGGGCCUCGAGGGCUCGAAUACAAGUGCUCGAUCAUAGACGAGUCAGCGGAAGCAACAAUAUCUGAGUACAGACAUAAGUUAAACAAGUUGCCUUAAGAAGGCUAGCACAAACUGGGAUACAGAUCGAAACAGGCGCAGGCCUCUUGCCUGGGAUCCUCCUAAACUACUCCUGGUCGUCGUCAGCGGGCAGCACGUAGUAGUAGGCACCUCCGGUGUAGUAGGGGUCGUCGUCGACGGUGGCGUCUGGCUCCUGGACUCCAGCAUCUAGUUGCGACAACCAGAAAGAAAGGAAAGGGGAAAAGGGGGGAAGAAAGCAACCGUGAGUACUUCAUCCAAAGUACUCGCAAGCAAGGAACUACACUACAUAUGCAUGGGUAUAUGUGUAAGGAGGCCAUAUCAGUGGACUGAACUGCAGAAUGCCAGAAUAAGAGGGGGAUAACUAAUCCUGUCGAAGACUACGCUGCUGGCAGCCUCCGUCUUGCAGCAUGUAGAAGAGAGUAGAUUGAAGUCCUCCAAGUAGCAUCUCCAAAUAACAUCUCAUAGCAUAAUCCUACCCGGCGAUUCUCUCCUCGUCGCCCUGCGGAAAAGCGAUCACCGGGUUGUCUGUGGAACUUGGAAGGGUGUGUUUUAUUAAGUAUCCGGUUCUAGUUGUCAUAAGGUCAAGGUACAACUCCAAGUCGUCCUGUUACCGAAGAUCACGGCUAUUCGAAUAGAUUAACUUCCCUGCAGGGGUGCACCACAUAGCCCAACACGCUCGAUCCCAUUUGGCCGGACACACUUUCCUGGGUCAUGCUCGGCCGCGGAAGAUCAACACGUCGCAGCCCCACCUAGGCAAAACAGAGAGGUCAGCACGCCGGUCUAAACCUAAGCGCACAGGGGUCUGGGCCCAUCGCCCAUAGCACACCUGCACGUUGCGAGGGCGGCCGAAAGCAGACCUAGCCUAGAGGCGUUCCAGUCCAAUUCGGCGCGCGCCGCUCCGUCGCUGACGUCUGAAGAGCUUCGGCUGAUACCACGACACCGGGAUACCCAUAACUACUCCCACGUAGAUGGUUAGUGCGUAUAGGCUCGUAGCCAACUCAGAUCAAAUACCAAGAUCUCGUUAAGCGUGUUAAGUAUCCGCGAACGCCGACCAGGGCCAGGCCCACCUGUCUCCUAGGUGGUCUCAACCUGCCCUGCCGCUCCGCCACAAAGUAACAGUCGGGGGCCGUCGGGAACCCAGGCCCAUCUCUACCGGGAUGGAGCCACCUGCCCCUUCAGCCCCCUCGUCAGAAUCACUUGCGGGUACUCAAUGAGCUGACCCGACUUUAGUCACCAUCUGUAUAGUAUGUAUGUAUGUAUAGUAUAUACCCGUGAUCACCUCCCAAGUGAUCACAGCCCGAUAGUAUAGCAAGGCAGACUGACAAGAAUGUAGGGCCAAUGAUGAUAAACUAGCAUCCUAUACUAAGCAUUUAGGAUUGCAGGUAAGGUAUCAACAGAUGUAGCGACAAUGUCAGGCUAUGCAUCAGAAUAGGAUUAACGAAAGCAGUAACAUGCUACACUACUCUAAUGCAAGCAGUAUAGAGGAGAAUAGGCGAUAUCUGGUGAUCAAGGGGGGGGCUUGCCUGGUUGCUCAGACAAGGAGGGGUCGUCGGUGACGUAGUCGUACUCGGUGGCAUCAGCGUCGGUCUCGUAGUCUACCGGAGAGAAGAGGGGGAAGAAAUAAUGAAUACAGAGCAAACAAAGCAUCACAAAAUAUAACAAGGCAAUACGCGGUGUUCGGUGUGCCCUAACGCGGUAGUAGGUGAUACCGGUGAAGGGGGGAAAACAUCCGGGAAAGUAUUCCCGGUGUUUCGUGUUUUCGGGCAGAGGAGCCGGAGGGGAAAAGUUGCGGGUUCGAUAGGUUAGAGGGGUGUGGCGGACGAACGGACCGCGCAUCCGGAUUCGUCUCGUCGUUCUGAGCAACUUUCAUGUUGAAAAUAUUUUAAUCCGAGUUACGGAUUAAAAGAUAUGAUUUUCUAAAGAUUUUAUUAAUUUCUGGAAUUUAAUUAAUUAUUUAAUCCAACAUUAUCCAGAAUAGUAAAUGAUAACGUCAGCAUGACAUCAGAGUGAUGUCAGCAGUCAACGUUGACCAUUGACCUGGUCAACCUGACGUGUGGGUCCCUUUGUCAUUGACUAAGAUUAACUAAAACAGAUUAAUUAGUUUAAUUAGUGAUUAGGUUAAUCUAAUCAGGAUUAAUUAACUUAAUUAAUUAAUUAAUAUUUUAAUUAUUUUAAUUAUUAUUUAUUUAUUUAUUUAAUAUAUUCUUUUUUUUAUUUUAUUUUUUUAUUAUUUUUUUUAUUCCUUUUCUUUUUUUUAAACCGAUCUGGGGCGGGGCCCCCUAGUCAGUGGCCCGGGGGGCCUAUCGGUUCGGGUGUGCGUGCGUUCGGGUUCGGGCGCAACGGGUGUGCCCCGUUUGGGUGCACGCCCAGGGUGCAGGCGGACCCGGGAGGGCACCGGAACGGCGGAGGUCGGUGGCCACGGCAUGGCCAUGGCCGGAGCGGGGCGAGGCCGCGGUGGUGCGCGGGNNNNNNNNNNNNNNNNNNNNNNNNNNNNNNNNNNNNNNNNNNNNNNNNNNNNNNNNNNNNNNNNNNNNNNNNNNNNNNNNNNNNNNNNNNNNNNNNNNNNNNNNNNNNNNNNNNNNNNNNNNNNNNNNNNNNNNNNNNNNNNNNNNNNNNNNNNNNNNNNNNNNNNNNNNNNNNNNNNNNNNNNNNNNNNNNNNNNNNNNNNNNNNNNNNNNNNNNNNNNNNNNNNNNNNNNNNNNNNNNNNNNNNNNNNNNNNNNNNNNNNNNNNNNNNNNNNNNNNNNNNNNNNNNNNNNNNNNNNNNNNNNNNNNNNNNNNNNNNNNNNNNNNNNNNNNNNNNNNNNNNNNNNNNNNNNNNNNNNNNNNNNNNNNNNNNNNNNNNNNNNNNNNNNNNNNNNNNNNNNNNNNNNNNNNNNNNNNNNNNNNNNNNNNNNNNNNNNNNNNNNNNNNNNNNNNNNNNNNNNNNNNNNNNNNNNNNNNNNNNNNNNNNNNNNNNNNNNNNNNNNNNNNNNNNNNNNNNNNNNNNNNNNNNNNNNNNNNNNNNNNNNNNNNNNNNNNNNNNNNNNNNNNNNNNNNNNNNNNNNNNNNNNNNNNNNNNNNNNNNNNNNNNNNNNNNNNNNNNNNNNNNNNNNNNNNNNNNNNNNNNNNNNNNNNNNNNNNNNNNNNNNNNNNNNNNNNNNNNNNNNNNNNNNNNNNNNNNNNNNNNNNNNNNNNNNNNNNNNNNNNNNNNNNNNNNNNNNNNNNNNNNNNNNNNNNNNNNNNNNNNNNNNNNNNNNNNNNNNNNACGGUGGGGGUUAUGGAGGGUUAGGUGGGCCGACCUGGUUGGAUGGCCAGCCCAGCAUGUGGGUGGGCCGAUGCCCAGUAGGGGGGGGAAGGCCUUUUCUGUUUUUAUUUCUUUUGUUCUAUUUUUGUUUAUUAUCCUUUUUCUGUUUUCUGUUUUAUUUUAGUUCCUCUUUUAUUUUAGUUUUAUAGACUAUAAAAGUAGUCCCUAAUUUAGUGUUAGUAAUUAGCUACUACCACAUAAGUUUGGGCAACAAAAUAAAAUAGCUUAAUAUUUUAUUUAUCGUAAAAGGCAUUCAACAAAUUGUUUUUGCUACUGUUUAAAACAUCUUAGAGUAUUUUACACUUUUAUAAAAGUGUGGUUUCUCCACCAUACUUACUUAUGCAUUAUUUGGCUCACUCCGAACAUUUUAGUUUUAAUAUUUGAAAACUUUUAUUGUUUACUUGGUUUUAAAUUUGAAUUUCGAACUAGGUUCCGAACUAUCGAGAGUUUAUUACAGUAACCGUGGUGACAUGGCAUCAUUAGCGGGGAAUCACUGUAGCUUAAUUAUCCGGGCGUCACAGAUUAACAAAGCCGGGAGGUUGUUUAACAUAAACUUCCUCCUCUAUUUCACCAUUUAGAAAAGCACUUUUAAUGUCCAUUUGGUACAAGGUGAUAUCAUGGUGAUUAGCAUAGGCAAGUAAGAUGCGAAUGGACUCAAGUCUAGCAACGGGAGCAUAAGUCUCACCAUAAUCCAUACCUUCAAAUUGUGUCUAGCCUUGGGCGACGAGAUGUGAUUUGUUGCGAACUAUUGUCCAUCUUCAUCUUGCUUGUUGCGAAACACCCAUUUGGUACCGAUGAUGUUGUGGUUGUUGUCGGGCUUCUCAACCAAUGUCCAAACUUGAUUUCUCUCAAAGUUGUGUAGCUCUUCUUGCAUGGCAUUUAUCCAAUCCGGAUCUUCCAAAGCUUCUUCAACCUUCAUAGGUUCAAUGCUAGAGAUGAAUGAAUAGUGUUCACAAAAGUUAGCUAAACGAGUUUUAGAGCGAGUGAUUCUCCCGGUUUGGAUAUCAUUGUAGAUUUGCUCGACGGGAUGAUCUUUAGCUAUUCUUGCUCGAACUCGUGAAAGCUUUUGCUUGGGUCUUCGUUGAACAUCUUCUUCAUCUUGUUCUUCUUCUUGGCCUUCUUCAUUGUUGGCGUUGUCAUUCUCUUGUCGUGGUGGAGAAGGAGGUUGUUGACGUUCGUCUUGGCGCACUCCCUCGUUUUCUUCAUCUUGGUGUGCCACUUGUGGAUGCUUCCGUAUCAACCCUUGGUUCACCUUGUUUUGAGGUAGAAGCUUCCACUUGGACAGACGAGGUACUCUCCUUCACUUCCGUUGGACGAAUCUUGCCAAUAGACAAGUCUUGGAUUGCUUCUGAGGGAUCUUUGUCUCCUACAUCAAUUGGAAAUUGCUCUACUUGCGAGCCGUUAGAUUCAUCAAAUUUCACAUCUACCAUUUCUUCAACCUUUCGUGUGAAAUUGUUGUAGACACGGUAUGUGUGAGAGUUUGAGACAUAAACAAGUAGGAAACCUUCAUGAGACUCAGGAGAAAAUUUAGAACGACGAUGCUUAUCAAGAAUGUAGCACUUUCAGCCGAAUACUCGAAAGUAUGCAACUUGGGGUUUGUUACCGGUGAGGAGCUCGUAUGCCGUCUUGCCAAGUAGCUUGUGAAGAUACAAGCGAUUUGUUGCAUGAUAGGAUGUCUCAACCGCUUCCGCCCAAAAGUGCUUUGGCGUCUUGUACUCAUCAAGCAUUGUUCUCGCCAUUUUGAUGAGCGUCCGGUUCUUCCUCUCAACAACUCCAUUUUGUUGAGGUGUGUACGUAGCUGAGAACUCGUGUGAAAUCCCUUCUUCGUCAAGAAAGGUAUCCACAUUUGCGUUCUUGAACUCCAUUCCGUUGUCUCUGCGAACCUUCUUGAUCUUCACUUCAAAUUGAUUUUGGGCCUUCCUAGCGAAGUUUUUGAAGAUCUUCUGAACCUGCAAUUUAUCAUCGAGAAAGAACACCCACGUAAAUCUUGAAAAAUCAUCAACUAUAACUAGACCAAAAGAAUUUCCACCGAGACUUUUGUAGACGUUGGGACCAAAGAGAUCCAUGUGAAGUAGCUCGAGAGGCCUCCUUGUGGUCAUGAUGUUCUUUACGGGAUGCCUUCCUCCAACCUGUUUACCUGCCUGACAAGCGUUGCAAAGUCUAUCCUUAUCAAAUAUGACAUCAUUAACUCCAAGGAUAUGAUUUCCUUUAAUAAGCUUGUCAAGGUUUCGCAUACCAACAUGGCCUAAUCGUCUAUGCCAUAACCAACCUUUAGAGGAUUUAGCAAUAAAGCAAGUUCUAGGUUGAGCCUUUUUAGUGAAAUCAACAAUGUAUAGAUCACCUCUACGCACACCGGUAAAGACCAUUUUAUGAUUAUCUCUACGAAACACUUGGCAAUCUACUUCAGUAAAUAGGACAUUGAAACUGAAAUCAGCAAGUCUAGAUACUGAAAGUAAGUUGUAGCCAAGAGAUUCAACGAGCAUGACAUUUUGUAUGGAGCUAUCAUGUGAUAUGGCCACCUUACCGAGGCCAACCACCUUACCCUUUGAGUUGUCACCGAAAGUGACAUACUUUUGAGGGCCGUCAUUUUCAGCAAGCUCACGAAACAUAUCUUUAUCUCCGGUCAUGUGAUCGGUACAUCCACUAUCAAGAACCCAUUCCUUUCCUCCUGCCAUAUAUCCUCGAAGAUUUGCCAUAAGACCAAAAUGUCUCAUUUCAUCAUCAAGAUCAAAGUCACUAUCAUCCUCCUCAUCAUAGUAUCCAUGUUCAACAUCGUCAAUCCUAGAGAGGGUGAUUCGUUAGAGUGAGUUUGACAAUGAUCUUGCUUAUGAAUUUUUAUAGCUUCGGAAAUAAUAUCACUAAUAAUUCCAACAUCUCCUUUGGCACGCAUAAGGUUUGUAAGCUCAAAUAGACAGUCGCCAAACAUAGGAUCACUGGAAUUCAUCUUACUCAAGGCAAUAGACUUAUGGAUAAUUUCAUCAAGAUUUUUCAAGGAAUAAUUUGGAAAAUGUUCCUCAAGAAAUUUCCAUAUAGUGUAGGCACACUUAAGAGUAGGCAAACAUCCUAUCAAGUUUCUAGGAAAGUCUCUAAUGAUAAGUUCGGCAGUUCUAAGAUUGCGAAUCAUGUCAAUUGACUUAUCAAGGGUAGGAUGCAUAGGAUCAACAUGAGGCGCACAAGGACUAGCAAUGUACUUGUUCAAAUGAUAUUGAUUGAAAAUCACAAGCACCUCAUUUUUCUACUCAUGAAAGUACUCUCCAUCAAGUAUAGGCACUCUAUAUCUAAGACUCCCAAUAGUAGACUCAUACAUCUUCCUCCAAUGGUGUUUAAACCAAAGCAAUGGAGACAAAAGCUCUGAUACCAAUUGAAAGGGAUCGAGAAGAGGUGUCUAGAGGGGGGGGGGUGAUUAGACACUAAGUACCAAAAGUUGCAGUUUUUAACUUCUUUAAGUUGGAGUGGAGUUUAGCCACAAGUUUAAUGCUCACAAUACAUAUCAAGCAAGCAUGCAAAGAGUAUAUGAGCAGCGGAAAGUAAAGCAUGCAACUUGCAAGAAUGUAAAGGGAAGGGUUUGGAGAUUUCAAACGCAAUUUGGAGACACGGUGAUUUUCCAGCCAUGGUUCCGAUAGGUGGUGCUAUCAUACAUCCACGUUGAUGGAGACUUCAACCCAUGAAGGGUAACGGUUGCGUGAGUCCACAGAGGGCUCCACCCACGAAGGGUCCACGAAGAAGCAACCUUGUCUAUCCCACCAUGGCCGUCGCCCACGAAGGACUUGCCUCACUUGCGGUAGAUCUUCACGAAGUAGGCGAUCUCCUUGCCCUUACAAACUCCUUGGUUCAACUCCACAAUCUUGUCGGAGGCUCCCAAGUGACACCUAGCCAAUCUAGGAGACACCACUCUCCAAGAAGUAACAAAUGGUGUGUUGAUGAUGAACUCCUUGCUCUUGUGCUUCAAAUGAUAGUCUCUCCAACACUCAACUCUCUCUCACAGGAUUUGGAUUUCGUGGAAAGAAGAUUUGAGUGGAAAGCAACUUGGGGAAGGCUAGAGAUCAAGAUUCAUAUGGUAGGAAUGGAAUAUCUUGGCCUCAACACAUGAGUAGGUAGUUCUCUCUCAGAAAAUGGAUGUUGGAAGUGUAGGUUCGUUCUGAUGGCUCUCUCCACGAAUGAAGAGUGGGUGGAGGGGUAUAUAUAGCCUCCACACAAAAUCUAACCAUUACACACAACUUGCCAAACUCGGUGGGACCGAAUUGAGAAACUCGGUCGGACCGAUUUAGCAAAUCUAGUGACCGUUAUGAUUUUCGGUGGGACCAACAUGCAACUCGGUAGGAACGAUAUGGUUAGGGUUAGGGCAUAACGUAAUCUCGGUGAGACCGAUUACACAAACUUGGUGGGACCGAUUGUUGUAAUAAGCUAACUAGAGAGUUGGUCAGGCAAACUCGGUUUGACCGAUUACACAAACUCGGUAGGACCGAUUUUGGUAAUAAGUUAACCAGAGAGUUUGCAUUGUGAUCUCGGUAGUACCGAUUACCCAAACUCGGUGAGACCGAUUUUGGUAAUGGACAUACAUAGAGAGAUUACAAUCCCAUCUCGGUGGGACCGAGAUCCCUAUCGGUGAGACCGGUUUGCCUAGGGUUUGUGGAGGUGGCUAAGACAUCCGAACUCGGUGGCGCCGGGUGGAAAGAAUCGGUAGGACCGAGUUAGACUUUUGGUUUAGGACAUAUGUGGAUGUGAGAAAGUAGUUGAGGGCUUUGGAGCAUAUCACUAAGCACUUUGAGCAAGCAAGCCAUUAAGCAACACCUCAUCCCCUCUUGAUAGUAUUGGCUUUUCCUAUAGACUCAAUGUGAUCUUGGAUCACUAAAAUAGAAAAUGCAGAGUCUUGAGCUUGGAGCUUGAGCCAAUUCUUUGUCCUUAGCAUCUUGAAAGGGUUCCACAUCCUUUAGUCCAUGACACUCCAUUGUUGAACUUGUCUGAAACAUACUAGGUAAAAGUGUUAGUCCAACAAGAGAUAUGUUGACAUUAAUUACCAAAACAACCCAGGGAGCACUUGUGCUUUCACCAACCUACUGACAUAGUGCCCAGUGCCAGUUGCUGUUUUUUUGCUUGUUUUUUACUUCAUAGAAAACCAAUACCAAAUGGAGUCCAAAUGCAGCAAAACAUUUUGGAGAUUUUUUUGGAGCAGAAGACAUCCAGUGGGCCAAAGAAGUACCAGAGGGGUGCCCCGAGGGGGGCACAACCCACCCAGGCGCACCCUGGUGGGUUAUGCCCACCUCGGUGGCCUCCCGCACCACCUCUUCGCCCUAUACACUACAUGAAUCAGCUUAUUUGUUGUCUGCCAUGGCAGAUGGCAAAGGCACCAAAAGCGGAUGGCAAAGCUCUUUGCCGUCUGCCACCAACGGCAAACCUGCCCGGCAAAGAGAGCGACGGUAAACAUGUUCUUUGUUGUCUGCUUCCUCAAAGUGGAUGGCAAAGGCCCUUUGCCAUCAGUGGCAGACGACAACGAACAUGGACGGCAAAAACCAUGCGUUAGCCACGUUAGGUGGCUAACGGCAGCCUUUGCCGUCCGCCAGCAAAUGGCAGCUGCCCAGGGCUUUGCUGUCUGCCACGGACGGCAAAGUGCCCAAAUGGGUCAGCUCCCAGGUUGCACAGGUUGCUGCCACGUGGCUUCUUUGCCGUCCGCGGUAGAUGGCAAAGGUCUCUUUGCCGUCGGAGGCGGACGACAAAGUGCCUGUAUUAUUACUGUUUUUCUGUUUUCUAUUAUAUCCCUGCAUUUUGAAAAGAUAUAUAUGAUAUAUAUAUAGUUUCAACCUCAAACAUAGCCCAUGUAUCAAACAUCUAGCAGUCCAUCAAUGCAACAGAACACAUAGGGUAUUAAAAGAUCCAAUACAUACAUAGUUUCACAGUGUUCAUCCAUAUAUACAUACAUAGUUUCACAUUGUUCAUCAAUACAAAUGAAAACAAGAACUAAACACUAGCAGUCCAUCAAUGCUGCUUCCAUGAAGUGAAUCAAACCUGCAAAAUUGGGAGUAAGAAAGUUAGAAGAAGAAGACUAGACGAGAAGACUAGAAGAAUAAGAAGAAGACUAGAAGACUAUAAGAAGAAGAAGAAGAAGACUAGAAGAAGAAGAGAAGAAGACGAGAAGACUAGAAGAAGAAGAAGAAGACUAGAAGAAUAAGAGAAGAAGAAGAGAAGAGCUUCUUCUCUUCUUCUUCUCUUAUUCUUCUAGUCUUCUUCUUCUUCUUCUUCUUCUUCUUCUUCUUCUCCUUCUUCUUCUUCUUCUUCUUUUCUCAUCUUUCUUCUUCUCUUCUAUAUUUUUGAAGCUUCUUCUUGUCUUCUCUUCUUAAAAAUUAUAGAUACGAUGGAGACGUAUCAGCAUCCCCAAGCUUAAUUCCUGCUCGUCCUCGAGUAGGUAAAUGAUAAAAAAGAUAAUUUUUGAUGUGGAAUGCUACCUAGCAUAAUCUUGAUCAUAUGUCUAAUCAUGGCAUGAAUAUUAAGACAUGAGUGAUUGAAAUCAAUAGUCUAUCAUUUGACAUAAAAACAAUAAUACUUUGAGCAUACUAAUAAAGCAAUCAUGUCUUUUCAAAACAACAAGGCCAAAGCAAGCUUAUCCCUACAAAAUCAUAUAGUUUGGCCAUUCUUCAUUUUCGUCACACAAAAUGCCCCCAUCAUGCACAACCUCGAUGACAAGCCGAGCAAUUGGUUCAUACUUAUUAACGCGCUUCAGGUUUUUCAACCCUCACACAAUACAUGAGCGCAAGCCAUGGAUAUAGCACUAUAGGUGGAAUAGAAUAUGACGGUGGAGGUUUAUAUGGAGAAGACAAAAAAGGGAGAAAGUCUCACAUCGACGCGGUUAAUCAACGGGCUAUGGAGAUGACCAUCAAUUGAUAUCAAUGCAAGGAGUAGGGAUUGCCAUGCAACGGAUGCACUAAGAGAUAUAAGUGUAUGAAAGCUCAAACUGAAAACUAAGUGGGUGUGCAUCCAACUUGCUUGCUCAUGAAGACCUAGGGCAUUUGAGGAAGCCCAUCGUUGGAAUAUACAAGCCAAGUUCUAUAAUGAAAAAUUCCCACUAGUAUAUGAAAGUGACACACAUAGGAGACUCUCUAUAUGAAGAACAUGGUGCUACUCUGAAGCACAAGUGUGGUAAAAUGAUAGUAACAUUGCCCCUUUUCUUUUUUUUUCUUUUUUUCUUUUUCUUUUUUUGUGUGGGAUUCUUUGGCCCCUUUUUUAUUUAGGCUUCUUUGGCCUUUCCUUUUUUUUUUCUUUUUUUUCUUUUUUUCAUGGGGCAAUGCUCUAUAAUGAUGAUCAUCACAGUUUUAUUUACUUACAACUCAAUAUUACAACUCGAUACUAGAACAAAGAUAUGACUCUAUAUGAAUGCUUCCGACGGUGUACCGGGAUGUGCAAUGAUCUAGAAUAGCAAUGACAUCGAAAAACGGACAAGCCAUGAAAACAUCAUGCUAGCUAUCUUACGAUCAUGCAAAGCAAUAUGACAAUAAAUCCUCAAGUCAUGUAUGUGAUGAUGAUGGAAGUUGCAUGGCAAUAUAUCUCGGAAUGGCUAUGGAAAUGCCAUGAUAGGUAGGUAUGGUGGCUGUUUUGAGGAAGAUAUAAGGAGGCUUAUGUGUGAUAGAGCGUAUCAUAUCAUGGGGUUUGGAUGCACCGGCGAAGUUUGCACCAACUCUCGAGGUGAGAAAGGGCAAUGCACUGUACCAAAGAGGCUAGUAAUGAUGGAAAGGUAAAAGUGCGUAUAAUCCAUGGACUCACAUUAGUCAUAAAGAACUCAUAUACUUAUUGCAAAAGUUUAUUAGCCCUCAAAGCAAAGUACUACUACGCAUGCCCCUAGGGGGAUAGAUUGGUAGGAAAAGACCAUCGCUCGUCCCCGACCGCCACUCAUAAGGAAGACAAUCAAAGAAACACCCCAUGCUUCAAAUUUGUCACACAACGGUUACCAUAUGUGCAUGCUACGGGACUUGCAAACCUCAACACAAGUGUCUCUACAAUCCACAAUCACCGACUAGCAUGACUCUAAUAUCACCAUCUUUAUAUCGCAAAACUAUUGCAAGGAAUAAAACAUAUCAUAUUUAGCGAUCUAAGAGUUUAUGUAGGAUUUUAUGACUAACCAUGUGAUUGACCAAUUCCUGUCAUCUCUCUAAAAGAUAUAAGUGAAGCAAAAGAGUUUAAUUCUUUCUACAAAAGAUAUGCCCACAGUCUAACAAAUAUAAGUGAAGCAAAAGAGCAUUCUACAAAUGGCGCUUUUCUAUGUGAAGAGAAAAAGGCAAUCCAAACUUCAAAUGAUAUAAGUGAAGCACAUGAAGCAUUCUAUAAAGCCAUACUCAAAAGAUUUAAGUGAAGUGCAAUGAGUAUUGUAUAAAUAAACUAAGGACUAUCUCAUACUAGCAUGGUGCAUAAAAGAAAAGUGAAAACUAAAUGCAAAAGACGCUCCAAAACUUGCACAUAUCGCAUGAACGAAACGAAUACGAAAACAUACCGAUACUUGUUGAAGAAAGAGGGGAUGCCUUCCGGGGCAUCCCCAAGCUUAGACGCUUGAGUCUCCUUGAAUAUUUACUUGGGGUGCCUUGGGCAUCCCCAAGCAUGAGCUCUUGCCUCUCUUCCUUUUCCUCAUAUCGAGACCUCCUCGAUUAGACACUUCAUCCACACAAAACUUCAACAGAAAACUCGGUAAGAUCCGUUAGUAUAAUAAAGCAAAUCACUACUUUAAGUACUGUUGUAAACCAAUUCAAAUUUUGUUUUUGCAUUGUGUCUACUGUAAUAUAGCUUUUCCAUGGCUUAAUCCACUGAUAGAAAUUGAUAGUUUCAUCAAAACGAGCAAACUAUGCAUCAAAAACAGAAUUUGUCAAAAACAGAACAGUCUGUAGCAAUAUGAGAAUUAACCAUACUUCUGGUAACCCAAAAAUUCUACCAAAAUUAGGAAAAAUAAAAAAUUUGUACAUAAAGACAGUGCGGAAAUAAUUAGAACCGUUUUACAUUCCAGUUAAAAAUGUAAAAUCGUGCACUACAGCCAAAGUUUCUGUCAUGCACCAUACAAACCAACAAGCAUUGUAAACAUCCUAAAGGCAAACCCUGGCACAUUAUUUUUAUAAUAGAAUGGAAUUGUACAAGGGGGUAAUUAUUUUUGUUGAAAAGUUUCUAUAAUUAAGAUUCACAAAGUUUCCGUGAGCAUGAACAAAGUUCAAGGAGCUCUCCCACUUCAACAAUGCUUGUCUCUCUCACUUUCACUUUCCUUUUUGAAAAGUUUUGGGUUCCCCUCUUUAUUUUUUUGUUUUAAAACUAUAUAAAAGCACACAACAGAAAUAAAUGACUCUCUAAAACUUCCGGGUUGUCUCCCUGGCAGCGCUUUCUUUAAAGCCAUAAAGCUAGGCAUAUAGUGCUCAAGUAAUGAAUCCACCCGGAUCCCAAGGUUUAUCAAAGCCAAUUUUAAUUAACAAUGAUUUGUAAUUUAGUAGUGAGAACAAAGUAACAUAUAUCAUCCAAUGACGAAGUCUAACUCUCUUCCUAUGUAUCGGCAUGUCAUAAAAGAACAAUUCAUGCACACAAAGUAAAGGCCAAUGCAUAGUAUAAGCAGUUUCUUGCAAUUUUAUCAUAUUGGAAACAUAGAGAUGUGGAGAUAUAGUUCCUCUCUCAUAAUAAUUGCAAGUAGGAGCAGCAAGCACAUGAAUAUUAUAUCUAUCAAAAUUAUCAUGUGCAAUGGUAAAAGAUAACCCAUCAAUAUAAUCCUUAAUAAACACAAACUUCUCCAAUAUAGUGUAGUUUGGAGAAUUCAAAAAGAAAAUAGGACUAUCAUGCGUGGGUGCAAUAGCAACAAUUUCAUGUUUAACGUAAGGAACUAUAGCAAGUUCAUCUCCAUAAGCAUCAUUCAUAUUGGCAUCUUGUCCACAAGCAUAGCAAGCAUCAUCAAAAAGGGGUACUUCAAGAGAAUCAACGGGAUCAUAACAAUCAUCAUAGCAAUCAUCCUUCGGUAAGCACGAAGGGGAAUUAAACAAUGUAUGAGUUGAAGAGUUACUCUCAUUAGAAGGUGGGCACGGGUAGCUAAUCCGCUCUUCCUCCUUUUGUUCUUCGCUCUCCUCAUCAUCUUUUUCAUCCAAGGAGCUCACAGUUUCAGUAAUUUCUUCUUCCAUAGCUUCCUGUAAAAUAUUAGUCUCUUCUUGGACAGCGGAGAAGUCCUCAAUAUAUGGUUUAACAUAGGCAUUAGAAGCAUAAUUAUCAUAACAAUAUUUAAGUAUGGCAAAAAUUUUAGGUAUAUAAACUGAAUCAUCAAAAUCGUCAAACUCUUUAAACACAGAUUCAAUCUCAUAAGCACCCAUAAAAGCAACAAAUUCUUCUAUUUGUUCCACAUCAUAGUAAUCAUAGAUACCAUUAGCAUAAGAAGCCAAGGUUUUAUUAUCAUUAAAUUCGCAUGAAAAGGGAAGAUGUGGAGCCUCCCUCCUAGAGCAACAAGUAUAAUCAUAUCUCAAGCAUAGUUGCCUAGCAUACCAAUACAACAUAUUAAUUUGAUCCCAUAAUAGUUUCCCUUUUUGUGUCAAGCGAUAAUCCCUAAAGUAUUCACGUUGAUCCAAUGUGUCUCCCAUAACAAACUUGAAUGGGGUUUUCUCAGGAUUAUCAAAGUAGUACAUAAUUUCUUUCACAUAACGAGCAUCGAGGGUUUUAGGAGGUUCCCCAUCUCCAUGAGUAGCAACUACACCUAAUUUUUUUGGUAUUUCGUGUUCCAUAUCCAUAACUAAAGAUAGAGAACAACUAAGAACAGAAAAUAAAAAUUACUUAGUGAUAAAGCAAACAAGCACACACGAGAAUAUUCACCCCAUGCUUUGACUCCCUGGCAACAGCGCCAGAAAAAGGUCUUGAUAACUCGCAGGUAUACGGGAUCAAUGUAGCCUCUUUUGAUAAGUAAGAGUGUCGAACCCAACGAGGAGCUAAAGGUAGAAUAAAUAUUCUCUCAAGUCUUAUCUGCCACUGAUACGACUCUACGCACGCUUAGUGUUCGCUUUACCUAGAACAAGUAUGAAACUAGAAGUACUUUGUAGGUGUUGUUGGAUAGGUUUGCAAGAUAAUAAAGAACACGUAAAUAAAAGCUAGGGGCUGUUUAGAUAAAGAAGCAAUAAAGUAAAUAUAGCGAGUGUGGAAAAGUGGUGGUAGGAGUUGUGAAAUUGCCCCUAAGCAAUUGACUACGUUACUAGACCGGUAAUCACUAUUGCAAUUCUAUUUGAGGGAGCGGCAUAAGCUAACAUACUUUCUCUUCUUGGAUCAUAUGCACUUAUGAUUGGAACUCCAGCCAGCAUCCGCAACUACUAAAGAUCAUUAAGGUAAAACCCAACCAUAGCAUUAGAGUAUCAAGUCCCCUUUAUCCCAUACGCAAACAACCUACUUACUCGGGUCUGUGCUUCUGUCACUCACGCCACCCACCAUAAGCAAAUCAUGAACAUAUUGCAAACCCUACAGCGGGAAUCCCUCAUGCUUGCGCGACACGGAGGGCACAAUAGGACAGCACCAAUAAUAAAACAUGAAACUCAAACCUAUCAUAACAAUUCAUCAAUCACCGAUAGGACAACGAAAAUCUACUCAGACAUCAUAGGAUGGCAACACAUCAUUGGAUAAUAAUAUGAAGCAUAAAGCACCAUGUUCAAGUAGAGGGUACAGCGGGUUGCGGGAGAGUGGACCACUGCAGAUAGAAGGGGGAAGGUGAUGGAGAUGUUUGUGAAGAUUAUGGAGGUGUUGGUGAAGAUCGCGGUGAUGAUGAUGGCCCCCGACAGCGCUCCGGCGCCACCGGAAGCAAGGGGGAGAGAGGCCCCCUUCUUCUUCUUCUUCCUUGACCUCCUCCCUAGAUGGGAGAAGGGAUUCCCCUCUGGUCCUUGGCUCCCAUGUCGUGGGAGGGGCGAGAGCCCCUCCAAGAUUGGAUCUAUCUCUCUGUCUCUCCUUGUUUCUGCGUUCCCGGAUUCUGCCUUGGCACCGUUUCUUUUAUAUCUGGAGAUCCGUAACUUCGAUUGGAUUGAAACCUUCGCCCAGAUCUUUUUCCAAAAAUUAGCUUUCUUGCGGCCAAAGUAGAGCAUCAACCGCCUUACGAGGGGCCCACGAGGGUGGGGGCGCGCCCACCUGGAGUGGGCAUGGGCCCAUGUCUCGUGGCCACCUCGGGCACUGUCUUGUGUUGAUUUUACUUCCCAAAAAUCACAAAUAUUCCAAAAUAAUUCUCUGUCCAUUUUUAUCCUGUUUGGACUCCGUUUGAUAUGGGGUUUCUAUGAAACAUAAAACAUGCAAUAGACAGGAACUGGCACUGGGCACUGGAUCAAUAUGUUAGUCCCAAAAACAAUAUAAAAAGUUGCCAAAAGUAUAUGAAAGUUGAAUAAUAUUGGCAUGGAACAAUCAAAAAUUAUAGAUACGACGGAGACGUAUCAACCCACCGUAGAUAGAAAACUUGGUUCACAUGUUGAGCCAUAAUAUAGACAUCAAGAAUAUCUAAAUGGGUGCUUUGUUUGAUUUCGACUAGCCGUAUAUGUUCAUGAGUCCUUCUAGUCUCCUUCGGCUGGAACCAGUAACAUUUGAAGACUACGACAUUUGGUGCGUUUUGACCAUAGAAUAGAACUUAAUAAAUUGCUUCAACUCUCCCAUAAUACUCGAUACCUCCAUCGCCAAUAGAGGAAACACAACAAUUUGUAGACUUUCAGUCGGCCAUAGAUAGCUCUUUGCCGUAGGUACGAAAGUGAUACCCAUUGAUGUCAUAUUUGUCAAAUGAAAGGACCUUAAAGUCAAAACCAUUAGCGACUUGUCUCAAUUCGGCGUCCAUAGACUCUUAAUUAGCCUACAAGUUUAAUACAAAAGGAUUGUUGCAUUAGCCGCAAAUUAGAUGAAGAAAUGAGAAUGGUCUAAUGGAAAUUACCGUUUGUUUGAACCAAGAGAUGAAACCGGGAAAGGUGCGCUCCUUGCUUUGCCAUAAGCUCAUACUUUUCAAUGAAUUCCUUUUGGAUCACCGAGAAUUUGGCAACGUAUCGACUGUAUCAAAAAACAUUCGGGAAUAAGAGCAGUUCAAAGGAAUUAGAAGUUGUGAAACAAUGUACCGCGAGAACCUACUCGAUGUACUGCCGCACUUCUGUUAGGUUGGUGAAGAUAUACAAAAAUGGUCUGCCAUUCUUCGACAUCCAACGAUAUUUGUUUCAAAGCACCGGUUGGUGUGAGAUUCCCUUUGAAUAUAUUGAGGUUGGAUCCACCUUUUUUUGGUCGCCAGCAUUGUACCGAGGCUUUGGAUUAUGCAAAUGAUGAUUUUUGGCUUCGUAGCGUGUUGUCACGAAGUAUGCCGCCUCCUCAGUAAUGAAUGCCUCGGCCAUCGAUGCUUCAAUUCUACGUUUAUUUUUACAUUUUUCUCAGAGCUACUUCUGCAUCCUCUCAGUUACGUAGCACCAAUGAUUUUGCACGCCCCCCAGUCCUGCCUCGAUUGGGAGAUGCAAAAUCAAGUGUUGCAUUGGAUUAAAGAAGCCCGACAAAAAGAUCUUCUCUAACUUGCAGAUCAACUCCGGCGCCAACUCUUCCAUUUCUUCUAGCACGGUAGGCGAUACUUCUUUCGCACAAGGAACACGGAAUAAAUAGCUCAGAUUUUCCAGUACUAGCCAUUCAUCCUCAGGAAUGAAGCCACACAACAUCACCGACAUUACCCGCUCAAUCCAUAUGUUCCAAUCAUGACUCUUGAGACCAAAUAUUUUCAAUUUGUCAAUACUCGCUCCCCUCUUUAGAUUCGCUGCAUACCCAUCAUUGAACAUCAACUGCAUUUUCACCCACAAGAUAAUUUCCCUCAUAGUUGGCCUUCCAAGAUUGAACCAUGCCUUUGGCUUCAUCCAGUUCUGCUUUCCUUUUGGUUCUUGCAUGUUUUGUAAUGGUCUAUGACAUAGCGCCUCUUGAUCGACUCUAGCCUUAGUAUUAUCCUUUUACUUCCCCCUCUAUGCCAAACAAUGUACCAAAAAGUGCCUCGGCGAUAUUCUUUUCAGUGUGCAUCACGUCGAUGUUGUGUAGGCAAAGGAGGUCUUUGAAGUAAGGCAGAUCCCACAAGCAUGUCUUGUGAGUCUAGGCGUGUUAGGAAUUAUGCCCCUUGAAAUACCCUGGACGCUUUGGAUCUAGCUCGAGAGCGUUUAACUGAUCCAGGGUCUCUUGGCCUCUCAAUGGAGGUGGUGUAGAGUUUUUGACAACUCUACCUUUCAUGAAGUUCUUCUUGUAUUUCUUGAAAUUAUGGCGAGGAUCCAGGAACUAUCUAUUCAAGUCAAAGCAAGAAAACUUGCGACCCGCCCGCAACCAAUGAAACUCAAGAGCUGCCUUGCAUGUGGGGCACGGGAACCUUCCAUGCACACACCGGCCAACGAAUAGCGCAUACGCCGGCAAGUCAUGCAUCGAGUACAUGUACCAGACACGCAUUAUGAAGUUCUGUUUGUUAAAGGUGUCGUAUGUCUUGAACCCAUUAUCCUAAGCUUCUUGCAGUUCGUCCUUAAGCGGCUGCAUGUACACAUUCAUAUUCUUCCCCGGACAGUUCGGCCCUGGAAUUAUCAACGUCAGGAAAAUGUUCUUUCUUUGCAUAAUCUGUCCGGGGGGGGGGGAUUGAGUGGAAAUACAAAUACGGGCCAACAACUGUAUUGGGUUGCCGUCAGACCAAACACACUGAACCCAUCCGUGUUGAUGCCGACUCGAGGAUGCCUUGGAUCUACCGAUUUUUCCACAUAUAAUGCAUCGAAGCGCUUCCACGCUUCACCAUCCGAUGUGUGUAGCAUCAUCAGAUUCCCAUCUACAUCUAGUUCGGUUCUUUUGCCCGUUUUGUGCUAUGUCAUCUGUCUGAUCGUCUCUUCGACCAUGAAAAGACGUUGAAGUCUUGGUACAAUUGGCAUAUACCGAAGAAUAUUAACCGGGAUUUUGGUCUGCAUCUUCUCACCCAUACCGUUGUCUACGACAAUAUACCUGGAAGACUUGCAAAUGGGACAAUAGUUCAAGUCCGCAUACUCAAGCCUAAAUAAGGCACAUCCUUUCUCACAUGCAUGUAUCUUCUCAUAGGGCAUCUUAAGUGCAUGGAGGACUUUGUGUGACUGGUAUAGGUUUGCAGGCAGUAAAUGGCCUUUGGGUAGAAAGCGUCCAAAUACUAUCAUCAUCGCGUCGUAGCAUUCUCUGCCCAAGUUAAAUUGAGCCUUCAGAGCCAUUAUUUGUGAGAUGGCAUCUGAUACAUCUCCGUCGUAUCUAUAAUUUUUUAUUGUUCCAUGCCAAUAUUAGAGUUAAUUACACUAUUAGUACAUAAACUCACAACUUGGGUACAAUUUGAUAAAAAAACUUGCAAAAUGACGCAACCUAGCCCCUAAACUUGCUUUUCGGGUUCACUAAUGCACAAUUAGCGCCCGUAUUAGCCAAGUCGGACGCCAGAUAGUCCCCUGCACUUGGUCCACGUCUAAGAUAAUUUGUAGGAACCCCCACUGGUAUGCUGAAAAUAGAUCGCUAGCCCAGCCAAAUCACAUAGCUCCUUUUCCUUAUUUGUUCAUUCCACAGAAUCCCUAGAGACCUCUCCUCUGUUCUGGCAUUGGUGGUAGCCCUCGCGGUGGCAUUGGUGGUGGCGGUCGCAGCAGCAGCUGAGGCAGCGGCUGCAACUAAGAGCAGGAGCUCGCGGUGGCGGCCGUUGUGGGGACGUCAGUGGUGGUGCUCACGGUUGUUGGCCGGGGCGGGCGACUGCAAUGACGAGGUGGCACUCGCAGCGGUGUCAGUUGUGGGGCUUGCGGUUGUUGGCCGGGGCGGGCGACUACAAUGACGAGGUGGCAUUCGCAUGGUGUCAGUGUGGCACUCGCGGUGGCGGCCCGUGCGGCGGCUGCAACGAAGACUGAAUGUGCUUGUCCUCUCUUGUUGUAUUCUUAAGUUCUCUUGCGGACAAGAAACGAGCAGUCGAAGCGGCCAAUGAGAAACGAACAUGCAGAUGAACAUGAACAGACGAAGGGGUUUGUGCUGGGUUUGCAGUGCAAAUGUAAUUUUUUGCAUAACCUCAGUUGCCAUUUUUAAGUUUUCUACUGUACCAACUCUCUCUAAAGGCCGCGGGUUCACUAAUUGCUAUACUUGGGGGCGUUUCUGCGUAAUAUCUGACUGACCAGCGCGCCCCUCCUGUCCGACGUGGCAGGUUUCAGACUAAAUUGUAUCGAUUUGUUCUCGCGGAGCAAGUUUAGGGGCUAAUUUGAGUCGUUUUGCAAGUUCAUGUAUGAAAUUGUACACCCGCUGCAAGUUUGUGUACUAAAAUUGUAAUUAACUCCCAAUAUUAUUCAACUUUCAUAUACUUUUGGCAACUUUUUAUAAUAUUUUUUGGGACUAACAUAAUGAUCCAGUGUCCAGUGACAGUUCCUAUCUGUUGCAUUUUUAUGUUUCGCAGAAACCCCAUAUCAAACGGGAUAAAAAUGGACGGAGAAUUAUUUUGGAAUAUUUGUGAUUUUUGGGAGGAAGAAUCAAUGCGAGACGAUGCCCGAGGUGGCCACGAGAUAGGGGCCCAUGCCCACUUAAAGUGGGCGCCCCCCACUCUCGUGGGCCACCCGUAAGGCGGUUGAUGCCCUUCUUUGGCCGUAAGAAAGCUAAUUAUUGGAAAACAAUCUGGGCGAAGGUUUCAAUCCAAUCGGAGUUACAGAUCUCCAGAUAUAAAGGAAACGGUGCCAGGGCAGAAUUCUAGAACGUAGAAACAAAGAGAUAGAUCCAAUCUCGGAGGGGCUCUCGCCCCUCCCACGCCAUGGGAGCCAAUGAACAGAGGGGAAACCCUUCUCCCAUCUAGGAAGGAGGUCAAGGAAGAAGAAGAAGAAGGGGGGCCCUCUCACCCUUGCUUCCGGUGGCGCCGGAACACUGCCGGGGGCCAUCAUCAUCACCGCGAUCUUCACCAACAACUUCACCGCCUUCAUCACCAACUCUUCCCCCCUCUAUGCAGCGGUGUAACCCCUCUCUUACCCGCUGUAAUAUCUACUUAAACAUGGUGCUCAAUGCUAUAUAUUAUUUCCCAAUGAUGUAUGGCUAUCUUAUGAUGUUUGAGUAGAUCCAUUUUGUCAUAUGGGUUAAUUCAUGAUCGUGAUUGGUUUGAGUUGCAAGUUUUAUUAUUGGUGCUGUCCUAUGGUGCUCUCCAUGUCGCGCAAGCGUGAGGGAUCCCCGCUGUAGGGUUUGCAAUAUGUUAAUGAUUUGCUUAUGGUGGGUGGCGUGAGUGAACAGAAGCACAAACCCGAAUAAGUAGGUUGUUUGUGUAUGGGAUAAAGAGGACUUGAUGCUUUAAUGCUAUGGUUGGGUUUUACCUUAAUGAAUCUUUAGUAGUUGCGGACGGUUGCUAGAGUUCCAAUCAUAAGUGCAUAUGAUCCAAGUAGAGAAAGUAUGUUAGCUUAUGCCUCUCCCUCAAAUAGAAUUGCAAUAGUGAUUAUCGGUCUAGUUAUCGAUUGACUUGGACAAAUAACUUUAUCAUAACAAAAAUCUCUCUACUAAUACUUACUUUAUUGCAUCUUUAUCUAAACAGCCCCUAGUUUAUAUUUACGUGCAUUUUAUUAUCUUGCAAACCUAUCCAACAACACCUACAAAGUACUUCUAGUUUCAUACUUGUUCUAGGUAAAGCGAACGUGAAGCGUGCGUAGAGUCGUAUCAGUGACCGAUAGGACUUGAGAGAGUAUUUGUUCUACCUUUAGCUCCUCGUUGGGUUCGACACUCUUACUUAUCGAAAGAGACUACAACUAUCCCGUAUACUUGCGUGUCAUCAAGAACUUUUUCUGGCACCGUUGCCGGGGAGUCAUAGCGUGGGGUGAAUAUUCUCGUGUGUUCUUGUUUGCUUUAUCACUAAGUAAUUUUAUUUGCUGUUCUAAGUUGUUCUCUAUCUUUAGUUAUGGAUAUGGAACACGAAAUACCAAAAAAAUUAGGUGUACUCGCUACGCAUGGAGAUGGGGUAACUCCUAAAACCCUCGAUGUUCAUCAUGUGAGAAAUAUUUUGUACUACUUUGAUAAUCCUGAGAAAACCCAACUUAACUUCAUAAUGGGAGACACGUUGGAUCAACGUGAAUACUUUAGGGAUUAUCACUUGACACAAAAAGGGAAACUAUUAUGGGAUCAAAUUCAAAUGUUGAAGUGGUAUGCUAGGCAACUAUGCUUGAAAUAUGAUAUUACUUGUUGCUCUAGGAUGAAGGCUCCACAUCUUCCCUUUUCCUGCAAAUUUAAUGAUAAUAAAACCUUAUCUUCUUAUGCUAAUGGUAUAUAUGAUUACUAUGAUGUUGAACAAAUAGAAGAAUUUGUUGCUUUUAAGGCUGCUUAUGAAAUUGAAUCUUUGUUUGAAAAGUAUAAAGCUUUAGAUGAUGAUGUUUAUAGGCCUGAAAAUCUUGCUAUACUUAGAUAUUGCUAUGAAAAUUAUGAAUACAAUUACAAUAUUAAUGCAUUUAUUAAGGAAGUCUUCGUUGUCCAAGAAGAGACUAAUAUUUAGCAGGAAGCUAUGGAAGAAGAAAUUGAUGAAACUGUGAGCUCAUUGGAUGAAAAAGAUGAUGAGGAGAGCAAAGAACAAAAGGAGGAAGAGCGGAUUGAUCACCCGUGCCCACCUUCUAAUGAGAGUAACUCUUCAACUCAUACAUUGUUUAAUUCCCCUUCGUGCUUACCGAAGGAUGAUUGUUAUGAUCCCGUUGAUUCUCUUGAAAUACCCCUUUUUGAUGAUGCUUGCUAUGCUUGUGGCCAAGAUGCCAAUAUGAAUUAUGCUUAUGGAGAUGAACUUGCUAUAGUUCCUUAUGUUAAACAUGAAAUUGUUGCUAUUGCACCCACGCAUGAUAGUCCUAUUUUCUUUUUGAAUUCUCCAAACUACACUAUAUUGGAGAAGUUUGAGCUUAUUAAGGAUUAUAUUGAUGGGUUGUGUUUUACUACUUUACAUGAUGAUUUUAAUAGAUAUAAUAUGCAUGUUCUUUCUGCUCCUACUUGCAAUUAUUAUGAGAGAGGAACUAUGUCUCCACCUCUCUAUGUUUCCAACACGAUAGAAUUGCAAGAAACUGCUUAUACUAUGCAUUGGCCUUUACUUGGUGUGCAUGAAUUGUUCUUUUAUGACAUGCCGAUGCAUAGGAAGAGAGUUAGACUUCGUUGUUGCUUGAUAUACGUUACUUUGUGCUCACUACUAAAUUACAAAUCAUUGUUAAUUAAAAUUGGCUUUGAGAUACCUUGGGAUCCAGGUGGAUUCAUUACUUGAGCACUAAAUGCCUAGCUUAAUGGCUUUAAAGAAAGCGCUGCCAGGGAGACAACCUGGAAGUUUUAGAGAGUCAUUUAUUUCUGUUGAGUGCUUUUAUAUAUUUUAAAAACGAAAUAAAUAAAUAAAGAGGGGAACCUAAAAACUUUUCAAAAAGGAAAGUGAAAGUGAGAAAGACAAGCAGUGUUGAAGGGGGAGAGCUCCUUGAACUUUGUUCAUGCUCACAGAAACUUUGUGAAUCUUGAUUACAGAAACUUUUCAUCAAAGAUAAUUAUCCCCUUGAACAAUUCCACUGUAUUAUAAAAAUAAUGUGCCAAGGUUUGCAUUUAGGAUGUUUACAAUGCUUGUUGGUUUGUAUGAUGCAGGACAGAAACUUUGGCUGUAGUGCAUGAUUUUACAUUUUUAACUGGAACGUCAAUUGGUUCUGAUUCUUUUUGCAAUGUCUUGAUAUACAACCUGUUUAUGUUUCCUAAUUGUGGUAGAAUUUUUGGGGUACCAGAAGUAUGGUGGAUGUUCAGAUUGCUACAGACUGUUCUGUUUUUGACAGAUUCUGUUUUUGAUGCAUAGUUUGCUUGUUCUGAUGAAUCUAUCAAUUUAUAUUAGUGGAUUAAGCCAUGGAAAAGUUAUAUUACAGUAGACACAAUGAAAAAACAAAAUAUGAAUUGGUUUGCAACAGUACUUAGUGUUGGGUUUCGUAGUAAUUUCAAAAAAUUUCCUACGUACACGCAAGAUCAUGUGAUGCAUAGCAACGAGGGGAGAGUGUUGUCUACGUACCCAAUGCAGACCGACUGCGGAAGCAAUGACACGACGUAGAGGAAGUAGUCGUACGUCUUCACGAUCCAACCGAUCAAGCACCGAAACUACGGCACCUCCGAGUUCGAGCACACGUUCACCUCGAUGACGAUCCACGGACUCCGAUCCAGCAAAGUGUCGGGGAAGAGUUCCGUCAGCACGACGGCGUGGUGACGAUCUUGAUGAACUACAGCAGCAGGGCUUCGCCUAAACUCCGCUACAGUAUUAUCGAGGUAUAUGGUGGAAGUGGGCACCGCACACGGCUAAGGAAUAGAUCACGUGGAUCAACUUGUUGUGUCUUUGGUGCUAGCCCUGCCCCUCUAUUUAUAUGUUGAGCCCCGGGGUCGAAACUUGGAGCAAAAGCCUCCUCAAAGUCGGUUUUGCCUGAAAGGCAAGAGUUCCACUCGGACUCCAGGACCAAAUGCCAUAAUCCUUGGCGUCUGGCGCAGACGCCAUGGGCCUCGGUGUCUGGCCCAGGGCCAGACGCCAGGGUCUCCGGCGUUUGGCCCCCUGGCCUCCGCAAAACUCCUUUUUGCACCGAUCUAAAGCCUCAUGGGCUUGACCCCUUGGCCUAACCAUAUCAUCCAAUAUAUGAAUCUUUACGUCUCGACCAUUUCGAGACUCCUCGUCAUGUCCCCGAUCUCAUCCGGGACUCCGAACUCCUUCGGUUCAUCAAAACAUGUAAACUCAUAAUAUAACUGUCAUCGUAACCUUAAGCGUGCGGACCCUAUGGGUUCGAGAACAAUGUAGACAUGACCGAGACACGUCUCCGGUCAAUAACCAAUAGCGUGACCUGGAUGCCCAUAUUGGCUCCUACAUAUUCUACGAAGAUCUUUAUCGGUCAGACCGCAUAACAACAUACGUUGUUCCCUUUGUCAUCGGUAUGUUACUUGCCCGAGAUUCGAUCGUCGGUAUCCAAUACCUAGUUCAAUCUCGUUACCGGCAAGUCUCUUUACUCGUUCCGUAAUACAUCAUCUCACAACUAACAUAUUAGUUGUAAUGCUUGCAAGGCUUAUGUGAUGUGUAUUACCGAGAGGGCCCAGAGAUACCUCUCCGACAAUCGGAGUGACAAAUCCUAAUCUUGAAAUACGCCAAAUCAACAUCGACCAUUGGAGACACCUGUAGUACUCCUUUAUAAUCACCCAGUUACGUUGUGACGUUUGGUAGUACCCAAAGUGUUCCUCCGGUAAACGGGAGUUGCAUAAUCUCAUAGUCAUAGGAACAUGUAUAAGUUAUGAAGAAAGCAAUAGCAACAUACUAAACGAUCGUGUGCUAAGCUAAUGGAAUGGGUCAUGUCAAUCAGAUCAUUCUACUAAUGAUGUGACCUCGUUAAUCAAAUAACAACUCAUUGUUCAUGGUUAGGAAACAUAACCAUCUUUGAUUAACGAGCUAGUCAAGUAGAGGCAUACUAGUGACACUUUGUUUGUCUAUGUAUUCACACAUGUAUUAUGUUUCCGGUAAAUACAAUUCUAGCAUGAAUAAUAAACAUUUAUCAUGAUUAUAAGGAAAUAAAUAAUAACUUUAUCAUUGCCUCUAGGGCAUAUUUCCUUCAGUCUCCCACUUGCACUAGAGUCAAUAAUCUAGUUCACAUCGUCAUGUGAUUUAACACAAAUAUUCACAUCUGUAUAUGAUUAACACCCAUAGUUCACAUCAUCAUGUGACCAACACCCAAAGGGUUUACUAGAGUCAAUAAUCUAGUUCACAUCGCUAUGUGAUUAACAUCCAAAGAGUACUAAGGUGUGAUCAUGUUUUGCUCGUGAGAGAAGCUUAGUCAACGGGUCUGUCACAUUCAGAGCCGUAUGUAUUUUGCAAAUAUUCUAUGUCUACAAUGCUCUGUACGGAGCUACUCUAGCUAAUCGCUCCCACUUUCAAUAUGUAUCCAGAUUGAGACUUAGAGUCAUCUGGAUCAGUGUAAAAGUUUGCACUGAUGUAACUUUUACAACAAACUCUUUUAUCACCUCCAUAAUCGAGAAACAUCUCCUUAGUCCUUACUAAGGAUAUUCUUGACCAAUGUCUAGUGAUCUACUCCUAGAUCAUUAUUGUACUCCCUUGCCAAAUACAGAGCAAGGUAUACAAUAGGUCUAGUACAAAGCAUAGCAUACUUUAUAGAACCUAUGACUGAGGCAUAGGGAAUGACUUUUCAUUCUCUUUCUAUUUUCUGCUGUGGUCGGGAUUUGAGUCUAACUCAAUUUCAUACCUUUGCAACACAGGCAAGAACUCUUUCUUUAACUGUUUCAUUUUGAACUAUUUCAAAAUCUUGCCAAGGUAUGUACUCAUUGAAAAUCUUAUCAAGCGUCUUGAUCUAUCUCAAUAGAUCUUGAUGCUCAAUAUAUAAGUAGCUUUUUACUGAGGUCUUUUCUUUUUAAAGAACUCCUUUAAAACACUCCUUUAUGCUUUGUAGAAAAAUUCUACAUCAUUUCUGAUCAACAAUAUGUCACUCACAUAUACUAAUCAGAAAGGCUGUAGUGCUCCCACUCACUUUAUUGUAAAUACAGGCUUCAUCGUAAGUCCAUAUAAAACUAUAUGCUUUGAUCAACUUAUCAAAGCGUAUAUUCCAACUCCGAGAUGCUUGCACCAGUCCAUAGAUGGAUCGCUGGAGCUUGCACAUUUUGUUAGCACCUUUAGGAUUGACAAAACCUUCUGGUUGCAUCAUAUACAACUCUUCUUUAAUAAAUCCAUUAAGGAAUGCAGUUUUGACAUCCAUUUGCCAGAUUUCAUAAAAUGUGGCAAUUGCUAACAUGAUUCAGAUAGACUUAAGCAUCGAUACGAGUGAGAAAACCUCAUCGUAUUCAACACCUUGAACUUGUUGAAAAACUUUUGCAACAAGUCGAGCUUUGGUAGAUAGUAACACUACUAUCAGUGUCCGUCUUCCUCUUGAAGAUCCAUUUAUUUAACAUGGCUUUGCUGAUCAUCGAGCAAGUCAAUCAAAGUCCAUACUUUGUUGUCAUACAUGGAUCAUAUCUCAGAUUUUAUGGCCUCAAGCCAUCUCGCGGAAUCUGGGCUCAUCAUCGCUUCCUCAUAGUUCGUAGGUUCAUCAUGGUCUAGUAACAUGACUUCCAGAACAUGAUUACUACACCACUCUGGUGCAGAUCUUACUCUGGAAGACCUACGAGGUUCUGUAGUAACUUGAUCUGAAGUUUUAUGAUCAAUAUCAUUAGCUUCCUCACUAAUUGGUGUAUUUGUCACAGGAACUGAUUUCUGUGAUGAACUACUUUCCAAUAAGGGAGCAGGUACAGUUACCUCAUCAAGUUCUACUUUCCUCCCACUCACUUCUUUCGAGAGAAACUCCUUCUCUAGAAAGGAUCCAUUUUUUUAGCAACGAAUAUCUUGCCUCCGGAUCUGUGAUAGAAGGUGUACCCAACAAUUUCCUUUGGGUAUUCUAUGAAGACGCACUUCUCCGAUUUGGGUUCGAGCUUAUCAGGAUGAAACUUUUCCACAUAAGCAUCGCAGCCCCAAAUUUUAAGAAACGACAACUUGGGUUUCUUGCUAAACCACAGUUCAUAUAGUGUCGUCUCAACGGAUUUAGAUGGUGCCCUUUUAACGUGAAUGCAGCUGUCUCUAAUGCAUAACCCUAAAACGACAAUGGUAAAUCAAUAAGAGACAUCAUAGAUCGCACCAUAUCCAAUAAAGCGCGGUUACGACGUUCAGACACACCAUAACAUUGUGGUGUUCCAGGUGGCGUGAGCUAUGAAACUAUUCCACAAUGUUUUCAUUGAAGACCAAACUCGUAACUCAAAUAUUCGUCUCCGCGAUCAGAUCAUAGAAACUUUAUUUUCUUGUCACGAUGAUUUUCCACUUCACUCUGAAAUUCUUUGAAUUGUUCAAAUGUUUCAAACUUAUGUUUCAUCAAGUAGAUAUCCCCAUAUCUGCUCAAAUCAUCUGUGAAGGUCAGAAAAUAAUGAUACCUGCUGCAAGCUUUAAUAUUCACCGGACCACAUACAUCAGUAUGUAUGAUCUCCAACAAAUCUGUUGCUUGCUUCAUUGUUCCGGAGAACGGCGUUUUAGUCAUCUUGCCCAAAAGGCAUGGUUCGCAAGCAUCAAGUGAUUCAUAAUCAAGUGAUUCCAAAAUCCCAUCAGCAUGGAGUUUCUUCAUGCGCUUUACACCAAUAUGACCUAAACGGCAGUGCUACAAAUAAGUUGCACUAUCAUUAUUAACUUUGCAUCUUUUGGUUUCAAUAUUAUGAUUAUGUGUAUCACUACGAUCGAGAUCCAACGAACUAUUUUCAUUGGGUGUGUAACCAUAUAAGGUUUUAUUCAUGUAAACAGAACAACAAUUUAUUCUCUUACUUAAAUGAAUAACCGUAUUACAAUAAACAUGAUCAAAUCAUAUUCAUGCUCAACGCAAACACCAAAUAACACUUAUUCAGGUUCAACACUAAUCCCGAAAGUAUAGGGAGUGUGCGAUGAUGAUCAUAUCAAUCUUGGAACCACUUCCAACACACAUCGUCACUUCACCCUUAACUAGUCUCUGUUUAUUCUGCAACUCCCGUUUCGAGUUACUAAUCUUAGCAACUGAACUAGUAUCAAAUACUGAGGGGUUGCCAUAAACACUAGUAAAGUACACAUCAAUAACAUGUAUAUAAAAUAUACUUAUGUUCACUUUGCCAUCCUUCUUAUCCGCCAAUCACUUGGGGUGAUUCCGUUUCCGGUGACCAGUCCCUUUGCAGUAGAAGCACUUAGUCUCAGGCUUAGGACCAGACUUGGGCUUCUUUACUUGAGCAGCAACUUGCUUGCCCUUCUUCUUGAAGUUCCCCUUCUUCCCUUUGCCCUUUUCUUGAAACUAGUGGUCUUAUCAACCAUCAACACUUGAUGUUUUUCUUGAUUUCUACCUUCAUUGAUUUCAUCAUCACGAAGAGCUUGGGAGUUGUUUCCGUUAUCCCUUGCAUAUUAUAGUUCAUCACGAAGUUCUACUAACUUGGUGAUGGUGACUAGAGAAUUCUGUCAAUCACUAUCUUAUCUGGAAGAUUAACUCCCACUUGAUUCAAGCGAUUGUAGUACCCAGAUAAUUUGAGCACAUGCUCACUAGUUGAGCGAUUCUCCUCCAUCUUUUAGCUAUAGAACUUGUUGGAGACUUCAUAUCUCACAACUCGGGUAUUUGCUUGAAAUAUUAACUUCAACUCCUGGAACAUCUCAUAUGCUCCAUGACGUUCAAAACGUCGUUGAAGUCCCGAUUCUAAGCCAUUAAGCAUGGUGCACUAAACUAUCAAGUAGUCAUCAUAUUGAGCUAGCCAAACGUUCAUAACGUCUGCAUCUGCUCCUGCAAUAGGUCCGUCACCUAGCGGUGCAUCAAGGACAUAAUUCUUCUGUGCAGUAAUGAGGAUAAACCUCAGAUCACGGAUCCAAUCCGCAUCAUUGCUACUAACAUUUUUCAACAUGAUUUUCUCUAGGAACAUAUCAAAAUAAACACAGGGAAGCAACAACGCGAGCUAUUGAUCUACAACAUAAUUUGCAAAAUACUACCAGGACUAAGUUCAUGAUAAAUUAAAGUUCAAUUAAUCAUAUUAUUUAAGAACUCCCACUUAGAUAGACAUCCCUCUAAUCCUCUAAGUGAUUACGUGAUCCAAAUCAACUAAACCAUGACCGAUCAUCACGUGAGAUGGAGUAGUUUUCAAUGGUGAACAUCGUUAUGUUGAUCAUAUCUACUAUAUGAUUCACGCUCGACCUUUUGGUCUCCGUGUUCCGAGGCCAUAUCUGUAUAUGCUAGGCUCGUCAAGUUUAACCUGAGUAUUCUGCGUGUGCAAAACUGGCUUGCACCCGUUGUAGAUGGACGUAGAGCUUAUCACACCCGAUCAUCACGUGGUGUCUGGGCACGACGAACUUUGGCAACGGUGCAUACUCAGGGAGAACACUUCUUGAUAAUUUAGUGAGAGAUCAUCUUAUAAUGCUACCGUCAAUCAAAGCAAGAUAAGAUGCAUAAAAAGAUAAACAUCACAUGCAAUCAAUAUAAGUGAUAUGAUAUGGUCAUCAUCAUCUUGUGCUUGUGAUCUCCAUCUCCGAAGCACCGUCAUGAUCACCAUCGUCACCGGCGUGACACCUUGAUCUCCAUCGUAGCAUCGUUGUCGUCUCGCCAAUCUUAUGCUUCCACGACUAUCACUACCGUUUAGUAAUAAAGUAAAGCAUUACAUCGCGAUUGCAUUGCAUACAAUAAAGCGACAACCAUAUGGCUCCUGCCAGUUGCCGAUAACUCGGUUACAAAACAUGAUCAUCUCAUACAAUAAAAUUCAGCACCAUGCCUUGACCAUAUCACAUCACAACAUGCCCUGCAAAAACAAGUUAGACUUCCUCUACUUUGUUGUUGCAUGUUUUACGUGGCUGCUACGGGCUUAAGUAAGAACCAAUCUCACCUACGCAUCAAAACCACAACGAUAGUUUGUCAAAUAGACUCCGUUUUAACCUUCUCAAGGACCGGGCGUAGCCAUACUCGGUUCAACUAAAGUUGGAGAGACAGUCGCCCGCAAGCCAUCUAUGUGCAAAGCACGUCGAGGGAACCGGUCUCGCGUAAGCGUACGCGUAAGGUUGGUCCGGGUCGUCUCGUCCAACAAUACCGCCGAACCAAAGUAUGACAUGCUGGUAGGCAGUAUGACUUGUAUCGUCCACAACUCACUUGUGUUCUACUCGUGCAUAUAACAUCAACAUAAGUAACCUAGGCUCUGAUACCACUGUUGGGUUUCGUAGUAAUUUCAAAAAAUUUCCUACGUACACGCAAGAUCAUGUGAUGCAUAGCAACGAGGGGAGAGUGUUGUCUACGUACCCAAUGCAGACCGACUGCGGAAGCGAUGACACGACGUAGAGGAAGUAGUCGUACGUCUUCACGAUCCAACCGAUCAAGCACCGAAACUACGGCACCUCCGAGUUCGAGCACACGUUCAGCUUGAUGACGAUCCCCGGACUCCGAUCCAGCAAAGUGUCGGGGAAGAGUUCCGUCAGCACGACGGCGUGGUGACGAUCUUGAUGAACUACAGCAGCAGGGCUUCGCCUAAACUCCGCUACAGUAUUAUCGAGGUAUAUGGUGGAAGGGGGCACCGCACACGGCUAAGGAAUAGAUCACGUGGAUCAACUUGUUGUGUCUUUGGUGCUAGCCCUGCCCCUCUAUUUAUAUGUUGAGCCCCGGGGUCGAAACUUGGAGCAAAAGCCUCCUCAAAGUCGGUUUUGCCCGAAAGGCAAGAGUUCCACUCGGACUCCAGGACCAAACGCCACAAUCCUUGGCGUCUGGCCCAGACGCCAUGGGCCUCGGCGUCUGGCCCAGGGCCAGACGCCAGGGUCUCCGGCGUUUGGCCCCCUGGCCUCCGCAAAACUCCUUUUUGCACCGAUCUAAAGCCUCAUGGGCUUGACCCCUUGGCCUAACCAUAUCAUCCAAUAUAUGAAUCUUUACGUCUCGACCAUUUCGAGACUCCUCGUCAUGUCCCCGAUCUCAUCCAGGACUCCGAACUCCUUCGGUUCAUCAAAACAUGUAAACUCAUAAUAUAACUGUCAUCGUAACCUUAAGCGUGCGGACCCUACGGGUUCGAGAACAAUGUAGACAUGACCGAGACACAUCUCCGGUCAAUAACCAAUAGCGGGACCUGGAUGCCCAUAUUGGCUCCUACAUAUUCUACGAAGAUCUUUAUCGGUCAGACCGCAUAACAACAUACGUUGUUCCCUUUGUCAUCGGUAUGUUACUUGCCCGAGAUUCGAUCGUCGGUAUCCAAUACCUAGUUCAAUCUCGUUACCGGCAAGUCUCUUUACUCGUUCCGUAAUACAUCAUCUCACAACUAACAUAUUAGUUGUAAUGCUUGCAAGGCUUAUGUGAUGUGUAUUACCGAGAGUGCCCAGAGAUACCUCUCCGACAAUCGGAGUGACAAAUCCUAAUCUCGAAAUACGCCAACCCAACAUCGACCAUUGGAGACACCUGUAGUACUCCUUUAUAAUCACCCAGUUACGUUGUGACGUUUGGUAGUACCCAAAGUGUUCCUCCGGUAAACGGGAGUUGCAUAAUCUCAUAGUCAUAGGAACAUGUAUAAGUCAUGAAGAAAGCAAUAGCAACAUACUAAACGAUCGGGUGCUAAGCUAAUGGAAUGGGUCAUGUCAAUCAGAUCAUUCUACUAAUGAUGUGACCUCGUUAAUCAAAUAACAACUCAUUGUUCAUGGUUAGGAAACAUAACCAUCUUUGAUUAACGAGCUAGUCAAGUAGAGGCAUACUAGUGACACUUUUGUUUGUCUAUGUAUUCACACAUGUAUUAUGUUUCCGGUAAAUACAAUUCUAGCAUGAAUAAUAAACAUUUAUCAUGAUUAUGAGGAAAUAAAUAAUAACUUUAUUAUUGCCUCUAGGGCAUAUUUCCUUCACAAACAUAGGCUUCCAAUAUAUCAAUCUUUACGUCUCGACCAUUUCGAGACUCCUCGUCAUGUCCGUGAUCACAUCUGGGACUCCGAACAACCUUCGGUACAUCAAAAUGCAUAAACUCAUAAUGUAACUGUCAUCGUAACCUUAAGCGUGCGGACCCUACGGGUUCGAGAACAAUGUAGACAUGACCGAGACAUGUCUCUGGUCAAUAACCAAUAGCGGGACCUGGAUGCCCAUAUUGGCUCCUACAUAUUCUACGAAGAUCUUUAUCGGUCAGACCGCAUAACAACAUACGUUGUUCCCUUUGUCAUCGGUAUGUUACUUGCCCGAGAUUCGAUCGUCGGUAUCCAAUACCUAGUUCAAUCUCGUUACCGGCAAGUCUCUUUACUCGUUCCGUAAUACAUCAUCUCACAACUAACAUAUUAGUUGUAAUGCUUGCAAUGCUUAUGUGAUGUGUAUUACCGAGAGGGCCCAGAGAUACCUCUCCGACAAUCGGAGUGACAAAUCCUAAUCUCGAAAUACGCCAACCCAACAUCGACCAUUGGAGACACCUGUAGUACUCCUUUAUAAUCACCCAGUUACGUUGUGACGUUUGGUAGUACCCAAAGUGUUCCUCCGGUAAACGGGAGUUGCAUAAUCUCAUAGUCAUAGGAACAUGUAUAAGUCAUGAAGAAAGCAAUAGCAACAUACUAAACGAUCGGGUGCUAAGCUAAUGGAAUGGGUCAUGUCAAUCAGAUCAUUCUACUAAUGAUGUGACCUCGUUAAUCAAAUAACAACUCAUUGUUUAUGGUUAGGAAACAUAACCAUCUUUGAUUAACGAGCUAGUCAAGUAGAGGCAUACUAGUGACACUCUGUUUGUCCAUGUAUUCACACAUGUAUUAUGUUUCCGGUAUAUACAAUUCUAGCAUGAAUAAUAAACAUUUAUCAUGAUUAUAAGGAAAUAAAUAAUAACUUUAUUAUUGCCUCUAGGGCAUAUUUCCUUCAGUCUCCCACUUGCACUAGAGUCAAUAAUCUAGAUUACACUGUAAUGAAUCUAACACCCAUGGAGCUUUGGUGCUGAUCAUGUUUUGCUCGUGGAAGAGGCUUAGUCAACGGGUCUGCAACAUUCAGAUCCGUAUGUAUCUUGCAAAUCUCUAUGUCUCCCACCUGGACUAGAUCCCGGAUGGAGUUGAAGCGUCUCUUGAUGUGUUUGGUCCUUUUGUGAAAUCUGGAUUCCUUUGCCAAGGCAAUUGCACCAGUAUUGUCACAAAAGAUUUUCAUUGGACCCGAUGCACUAGGUAUGACACCUAGAUCGGAUAUGAACUCCUUCAUCCAGACUCCUUCAUUUGCUGCUUCCGAAGCAGCUAUGUAUUCCGCUUCACAUGUAGAUCCCGCUACAACGCUUUGUUUAGAACUGCACCAACUGACAGCUCCACCGUUUAAUGUAAACACGUAUCCGGUUUGCGAUUUAGAAUCGUCCGGAUCAGUGUCAAAGCUUGCAUCAACGUAACCUUUUACGGUGAGCUCUUUGUCACCUCCAUAUACGAGAAACAUAUCCUUAGUCCUUUUCAGGUAUUUUAGGAUGUUCUUGUUAGGUUUCGUAGUAAUUUCAAAAAUUUUCCUACGCGCACACAGGAUCAUGUGAUGCAUAGCAACGAGAGGAGAGUGUUGUCUACGUACCCAACGCAGACCGACUGCGGAAGCGAUGACACGACGUAGAGGAAGUAGUCGUACGUCUUCACGAUCCAACCGAUCAAGCACCGAAACUACGGCACCUCCGAGUUCGAGCACACGUUCAGCUCGAUGACGAUCCCCGGACUCCGAUCCAGCAAAGUGUCGGGGAAGAGUUUCGUCAGCACGACGGCGUGGUGACGAUCUUGAUGAACUACAGCAGCAGGGCUUCGCCUAAACUCCGCUACAGUAUUAUCGAGGAAUAUGGUGGCAGGGGGCACCGCACACGGCUAAGGAAUCGAUCACGUGGAUCAACUUGUGUCAACUUGUGUGUUUAGAGGUGCCCCUGCCUCCGUAUAUAAAGGAGGAGAGGAGGGGAGGCUGGCCGGCCAAGGGGGGAGGCGCAGGAGAGUCCUACUCCCUCUGGGAGUAGGAUUCCCCCUCCAAUCCUAGUCCAACUAGGAUUCCUCGGAGGGGAAAAGAGGAGGAGGGGGCCGGCCACCUCUCCUAGUCCUAAUAGGACUAGGGGAAGGGGGGGCGCAGCCCAACUUGGGCAGCCCCUUCUCUUUUCCACUAAGGCCCACUAUGGCCCAAAUAGCUCCCGGGGGGUUCCGGUAACCCUCCCGGUAUUCCGGUAAAAUCCCGAUUUCACCCGGAACACUUCCGAUAUCCAAAUAUAGGCUUCCAAUAUAUCAAUCUUUAUGUCUCGACCAUUUCGAGACUCCUCGUCAUGUCCGUGAUCACAUCCGGGACUCCGAACAACCUUCGGUACAUCAAAAUGCAUAAACUCAUAAUAUAACUGUCAUCGUAACCUUAAGCGUGCGGACCCUACGGGUUCGAGAACAAUGUAGACAUGACCGAGACACGUCUCCGGUCAAUAACCAAUAGCGGGACCUGGAUGCCCAUAUUGGCUCCUAAAUAUUCUACGAAGAUCUUUAUCGGUCAGACCGCAUAACAGCAUACGUUGUUCCCUUUGUCAUCGGUAUGUUACUUGCCCGAGAUUCGAUCGUCGGUAUCCAAUACCUAGUUCAAUCUCGUUACCGGCAAGUCUCUUUACUCGUUCCGUAAUACAUCAUCUCACAACUAACAUAUUAGUUGUAAUGCUUGCAAGGCUUAUGUGAUGUGUAUUACCGAGAGGGCCCAGAGAUACCUCUCCGACAAUCGGAGUGACAAAUCCUAAUCUUGAAAUACGCCAAAUCAACAUCGACCAUUGGAGACACCUGUAGUACUCCUUUAUAAUCACCCAGUUACGUUGUGACGUUUGGUAGUACCCAAAGUGUUCCUCCGGUAAACGGGAGUUGCAUAAUCUCAUAGUCAUAGGAACAUGUAUAAGUUAUGAAGAAAGCAAUAGCAACAUACUAAACGAUCGUGUGCUAAGCUAAUGGAAUGGGUCAUGUCAAUCAGAUCAUUCUACUAAUGAUGUGACCUCGUUAAUCAAAUAACAACUCAUUGUUCAUGGUUAGGAAACAUAACCAUCUUUGAUUAACGAGCUAGUCAAGUAGAGGCAUACUAGUGACACUUUGUUUGUCUAUGUAUUCACACAUGUAUUAUGUUUCCGGUAAAUACAAUUCUAGCAUGAAUAAUAAACAUUUAUCAUGAUUAUAAGGAAAUAAAUAAUAACUUUAUCAUUGCCUCUAGGGCAUAUUUCCUUCACUUAGAGUGGUGAUUUGCUUUAUUAUACUAACGGAUCUUACCGAGUUUUUUGUUGAAGUUUUGUGUGGAUGAAGUGUCUAAACGAGGAGGUCUCGAUAUGAGGAAAAGGAAGAGAGGCAAGAGCUCACGCUUGGGGAUGCCCGAGGCACCCCAAGUAAAUAUUCAAGGAGACUGAAGCGUCUAAGCUUGGGUAUGCCCCGGAAGGCAUCCCCUCUUUCUUCAACAAGUAUCGAUAUGUUUUCGUAUUCGUUUCGUUCGUGCGAUAUGUGCAAGUCUUGGAGCGUCUUUUGCAUUUAGUUUCCAUUUUUGUUUUAUGCACCAUGCUGGUAUGAGAUAUCCCUUGGUUGAUUUAUAGAAUUCUCAUUGCACCUCACUUAAAUCUUUUGAGUAUGGCUUUAUAGAAUGCUUGAUGUGCUUCACUUAUAUCAUUUGAAGUUUGGAUUGCCUGUUUCUCUUCAUAUAGAAAACCGCCAUUUGUAGAAUGCUCUUUUGCUUCACUUAUAUUUGUUAGAGCGUGGGCAUAUCUUUUGUAGAAAGAACAAACUCUCUUGCUUCACUUAUAUCUAUUUAGAGAGAUGACAGGAAUUGGUCAUUCACAUGGUUAGUCAUAAAAUCCUACAUAAACUUGUAGAUCGCUGAAUAUGAUAUGUUUGAUUCCUUGCAAUAGUUUUGCAAUAUAAAGGUGGUGAUAUUAGAGUUAUGCUAGUGGGUGAUUGUGGAUUAGUAGAAAUACUUGUGUUGAGUUUUGUGAUUCCCGAAGCAUGUACGUAUGGUGAACCGCUUUGUGAUGAAGUUGGAGCACAGUUUUAUUUAUUGAUUUUCUUCCUUAUGAGUGGCGGUCGGGGACGAGCGAUGGUCUUUUCCUACCAAUCUAUCCCCCUAGGAGCAUGCGCUUAGUACUUUGUUUUCAAUGGCUUGUAGAUUUUUGCAAUAAGUAUAUGAGUUCUUUACGACUAAUGUUGAGUCCAUGGAUUAUACGCACUCUCACCCUUCCACCAUUGCUAGCCUCUCUUGUGCCGCGCAACUUUAGCUGGUACCAUACACCCACCAUAUACCUUCCUCAAAACAGACACUAUACCUACCUAUCAUGGCAUUUCCAUAGCCAUUCUGAGAUAUAUUGCCAUGCAACUUCCAUCAUCAUCAUAUACAUGACUUGAGCAUUCAUUGUCAUAUUGCUUUGCAUGAUCGUAAGAUAGCUAGCAUGAUGUUUUCAUGGCUUGUCCAUUUUUUGAUGUCAUUAUUACACUAGAUCAUUGCACAUCCUGGUACACCACCGGAAGCAUUCAUAUAGAGUCAUAUCUUUGUUCUAGAUAUUGAGUUGUAAGUAAAUAAAAGUGUGAUGAUCAUCAUUAUUAGAGCAUUGCCCCAGUGAGGAAAGGAUGAUGGAGACUAUGAUUCCCCCACAAGUCGGGAUGAGACUCUGGACUUUAUGAAAAAUAAAAGAGGCCAAAGAAGCCCAAAUAAAAAAGGAGGCCAAAGAAGCCCACCAACAAAAUAUAAAAAAAAUAAUAUAAAAAGGAAAAAAAAUAGAGAGAAAAAGAGAGAAGGGGCAAUGUUACUAUCCUUUUACCACACUUGUGCUUUAGAGUAGCACCAUGUUCUUCAUAGAGAGAGUCUCCUAUGCUUUCACUUUCAUAUACUAGUGGGAAUUUUCAUUAUAGAACUUGGCUUGUAUAUUCCAAUGAUGGGCUUCCUCAAAUGCCCGAGGUCUUCAUGAGCAAGCAAGUUGGAUGCACACCCACUUAGUUUUCAGUUUGAGCUUUCAUACACUUAUAGCUCUAGUACAUCUGUUGCAUGGCAAUCCCUACUCACUCACAUUGAUAUCUAUUGAUGGGCAUCUCCAUAGCCCGUUGAUACGCCUAGUUGAUGUGAGACUUUCUCCUUUUUUGUCUUCUCCACAUAACCCCCACCAUCAUAUUCUUUUCCACCUAUAGUGCUAUGUCCAUGGCUCACGCUCAUGUAUUGCGUGAAAGUUGAAAAAGUUUGAGAUUAUUAAAGUAUGAAACAAUUGCUUGGCUUGUCAUCGGGGUUGUGCAUAAUUAAAUACUUUGUGUGAUGAAGAUAGAGCAACAGCCAGACUAUAUGAUUUUGUAGGGAUAACUUUCUUUGGCCAUGUUGUUUUGAAAAGACAUGAUUACUUUAUUGGUACGCUCGAAGUAUUAUUGUUUUUAUGUCAAAUGAUAGACUAUUGCUUUGAAUCACUCGUGUCUUAAUAUUCAUGCCAUGAUUAGACAUAUGAUCAAGAUUAUGCUAGGUAGCAUUCCACAUAAAAAAAA
Molecule: long non-coding RNA, 97587 nt
Filed under: Triticum aestivum (bread wheat)
Lineage: Eukaryota; Viridiplantae; Streptophyta; Magnoliopsida; Poales; Poaceae
Description: long non-coding RNA (TAES_LNC016424)
Source: RNAcentral